AAUAUUAGAAUCAUGGGUGUUUUCACUUAUGACUAUGAAUCUACCUCUCCAGUCGCCCCUGUCAGGCUUUUCAAGGCCUUUACUAUUGAAGCCGCCAAGGUUUGGCCCACAGCUGCCCCUAAUACCGUCAAGAGUGUUGAGGUUGAAGCUAAUCCUAGCUCAGGAAGCAUCGUAAAGAUCAAUUUUGUUGAAGGUUAGAUAUUUCAUUUUCAUUGGCAUUGGCAUUUUUUAGCGUGUUUUACAUGAGUAUAUUGGAUAACAAGUAUUUGUUUGUUUAGGCCUUCCAUUCCAAUAUAUGAAGCACCAGAUAGGAGGACAUGACGAAAAUAAUUUUUCAUAUAGCUACAGUUUAAUCGAAGGUGGGCCCUUGGGGGACAAGCUUGAAAAAAUCAGCUAUGAAAACAAGUUUGAGGCAGCUGCAAGUGGAGGAAGCAUUUGCAAAAGCUCGAUGAAAUUUUACACUGUUGGCGACAAUGUAAUCACUGAAGAUGAAAUCAAGGCUCUCAUUAAAGGGAGUGAGGGAGUUUACAAGCCUGUUGAAGCUUACCUCUUGGCUAAUCCCGAAGCCUGCAACUAAGAUAUAGAUUGCUUUGAAUUCUCAUGCUGCUUUUAAAGAGUGGCCAUUACUUUCAAUGGUGUGUUUUUUAUAUUUUCUCUUUCCACUUAAAACUUAAACUUUCUUAUGAUUAUUUUAAUAAGAGCGGUGGUGGUGAUCGAGCUUUGAUCAUCUUUAUUUUCAUUACUAUCAAAUAAUUUGGGUUGUAUCAUCUUUGACAUAUACUGAAAUAAAAUAAACACCAAUUCACAAACAAAAAAGGUUUUACCUAGUAUAUUGAUGAGUUAAAAUUUAUAAGACUAAUGCACGUAUUGAUGAAAAAAUAAAGUGAUAAAUAGAUAUUAUGCCUACAAGGAUCCAAUUUUAAAUUACUUAGUAGUAACUAUUUAAGUUUUAUUCAAUCCAAAACAAUAAAAUAAAAUUUAAUUAUUAUUAAAAUUAAACUAAGUUGAUUAAGAAGGCUUUAUUAAACUAAAACAAAGAAAAUUUAUAUAUGUUAAAUCCUAUAUGGAAGAAUUAAAUGUUCAUUCACCUCCUUAUAUUCUAUAUUCUAAAAAAAAUUUUGUGUUUGGACAAUUGAGUUACUUAUUUUACAAGGGCAUUAUUGUCAAUAUAGGAGGAUGUGAGUUCGAAUGUGCUGAAGCGCAUUAUCCUCCUAUUAAUAAGUUAGAGAGGGAUUAUAAAUAAUUUUAAAUAUUAUUUUUAAAAGAGCAUAUAUAAUUAAAACAUAUAAAGAGAUUGUAAAAAAGGAAAAAAAAAAAACCUUGUGCGUUUCUUGCUUACCACGAUGGGAAUAGACAAACUAACUAGUUUGGUUGCCUUAGAGAUUGAUCUUAAUUAUUAUCCUUAGUACAAUAAUUUGACAGUAAUUUUAUUAUAUUCUAUUUUCUUUAUCAUAGGGAAUUAUAACCUGUAAAAAAAUUUAAUAAAAUGAACAUGAAUUACUUCAAUUCAUAGUGUUGUAAAUCAUCUCCCCUUUCUAACGUUUGUAUUGGGAGAGCAGGUUAACCAAAACUCCUGAGCCCUACAAAAGGAACGAAGGCAUUAAAAAAACACCCAUAAAUCCUCAUGGAAUCAUUAUAUUAUCUUUGAGAGAUGCUUCAAGGUUGGAUAUUUAAACUUGUAACUAGUAUAUCAAUCACUGAUAAUUAUAGUAAAUUACUCUACUAUUUUCCGUUUUCCACAUAUAUGUGGAAGGCAAUUUCAGAUGAGGAGAUAAAAAAAAGCUUUGUUUGACAUGACUCCUUUGAAAGCUCCUGGGAGCGAUGGUUUUCAUGCUUUGUUUUUCUGAGUCAGUGGAAUGUUGUGGAAUUGCUGUCUGUGAGUGGGUUAAAAGGGUAUUUAAUGGUGGGUCAAUUGAACCAGAUUUGAAUAACACAGUCAUUGUCCUCAUUCCUAAGAUUGCGCAUCUGGAAAGUUUCCAAUAGUUUAGGCCUAUCAGUUUGUGUUCAAUCUUGUACAAGCUAGUCAUGAAAGUCAUUACUAAUCGAUUUAGGUGCAUCUUCCCUAAAUUAAUUGCGCAAGAGCAGACGAGUUUUAUUGCAAAGAGGAAUAUUAUGAAUAAUAUCCUCAUUGCACAGGAAGUCAUUCAUUCCAUGAGAGGGAAACGCCACUAGAAGUCUUGAAUGGCUGUUAAAAUUGUUCUAGAAAAAGCAUAUGAUCGAGUGCGGUGAGAUUUUACCGAGGCUUUGCUAAGACCUGUAGAUAUUCUGGUUUUUUUAUAAAGGUCAUUAUGGAUGGAAUAUCAGGUUCUCCGUGCAAGUUCUUUGGAAUGAGAUUCCAGCAUAGAAAUUUAAGCCGACGAGAGGGAUCUGUUAGGGCUAACUUUUAUCUCUGUAUUUGUUUGUUCUAUGUAUGGAAUGGCUUGGGUAUAGUUUUAGUUUGGCUAUUUCUAAUGGUCAGUGGCAUCCAAUUAGAUUGUCUAGAGCUGGGCCGGAUUUAUCACAUCUAUUCUUUGUUGAUGAUCAGGUAAUUUUUACCAGAGUUGACUUGGGUCAUUCACUACUCCUAAAGGAGAUUUUGGAUAAUUUCUACAAUAUCUCUGGUCAUUGUGUUAAGGCUCGGAAGACUAAUAUUUUUUUCUCAAAAGGGAUUAACAAGGUGGUGGGUAGUGGAAUUAGUAGUUUGCUUGGUUUCCAAAAAGUGGAUAAUCCCGGUUCGUAUUUGGGUGUUCCUAUUUUUUAAGAAAGGGUCACCAAAAGUACUCUUAGAUUUGUGGUGGAUAAGGUUCAAAGUAAGUUGUAUAAUUGGGACGCCAGGAAGUUAUCUUUAGCUCGGACAGAUACUUUAGCACAAUAUGUACUUUUAUCCAUUGCAAAAUAUUUCAUGUAGUCUUUAAUGAUUCUAACGUUCCGUUUAUUUCUUUGAAAAUGGCUUUCGGAAAAUGAUUUUUAGAAAAUGACUUAUUUUUCUGGAAAAGCUAAUAUUUUCUGGUGUUUGGAUGAAUUUGUGUAAAAUAUUUUCUUUUGUUUGGCAAGUUCUUUAAAAAUAUUUCAUAAAAGUCGUUCUCAAUUAAACAAACAUACAUUUGAGAUUUUUUUUUUCAUUGUUUAAUUGAGUUUAUUUUAUAUCUAUAAUUUUAUAUUUUACAUUGUUUUUACAUAUAUUAAAAAUAUUUUGUUAAAUUUAUGUUCAUUGCAAUGAUCCUUUUUUAGUUACAUGACUACCAACUGAGCAUUUUUUUAUUUAAAAAUGUGACAUUAACAAAAUUGACAAAAAAAUCAACAAUGUUAGCAGUUGGACUUGAUUUUCUAAUCUAGAAAGUAGAGGGGCUAAAUUCUUUAAAAUAAAAGUACAUAAACUAAAUUGCAAAUUUGUAAAGAGUAUAUAGACUUAUGACAUAUUUUAACAUUUAUACUACAAAACAUUUAUUAUUAAUAUAUUUAUAAUUGUAAUAAAUAUUUAGUAUUAAAAUAUUAAUAUUGAUAUUUUCAAUAAUAUGUGAAUAAUAUUAUUUAAAAUUAUUAUUUUUAAAAACUACUAUUAAAAUAAAAUUUAAAUAUUAAAUAAUUUAUUAAAAAUAAUAAAUUAUGUUAAUUAUAUUAAUAAUUUAUUAUAUGACUAAAUAUAAAUAAUUAAAUACGUAUGUUUAAUAAUAUUAAAAAAUAUAAUAUUUUAUAUUAAUAUUUUAAAUAUUUUUAAAAAUAAAAAUAAAAAUAAAAUUUAUUAUCAGUAUAAUAAUAUUAAACUUGAUUUAAUUUAAUUUUUAUAUAAAAGUAAAAUUAUCUAUUGAGGAGCUCGUUUCCGAAAAAUGACCUUUUCAAAAGGGUGAGUCAUUUUACAAGGAAAAAGGCUUAUUUUUCGUUGACCUGUAUGUCAUUUUCUGUUGGCCAAGCUAUUUUCUGUGAAACAAACACAGGAAAAUGCAGAAAAUUUUUUCCGUAAAACCUUUUACAUGUAAACAAACGAACCCUAAAUGAGUAUGUGAUGAGAUUGAGCGCUUGGUCAGAUAGUUUAUUUGGGGUUGGUCGAGUGGGAACAAGAAGUUGACGUUAGUUAGUUGGGAUUCAGUCUAUCAGCCUCGUUCUUGUGGAAGACUUGGGUUUCAUCAUUUGGAGGAUCAGAACAAGUCAUUUUUGUUGAAAUUGAAGUUUAAUUUGGUUUUGAACGACAAUGCUUUAUGGGUUAGGAUUCUCAUUUCGAAGUAUGGUAUGAAGGAGAGGUUGCCAGAGAGCAUUUUGAGAAGUUCAAGUUUGUUCCUUUGGAGGGCUCUAUCCAAGGUUUGGUCUUUGCUUAAAGAUAAUCUAGUAUGGUCCAUGGGAGAUGGAAUGAAGGUCGAUUUGUUAUUGGAAAGAUCAUUGGAUUGCGAGUGUAGGACCUUUGAUGCGGCUAAUCCCUUCGCAUGCUAACUUGGAUCCUGACUAUAUGCUUAACGUGACGGUAACGGUGGAUGAGGUGUGAAAUAUUGAUUUAUUUCGAGUGUGGCUGUUUCAAGACAUUGUUCGGUGUAUAGUCAGUAUUUCGACACCCCAUUCUUCAGCGGGUCCGAACAGGAUUGCUAGGAGCCAUCAACCUAUUGGAUCUUUUUUUGUUAAAAGGGCGUAUCACAUGAUUCAGGAGAAUUUUAGGAGGCCUAGAUAUGAGACUUGUAAGAGAGCAUGGAAAUUUUAAGGGGCGCAAAGAGUUCGUUUCUUUAUGUGGCUUACUUUAAAGCAAAGAUUGCUCACAAGUAUGGAAUGUGUUAGGAGAAGAAUUGGUCAGGAUCCUUCUUUCCCAGUUUGCGGCCAUGCCUCUGAAGACCUUCUUCAUGUCCUUAGAGAUUGCUCUAUGGUGAAACAUGUAUGGCUGAGCGUAGUGCCUGUAAAUCAGAGUGAUAACUUUUUCUCUGUUAACAACUUUGCAGACUAUUUAGUUUCUAACUUAUCCUCACGUUUAAAGGUACACUCUGAGGAAGUUUUUUGGUCUUGCUUAUUUGGUUUAAUAUCAUGGUGUCUUUGGAAGAACAAGAAGUUAUUCAUUUUAUAGUGUUUGACUUGGAAUGCUUAAGAGAUAAUUAAAGUUUCAGUAUGUUGGGCUCAACAAUUUUUAAAUGUUCAUUUGACUAUGAUGUUUAGUAGGUGCAUUGGAGCUCUGGUUUAAUCUUUGUUGAAUCUUUGUGUUUUUCUAUAUACUGAUGGGGCAAUGAAUGUGAGUACAAGAUGCACAUCUGCUGGUGGUGUAGUGAGAGAUCAGUUUGGUGAUUGGAUUGUCAGGUUCAAUCAUAAUUUAAGUGUUUGUCUAGUCUUUGAUGCUGAACUCUUGAGUAUUUGGGAUGUUUUACUAUUGUUAUAAGAAAAGGGGUAUGUUAAAGCCUUAAUUCUGGAAAAUUGCUUGGAGGCAGUCAAUGCUAUUCAAGAUGACUAUUUGGGGUAUCAAUUUAGGCCUUGGUUUGAUGAAUUAAGCAGAUUUUAUAGUACAAGGAGCAUUGGACAGCUAGGCAUGUCUCUAGGGAGAGAAAUCAAGUUGCUAAUCGUUUAGUUAAAAUGUUUUCUGUUUAAAUUGAUGGUAUGCAUAGAUUAAUAGGCACGCUUAGGGAGUUAAUUGAUCUCCUUAAACAUGAUAAAGUUGCUAGUGCUUUUGUUCAUUUAGUUUGAUCUUGUUAUAUCUUUUUAUUAAAAAAAUCUCUAACUAACACGAUUUAUUUUGAAUUUAAUAAAAAUAAUUUCUUAAAAUAAUAAUUUUAGACAAUUUUUAAUCAAUGCUUAUAAAAACCGUCAGCACAUCAAAUUAAUUGAACCAUAAGUCUCUGUCAGCACAAUUCAUUAUUCCCUCUAUAUAUUUAAAUAAGCAUUAUUGAAAACAAUAAAUUAAGCAAAUAAGUAGAUAAGUAGAAGACAAACUGAUACAAUAUUUGAACUCACCAAUUUGCGAUUUAAUAAGAAAGUUCUGGCUGCCUAUUUUGACUAGUACCAAUUCAAUGAAAAUUAAUAACAAUGUUGGAUAUAAAUCCAAUUAAAAAAUGAGAAUAAUAAUUUUUUACGCUUCAAGUUCAGUGUAUAAAUAGCAUCCUAGUUCUCUAUCAUCUCACACCUCAACCACUCAAUCAUCCACUUCUUCUCUUCUUUGAACUCAAAGUCCCAGUUAAUAUUAGAAUCAUGGGUGUUGUCACUUAUGACUAUGAGUCUACCUCCCCAGUCGCCCCUUCCAGGCUUUUCAAGGCCUUUACUGUUGAAGCUCCGAAAGUUUGGCCCACGGCUGCACCUAAUGCAGUCAAGAGUAUUGAGGUUGAAGCUAAUCCUAGCUCUGGAAGUAUCGUAAAAAUCAACUUUGUUGAAGGUUAGUUCUUUCAUUGGCCUUUUUGUAGUCUGUUUUACACGAGUAUGUUGGAUAACAAGUAUUUAUUUGUUUAGGCCUUCCAUUCCAAUAUAUGAAGCACCAGAUAGGAGGACAUGAUGAAAGUAAUUUUUCAUACAGUUACGAUUUAAUCGAAGGUGGGCCUUUGGGGGACAAACUUGAAAAAAUCAGCUAUGAGAACAAGUUUGAGGCAGCUGCAGGUGGAGGAAGUAUUUGCAAGAGCUCAAUGAAAUUCUACACUGUUGGCGACAAUGUAAUCACUGAAGAUGAAAUCAAGGCUCUCAUUAAGGGAAGUGAGGGAGUUUACAAGCCUGUUGAAGCUUAUCUAUUGGCUAAUCCUGAAUCCUGCAACUAGGAUAUUGGUUGCUUUGAAUUCUGAUUCUUGGUUUUAAAGAGUGGUCAUUGCUUUUAAUGGUGUGUUUUUUAUAUUUUCUUUUUCCUUUUAAAACCUAAAUUGUCUUCUAAUUAUUUACAUAAGAGUGGUGGUGAUCGAGCUUUUGUCAUCUUUAUUUUCAUUACAGUCAAAGAAUUUGGGUUGUCUUUGACAUAUAUAGAAAUAAAAUAAACAAAUAAACUCAAAAAAAGAAAAAAAAAGGUUUUACCUGGUAUAUUGAUGAGUGAAAAUUCACAAUCCAUAUUAGAGAUGUGCAUUCGGUGGUUGGAACGAUUUGAUUAUUUUAUAACAAUAAUCGAAUAAAUAAAAAUUUUUACUGCAAUUGAAUUAAUCGAACCAAACUUAAAAAGGUAAAAAUGAAACAACCGAACUGAAUUUAGUCAAUUCGAUUAGAUUUAGUUAAUCGAUUUUUGCUUUUUUUGGUUUUUAACUUAGUUGAACUCCACCGAUCCAAAAAUUCUUCACUGUUCGUGUCGGCAUGUUUGUUCCUCACAGAAUGGGAGCAAACAGUAGCCGCCUUACCUUUUGCUAUAAAAAGGAUUUUAGCCUUUGCUUUCAAAAUCAUCCCAAUCUCUCCAAGAAAGUGUGUAUACUUUAGUAUACAUUUGGGUAAUUCCUUUAAUUAAGGAUUUCAUUAGUUUGUAAUCUUUUUAGUAUUAGUGAAGUUAUCAUUAGAUAUUGGAUUUUGAGGAUGUAGAUAAUUUGUUGAAUUUCAUAAAUUUGGUGUGCUCUUAUCUAUUAUCUUAUUUAUAUUUAUUGAUUUUUUCUAUCGUAUUUGAUAUUCAAUAGUAACUUGUCGGGUUAAUCUAUAAUGUUUAGGAGGUGAGAAAAAGUCGAUAGAAAUCGAUCGAACCAACCAAAAUUCAUUUUUCUAAAUUAGUUUAGUUGGUUUCGAGUUUAACUCGGUUACAUUAGGUGAUUAACUCAAGGUAAUGUCGGCUCGAUUUCAGUUUUGAAAUUCAAAAUUAUUUUAAUCAAUGACACUGACUUUACAUAUAAAAAUAUAAUAUAUUUAAUUAUACCCAAACCCAAUAUGCCAUUUACCAUAUCUCAAUCAAGCCAAAAUUAAAUCCAAAAUUUCAAAUACCCAAACCCAAUAAAAAUAAAAUAAUAAUUUAAAAUUAAAAAUUUAAUAAAAACUAAAAAUGUAAUAAUAAUUAAAAAACAUUAAACAAAAAAAAACUAAAAUUCUAACUUUCUAACCCUAAAACCUAAUUUCCCAAAACCAAAAAAGAAAAAUCUUACCUUUGUUGUAGCCCACAGUCAUUCCCCUGACCCUGUGUUUCACCUUUGUAACGAUCCAAAUUUCAGUGGUGUAAGAAAAUACGAUUUUAAAAUCUCAUUUUCGUAAACUGGGUCCGUAAGGGCAAAAAAUAAAAAUUUAGGAAGUUAGUAUGAAAAUAGAUUGAAACUUUGUUAAGUAAUUUAAUUGAUAAAUUGGUUAAUUAAAGUUCAAUGACUAAAUUGUAAAAGUUCAAUUGAUAUUGAGUUUGUAACACCCCAUACCCGACCCGAUCGUCGGAUCUGAACUAUAAGGUGCUACACUUCAUUAACUAUUACCUAAAAUGCUCCUUUUUAGCAAUACAAUAACUCAAAUUUAUAAUGCUAACUCUUACAUACAAAUCUUUAAUUUAGUACUCUUCGGAUGCUGAGUGAAGACAAAUAGACAUUUGCAACCUAGAUAAAUAAGGGAUUUACUACCAUGUUAAGACACAUAAGGAACAAUUUCACUGGAAGUUCCAUUAUAUUGAACUAAUUUAGUGACUUGAAAAUUUGAAAUCGAUUUUUAGUCUUGGUUACAACUUGACUCAGACCCUAAGACUCCGCCUUGGGUCGCCUCGUUGUAUGCACAUUGCUACGACCACAAAAUAAGUUGCCUGAUCUUGGUAAAUUCUGGCUUGGUCACUUAUUGAUUUCUAGAAACAACUACUAAACCUACAAUUCAUAGAAACACAACUGUAAUUUCGAUUGAACCUAGUGAGUGGUCCAUACCUGGCAUCAGCAUAGCACAAAUGAACUACUAUUUCAACAUUUGGAAACCACAUGACUUUCCUUGUGAAGAACACAUCCAUCAAAUCAUGUUGGUGUGGACUUGACUGUGUAACGUUUCAUUGAUGAGAUCUUAGCGAUGUAUGAUAAAGAAUACCCAGAUAGAAACGUUAGUAUGUUGGCAAGUAAUUCCGCAAAUCCUUUCUUUAAUGAUUUUCCUUAAGGACCUUUUCGUAGUUCUUCAAAAAAUACUUUCUACGAAUUCUCACUUGUGUACUCAAGAAAGAUACUCAUGCAUCUAUCUUGUGUUAUAACUAAGUUGAAGAAUAGAUCAUAAAGAAUGCCUUCCACUAUGAACCAUUAUUAGUGCUUGAUCUAACGGCCUCUAGUAGGUGGAUCUACUUUCAACUACAUAGUCAGAUACCAAUGUUUCAAACAGUAUCUUGAACACAAUACUUACUUAGAUAAACAAUUCCUUCAUUUUGGAAGUAUAGGAAAAUACCCUUGUAUCAUCCCCCAAAGAACCUGGCGAACUGUUAUAUAUAUAAUAUGAAUUCCAUACAAUUUGCUUGUAUUGUAGGUUCAAGCAUAGAAUGUGCUACUAGCACGCAGAUUCAUUCUUGGCGUACCUAUAAAAUUAUAUUCGAAUCCCCGAAUGAACCUGCAAGCUCUCACCAAAGUGAAUUCCAUAACUACUGUAGAUGCAAAACUAUAAGGAUAAGUCAAAAAACAGUCAUAACUUGUAUCAGACUCACUUUAUUUGCUAGCACAGGCACAAUGGCCUUCUCAUAAUAGUAGAUCACCUUUUUUUGGACUCAUACAAAAGACAUAGUGUAAAAUCAUAUUUACAAGAUAGUUCCUUAUAUUACAUAGUCCUCACGAACUUUCAUAAAAGAUAGUCCGUAUAGACUUCCAGAAAAGAUAGUCUUGGAUGACUUUCCAUAUAUUAGAUAGUCCUCACGGGCUUCUACAUAUACAGUAUUGUCAUGGCCAUGGUCUUCCAUACUUCCCAUAAAGGGCUCUCAAAUGUCCCACACAAGGGGCUCUCAUAUACUGGUGCACACUAUUCUUCGUACCAUUUAAAAACUCCAUUCUUGGCUCAAUCCAAUCGAACCUCCCUCAAAGCCACCUAAAUAGUAUGCAUCACAUACACGAACCCUCAACCAAUAAUUACUAUUUAUCACACACCAGUCAUUUUAUUGAUUCAUCAUAAGCAUACUUACUACCAAUCAAUCAUAUCAAUUCAAUAUGCAACAAUGCAUCAUACCAAACCUUUCAUUUACUUAACAUAGUUAACUCACAAUCAUUUGCGGAAUUGCAUACCGUAACACAUACAAUCACCAUACAUCAUUAAUUCCUCAUAACAUAAUCAUAAUUUGUAAGCUCAUCACACACUGCAUGCAACAAGACACCUCUACUUACAGUCAUAGAAUGACUUGUCAUUUACAUAACACUAAAUUAGCCUUUUUUAGCACACAAUAUUUAAAAAGGAACAUCCAUUUAAGAUCUGAGUACUGGGACUUACUUGGAAGUUAUCGCCAAAUCCAUCUUUUAAGUCUUUUCCCCUUGUUACACUAGCCUCCUUAGUCAAUACAACACAACAACCAUUUCAGAAUCCAAUAAAACCAUUCAUUAUCAUAAAAACUCUAAUUUUUUUGCAUGCAGAGACCAUUUAAAUGAUUAUUCGUCUCUUUACCCAAAACAAAACAAAAAGAAUAGUCAACUUAAAUCCUUAACUUCCUUCUUUUCUUAAACCCGCUAAUGUAGAGAGAUUAGAAAACUUACCAGCAUGCAAAAUUUCCAAUUUCUAAAACUUAAUCCUCAGUCUCUCCCCUUUGUACACGAACGUUCCUUAAUCUUUCUCUCUUCUAUGGCAAACCAGAGAAAAUAAGAAAAACAAAGAAAAUAAAAGAACAUCCACAGAUAAAAAUGCCCCUCCUAUAUAUCAGACUGAGGGUGGAGUGUUGCAUACUUCAUGGCAAUAAAACUAUUAUAGAGCUUUCUAGAAGUUUAAGUUGACAAGGUUCCCCAAUCUAUGAACACAAAGGCUAAUUUUUUGUCUCGAGUUGCAUCUAUUGUGGGAUUCCAGGAAAGGGAUAAAAUCUUACUAGAGCAUAAAAAAAGUCCCCAUUUCACAUUCAGUAGGACAAGUUUUCAACAUAGACUUUGGAAAUACAUGGAUAACACCAUUAGUGGAAUUCUUAUCCAGUGAUUCAAGACCUUUGAUCCUAAGGAACUUGAUUGCAUUUCUUUCCUAGCCUCUUAGUGCACACUUAUUGAUGUAGUCCUCUAUAAUAAAGCUUUCCUCCAUCCGCUUUUGAGUUGCCGAUGGCCUUUCGAAGUAGUGUGUGUGAUACGGAAGGUUUAUGAGCGCAUUUGUGGGCACCAUCUAGAUGUAAGGGCCAUGGCCUAGAAAGUUUUGCAGUAGUGAUUGAGACGAAAUGAAUGUGUGGAUGAGUGAGGAAUAGGAUUGUAAGUUUGCCCAAGUUGUGGAUUUCACUUAAGGCUCUAGACAAUCGAAAAUAAAUUUGGAUUUCGACACAACCUAAAAUAGAAACAAAUCCAAGUUAGAUCUACGAAUUCAGAUAUUAAAAGAAGUAAUUAAAAUAGAUAAUCAAGAUAAAAAAAUAAUAAAAUAAAUCAAAGAUUUGAAUAAUGAAAUAGGAACAAAAUAAGAUAAAGAAGAAAAUAAAACAGAUAUAUGGAAAAGAUGAAAAUGGUGUGUAGAAGUCGUAAGGAGCCUUGAAAACCCGAUGAAUCCACAACCCCCUUCGAUUGGCAGUAAUUUUCCCUCCAAGAAAGGGCAAGAAAAUGCUUGAAGAUGAUCCCCAUAAUCUGAAUAGAUUGUUAAAACUCUUCUAAAAGAAAACUGAAGAGAAAGUCUUAAAAAGAAAACUCAAAGAUAAUUUUAUUAACUCAAAGUGAAUAAUGAAUGAAUUCAUUGUUGUACAAUGCAAAGGCCUUUAUAUAGGCUAGUUAAAUAAAUCUAAAUAAAAAUCUCAAGUAUACUAGAACUCUAAUUAACCGAAACAAGAAGUAGUUUUAAACUAAACUUUCUUGUUGAUAUAAAACUCCUAAAUAACUUAAAAUAUUUAAUAAUUAUAAAAAAAUUAGAAUAAAAAAAUAAUAAAAUAAUAAGAGAAGAUAAAUAGAAUAUUGGGCUUAUAUAUAAUAAAAAUUAAGCUUAAAACCCAAAACCAAUAUGAUUUAAACUCGAAUUAAAAGCCUGAAACUCGUAAUUUCAGUAAUAAUCCCGUCGAGAAAUUCUACUCAUGCAGUUUUCACUAAAACAAUCAUAACUUGAGUUCUCGAACUCGAAAUCAAGUGAUUCAAAGUGUGUGUCGAAGCUAAAAGAUAUAUCUUAGAACGCUAUGAAGACAUAUUAAUCUAGAAUGUCUAGAACCCAUCCAAAAAUUUGUCACAAGUUGACUAAUCUUUUCAUCUUUAAAAUUGAUAGCUUGGCUAAAUUGACUUUAAUAGAUUUCACCCAUUCCGAGCAUGUUUCAUUCCUCGUUGCCUCGAAAAGUUUAUCCUCACUUACUAACUUUAACCAAAACUUGGUUUGAUUUGGUUGACCUUUGAUCUUGUUGUUGAGCCUUGAGGUAGUGUAAGCCCAUCACAUGUAUCGAUUUGAAAGUUGACAUUUAGACUUGUUUUGUUCCCCCAUUCCUCAAGAAGAUUCGUCCUCGAAUCUUUAGUUGUAUAAAAAAAGGGAUUAGGAUUAAUAACAAUAAAAGCAAACAAAUAAUUACAUAAUCUUUCCUGUGCACCAAAACUAUCUCCAAGAUCAAAGAUAUGAUUUUUGUCUCCCAAAUUAGCUUGGAUCAAGUACCUCUCCUCCAAAAAUAAACCAUCAACACUAAAAAUAUAAAUAUUAGGCACAUGAGUGUUCAAGUAUAAAAUAAUUUGUAACUUUAUUUGAAUACGUAUGGUCAUCCAUAAUAAAUUCCAAAGAUUAGUUAAUAAUUUCACAUAAUAAUCAAAAUCCAGAAGUUUAAUAUUAUUAUGUAAAACAUCAUAUUUAAAGUCUAAGGUAGAAAAUUUUGCUGCAAGAUCAAAUGCAUAAAGUUCUUUAAUAAACCUAUCGAAUGCAACAAAAGUAACCUUUACAAACCUAGAUAAACCCAUAAAAUCAAUUGAACUUUCAAACCAUAGUUUAUUGAAACUUGACCAAUGAGAAAACAUGUUGUAAUGAAAUAUUUUACAAACAAAAUCAGUAAUAUGCUUAUUAAAAACAUUCAAAGUAUGCCUUUUUAAAUCAGAAUGUUUCCUUGCCUUUCUUACCUUGUAGCAUUUGUGGAGAAUUAUCAAUGUUUAACUUACCUCUCUCCCAUAAGGAAAAUCGUCUAUCGAUGGUAUAAUAAUAUAAUUGGAAGUCUGUCAAUGGAUCUCGAAAACCCAAAAAAUUGCGGAGCAACUUGAAAAAAUUUGUUCGAGGUGUUCCCAAUUUCCAAAAAUCAUGAAAUUUAAACUAGAACCUUCCCAAAUAACAAAAAUCUGAUUUGGAAAUUUUGGCAUGAAACUCAACCUAAAGAAUAAUUUUUUAUUUUUCUUUUAUGUUUAUGUUUUUCCUCUUUUUUGAUCACUUUUUUUUUGUGGAAAAUAUUUUUUAAUAUUCUAAAAGAGUGCUAAGAAUCAGCAUGUAAAAUUUUAGAUCUUUUGAAAAAUGUUUACCAAUUGAAAAAUAAUUUUUUUCCAAAAAGUUUUUGCGUAAAAACAAAAACUCUUUUGAGACUAUUUGCUGGAAAUCAAUUUAUAAGAACACAAAGAAUAUCUAAAAUGCCCAAGAAUUUGAUACCAAAUGAUAAGGUGACAGGGGACAUGAUUGUAAGUUUGUUCAAGUCACGGAUUUGACUUAGGGCUCUAGAUGUUCGAAAAGAAACAUGGAUUUUGGCACAACCUGAAACACAAUGAAUCCAAGUCAGAUAAAAAAAUAAAUGAAAAUAAUUGUGUAACACCCCAAAGCCGGCCUAGGAGUUAUGAUCGUAUCUAGUGUGUCACAUUGAAGUGUUUUUCAAAAAAUUUGACUCGUUGAAAAAAAAACUUGUUUCUAAGUUUAAAAUAAAUAAGCAAAAGCCCAAUUAAAAAUAUAAGCUACUUAAAGGCCUUAUUACAAAAAUAAAACCCAACAUUAAAUUAAAUAAAAAUUAAAGUAAAUUUUAAAUAGCAGCAGUUGUGUGGCCACCUCUAAGUCUCUCGCAGCACCGAAUCGCCUAAGGCUUAGGAUUACUUGCACAGUUAGAAGAGAGGGUGAGUUUACGAAAACUCAGUGUGUAAUCCUCUACCAAAUAAUCAGCAUACAACAUGCAGAAUCAGUCUGGGCUAGAGCCCUAUACAGUAACAGUGUGUAGGCCAUAGCCCAAUAUAGUAACAGAGAGUGGGCCUUAGCCCAAUACAAUAACAAAGUGUGGGCCUUAGCCCAAUACAGUAACAAGGCAAAUGCAGUAAUGCAACCCAUCCCAAUCAAGCCAACACACCACUCCGUACCACCAACACACCAUGUAGGGAUAAAAUUGACCCACCCAGCCAACACACCAAUAUCGCAGCAAAGCUGCCAGUAAUAGUAACGCAGCAAAGCUGCCAGUAACAGUAAUGCAGCAGAGCUGCCAGUAUCAGUAACGCAACAAAGCUGCCAGUAACAGUAUUUGUGGCAAAGCCACCAGUACAAUACACUUCCCCCAUAUCAGAAUCCCAACCCUAUGCAGUAUGUCAUAAAUCAUACGUGUAUGCAGUAUGUCAUACUCAGUAACAGUUAUAUAUAUAUAUAUCAUAGAACAAGUCGUUCAUACACACAUUUCAAUUCUUAGGAGCAUAAUAGUCAUUUUACCCUAUGGAGGUGUUUCAGUCAUUUUACCCUUUGAGGGUAUUUCGGUCAUUUUACCUUUCAAGGAUAUUUCGAUCAUUUUACCCUUCGAGGGUAUUUUAGUAAUUUUACCCUUCGGGGGUAUUUUGAUAAUUUUACCGUUCAAGGGUAUUUCAGUAAUUUUACCCUUCGGGGGUAUUUCAAUAAUUUUACCCUUCGAGGGUAUUUCAGUAAUUUUACUCAUCAAGGGUAUUUUGAUAAUUUUACUCAUCGAGGGUAUUUCGAUAAUUUUACCCAUCAAGGGUAUUUCGGUAAUUUGCCCACAAAUCGUACGUAGGGCUCAUCACUCGAGCGAUUGCACGCCCGUGUGGUCUCAAACGUCAUGUUCACGGCUUUUUAGCUUUUGCCGAUUUGCAGUUAAGUGAGGGUGUGAUUACACACCUGAUUGCGAAGGCGCACCUAAGUCUGCGAACACCUAAAAUCUGCAUUCAAACACGUUUUCCAUUAGACGCUAAACAAGAAAGACUAAUCACCUUCUAAACAUCCUUGAUCAAAACCAAUUUAUUACUUGCCUUGACUAACAAAAGAAUGGCUUAGCCACUUGCAAACGAUGUCGACUGAUUCAAUCUUGCUAACAGAUAUCUGCAAUGCUACCACACAUUAAUCGGUAUUGCUUAUUCAUGUGGUUGAAAUCCAUACAUAAUCAAAAAGAGAACCAAGAACAUUUGGCCUUCAUAUAAGAAUACUAGCCUACCUACCUUGGUCGAGGGAUGAGAGGAUGAUUUCAACAAAUUUACAACGCUUACACCGUACCACUUCUCGAGGAAAAACCUUAAUACCACAAUAGGCAGCACAUCGAGAGAAAAGCAUCAAUAAUAAAAAAAUCAAAGUAUUACAGAGGAGGCUAUUUGAUUUUAGGUAAAGAGAAAGAAGGGAACAGUAGCACUUACCGGUAGUCGAUAAUACUUGUAACACAAAAUAAAAAAGGAGAAAAAGAGAAGUGCAAAGAAGAUUCGACACAAAAAGAGAAGAAAGGGAAAAGGAUUCGGUAGAUAGGAUACCAAAGAACUAUUCGGCCACUCCAACAAAAGAAUAAAAUGGAAGUAGGAGAAGGCAGAUGAACAAACCUGAGAGGUUCCCAAGAUCCUUUGGGAAAAAUGGCACAGAAAAAACAAAAGGGGAGAAAGAAAAGCCAAACAAAACUGAAAUUGACCAAAAUUUCAACUGUGAAUGAGAGAAUUCUCUUAAAUAUAGAAACUUUACCAACCAAAAGACCAAUUCGGCACUAGUAACCCCCUAGCCGAAUUUCUUAGAGUGCCAGACUCCAAAAUCUGCACAACUCUUCUACUCAUCAACUCCUCGAUUUUCUCCUCAAAUCUCUCUUGUUAUCACUCCACCGAUUUCUCCUCAACUCCCUCUAUGACCAAUUCAAACUUCCUUCGGCAGUAUUUCACUCCAACUCUGCCACUUACAAGACUCAAGCAGCAAAAUAAAUACCCCAUUGCGCAACCCAAGACUUGAACCCCUGACUUCUCAGACACUUCCAAACACUCCUAAAUCACUUAACCACUGAAGCAGACAUUCAUUUAUGUCACUUUCUGUCACAGCUAAAUAUUUAUGUGCAGUGUUCGAACUGUUCCCUUAUUCAAAACAUAUUUCUUCUAGGCCCAAAAUUUGGGGUGUUACAAAUUAAAAUAAAUAACUAUGAUAAAUAAAAUAGAACAAUAAAGAAGAAAUUAAAAAAUAUAGAUGAAAAAGAUGGAACAUGGAGUGGAGAAGUCCUAAGGAGCCUUGGAAACAAGAAGAAUCCAUAACCCCCUUUAAGUGACUCUAAUUUCCCCUCCAAGAAAGAAAAAUUGACAAGAAAAAUUUUGAAUAUGAUCUCCACAACCAGAAAAGAUUGUUAAAAAUCUCCUAAUAGAAAACUCAAGAAAAAUUCUUGAGAAAAGAAAACUUAAAGAGAAUUUAUUAACUAAAAAGAGAAUUUGUUGAAUAAUAAUGAAUUGAUUUGUUGUAUACAAUGCAAAAGCCUUUAUAUAGAUUAGCUAAAUAAAUCUAAAUAAAACUCUUAAAUAUACUAUAACUCUAAUUAACCUAAACAAGAAGUAGUUUUAACUUGAAUUUUCUUGUUGACAUAAAACUCCUAAAUAACUUAAAAUACUUAAUAAUUAUAAAAAAUUAGAAUAAAAAUAAUAAAAUAACAAGAGCUAAUAAAUAUAAUAUUGUGCUUAUAUAUAAUAAAAAUUAAGCAUAAAACCCAAAUCCAAUAUGAUUUAAACUUGAAUUAAAAGCCCAAAACUCGUCAUUUCUGUAAUAAUUACUAUAACUUGAUUAUUUGUUACAUGACUAGGCGUGUGGGUUUAAUUGGUAUCCUUGAAAUGAAAUGCCUAGGCUUGUUAACAUCUUCCACAUGGGCUUGUCGUCAUAGAUUGAGAUUUUAGGCCCACAAACAAGAUUGGUCUCUUCUAAUUCAUCCUCGCUCUGUAUUAAACUCCAAAAUCCAUCAUCUUGAAGCUUCAACUCUUUUUCUCAAACUUUUUUGUGAUAAAGUCUUAAACGAAUAAGUUGAGUUUUGACUUUAACUACUUGGAUUUAGAUCUCGUGAUUGGGCACUGAGGGAAACUAAGUCCAUCUUUAUUAUAACCUUUGAAUUGGACCGGGUUGCUCGUAUCAUUGCCUCAUCCACAAAAGGGUUCUUCAUUGAAUCUGCAAUAUCAAUGGGAGAAAGGUCAACGACAUUAAAAGUGGCACUAACAUUAUGCUUAUCGAAAAGAUCGAUUUGAUAUGCAUUAUCAUUAAUGUGCUUGAGUACUUCAAAAGUUCCAUCACCACGUGGGUCCAAUUUUUCUUGCUUCUAGUCGAAAAUCCUUAUUUUCUCAUAUGGACCCAAACCUAAUCAUCAGGCUAAACUAUAACUUGCUUACACCCCUAGUUAGCUUUGUUGGCAUUCGUUUCAUUUGUUUUGGCGAUUUGUUGCCUUGCUUUCUCGUGCAUGGAUUUCACUAAUUCAGCUUUCUUCUCACUAUCCAAACUAGAAAUUUUUUCUAUAGGAAAUGUCAUAAGAUCAAGUACAGUUAGUGGAUUAAAACCAUAAACAAGUAAAAAUAGGGAAUAGCCAGUUGUAAAGUGAAUAGAUCGGUUAUAUGCAAAUUCAACAAAUGGAAAACAUUCUUCCCAACUAUUAAGGUUCUUACCCACAACAACUCGUAGUAAAGUACCUAAGACUCGAUUGACUACCUCAGUUUGUCCAUCAAUUUGGGGGUGACAUGUAGUAGAAUAUAAUAAUUUAGUAACAAGAUUACCAUAAAACACUUUCCAAAAAUGGCUUAGGAACUUUACGUCUUUGUCAGAUACAAUGGUGUGGGUUAUCCCAUGUAGGCGCACUACCUCUCUAAAAAGUAAGUCAACCACAUGUGUUGCAUCAUUCAUUUUGUGGCAAGGAUUGAAGUGAGCCAUCUUUGAAAACUUGUCAACAACAACAAAAAUACUAUCUUGACCCUUUCUAGUUCGUGGCAAACCAAGAAUGAAAUCCGCGGAUAAGUAUACCCAUAGUGAAGAAGGAAUCGACAAAGAAGUGAAAAGUUCAUAAGACGUUACCUUAGAUUUUGCUUAUUUACAAGCAAUACAUUUAGAAUAUACCUUUACAACAUCCUUCCUCAUGUGCCGUAAAUAAAAAAUGUUCUUGUAAAAUAUCUAGUGUUUUGGCGACACCAAAGUGUCCCAUUAAGCCCUCAGUACAUACCUCACGAUUUAAUAACUCUCUCAUGGAACAUUGUGGAACACAUAAACUGUUUAGGCAAAAUAGAAACCCAUCUACAAGAUAAAAGUUGUUAAAGGCAACAUUCUGACAAUUAGAAAAAAUAUUUGCAAAAUCAAUAUCAUUUAAGUAUAAAUCCUUUUUAUGUUCAAACCCUAAGACUUUAGCAUUUAAUGUAGUUAUCAAAGAAUAUCUACGAUAUAAGGCAUCAACAACUACAUUUUCUCUACUUGUUUUGUACUUAAUUACAUAUGCGAAUGUCUCUAGGAGUUCUACGCAUCAAGCGUGUCUUUUUCUCAACUUACCUUGUCCCUUUAACCAUUUUAGGAAUUCUUGAUUUGUAUGGAUAAAAAAUCAUUUGGCAGCAAGUAAUGUUUCCAAACUUGUAGAACUUGAACUAAUGUAAGCAACUCCUUAUCUUAAGUUGAGUAGUUUAAUUGCGCCCCAUUCAAUUUUUCACUAAAGCAUGCGAUAGGGCUCUUGUCUUGCAUCAAUACAACUCCAUUUCCAAUAACUGAAGCAUGACAUUCAAGUUCAAAAGUAUUAGAAAAAUUAGAUAAUUUAAGAACAGAAGUAGAACAUAACUUAUCCUUUAAGGCUUGAAAAGCCUUUUCCUGAGCUUCUCUCCACUUAAAAUUCACAGACUUUUUAAUAACCUCAAUUAAUGGGGCAACAAUAGUGGAGAAAUCCUUCACAAAACAUCUAUAAAAACUUUCUAAACCAUGAAAAGAUCCCACCUCAUUAAUUGUUUUAGGAGUGGGUCACUCCCUAAUUGCCUUUAAUUUGUCCUUAUCGACAUGAAUACCUUGAGCACUUACUAUAAAACUAAAAUGGCUAGUUUAUAACAACAAAAAUUGCAUUUAUCAAGGUUGGGAAGUAACUUUUCAGUUCUAGGAAUGUCCAAAAUAAAUUUAACAUGGAAAACAUGAUCAUCUAAAGAAGUUGAGUAAAUCAUAAUAUCAUCAAAAUAUACUACCACAAACUUACCUUAAUAAGGCCUUAAAACAUGAUUCAUUAUUCUCAUGAAAGUACUAGGUGUGUUAGUUAGACAGAAGGGCAUAACAAGUCACUCAUACAAUCCAAACAUAGUUUUAAAGGUUGUUUUCCAUUCAUUCUCUUCCCUCAUAUGAAUUUGAUGAGAACCACUUUUUAAAUCAAAUUUAGUAAAAAUUAUUAAACCUUGUAACUCAUCAAGCAUGUCAUCAAGUUUAGAGAUUGGAUGCUUAUACUUUACUGUUAUUUUAUUGAUAGGGCAACAAUCAACACAUUCAGAAUGAACCAUCCUUCUUAGGCACCAAUAGGACCGGGACGGCACAAGGGUUCAAACUUUCUCUAAUGUACGCUUUUUUUAAUAGCUCUUUCACUUGCCUUUGUAACUUCUUUGUCUCCUUGUGAUUGCUUCGGUAAGCUGGACAGUUUGGAAUUGUUGUACCAAGUUCUAAGUCAAUUUGGUGGUCAAAACCUAGCAAAGUUGGUAAACCUUCAGGUGGCUUAUUAAAAACAUCCUCAUAAUCUCGCAAAACAGAUGAAAAGACACUAGGCAAAAAAUCAUUAAGGUUAGCUAAAGUUAAAAAAAAAACAUCCUCAUCCACAUUAUCUCGUUGUAUGAGCAUUUUCAUCUCCUUGAAGUAAUUUGUAAGGCCCUAAAAAUAAGUCUGGCAGUUUCGGGUAAGUUUAAUGGGUUCCAAGUGAAAAUUAGGAGUUAAUCAGGUUUAUUAGUAAUUUUUAUUAGUUAGUUAGCUUAAUUUCAUUUAAAAAUAAGGAAAUAAUAUUCCAGAAAUAAAAUAUUUUUAGAAAAAUUAAUUUUAUAGUCUUAAAUAAUUUUUGGGUAAAAUAAAUAUUUUGGGUCGAAUUAGAAUUGAAAAAUCAAUUAAAAUGGGGGUUUAAUUGAGAGAAUUCAAAAUAUUGAUUACAUAGGACCAUUUUGCAAAACAAGAGAAAUAUUUGAGUGGUUCUAUGGAAAAUUACCCAUAUUUUUAGAAUUUUGGAGGGAAAAGAUUAUUUAGUAAAAGAAGGGAAUUGCGGGAGUGGCCUGAUGACAAUUUCCCCAAUUUUUGGAAAUCAGGUGGGGGUUCUUUAGUUCAAAAACGCUGCAGCCUCCUCACUUCACACACAAUUAUCAACUGAUUUCUAAGCAUUUUCUCUCAUUUUUAUUUUUCAUUUUCAAAGUCCACAUAUCAAAGAUUUGAUCUCAUCUUUUAUUCUCUCAAAAUUCUCUAGAAAAGAUUUCUAAAGUUGAGAAAAAACUCAUCCGAGUUCUUCAAAGAUCUUGAUCCAAUCUUCAAUAUUGGUGAUUCUAGAUCGAUUGAAGGUAUUUUCUCAAGUCUAAAUUCAUUCUAACGUUGUUUUAAUCAUUAUUUUCAAUCUAAAUUGAUUAAAAUAGCUUUUCAAAUCUUGAUCUCUUAGCUAUUGAACAUGAGAUUCAUCAAUGGUGAAUUCAUGGUUUUGAUUUGGAGUCCAAGUUUAAAUGGAUAUUUAAGCUCAAACUCGUUUGGUUGAUCAUUUUUGACAAAUCCAUUUUUUUAACUAAAAACAUGAGUUGAUUUUCUGAAAAAUUAUGAAACGGUUUGUUUGGUGAAAUUGAUGUUUAGGUUUUGUGUUGAUAGAUUAGGAAUGAUGUUUAGAAAUCAUUUUUGGUGUAGAGAAGGUCAUUUGGGUGUUGAAAUUUGUGUUUCAGAUCGAUCAUGAGUUUUCAGUAAGGCAGAUUGGAGAGGCGUUUUAGAUCUGUGUAGUUCAUGAUUUUUCAAUUUUAUUGUUUUUAAUGAUAACUUGUAACAUGUAUUUUACCUCUGCUUAAGAUCCACAUCGAGGAGGGGCCACUGCUGAUUAGAAUUGAGGUCUAAACACAACUACUUGAUACACUUUGGCUUGAAAAGCAAAGUGUGAAUGUGAGUGGUUUUUAAAGGAAAUUGGUAAACAUGAUUGUUUACAUUCUGAAUUGAGGUUUUGAAUUGUGUUUCUAGUGAUUCAAUUGUAUCUCAAAUGGUUUACAUUUCAAAUUUGAUUUUAAUUUUAUGAAAGCAUAUUUGUAAAUGAUUUAUGGAAACUAUGAAUAGAGUGUUUGAUAUGGUUGAUUUGAAUUAGAUUGAUUAAUAAUUGGAGCAUGGAUUACUAUAUAUUAGAUCACUUAAUGAUGAUUUUAUAGUUGGUUUUAGAUCCAUGGACAAAGACACUUAUUGAGCUUAUCUAUGUUGAUGUUAAAAUUACUAAGUGACAUGCUUUAAAUUAAAUUUUUAUAUCCUGAAUUAAGUGCUUAAAUAUCAGUAUUUAUGCCCUGUGUGUUUGGUUAUAUUGGCAACAUUGCAUGGUGGAUCCAUUAGAUAUAGAUGACAUACCAUAGGAUUAGUGAGUACUCACCACUACAUGUGUUAUUUGUGAGCAUACGGCUUUAUGAGUAUUGACAUUGCUGGAGUGAAUAAGGGAGUGUUGAGCCUUUUUUCUCCACUCAAUCAUUGGAGAUUUCGAGGAAACAUAAAGGAGUGUAUGGCUACACCCCACUGAACCGGAGUAUUGUAUUCGAUAUUUGGAAGAUUGGAGAUCCGUUUAUCCAAUGCAUGAUCACAUGUUUAUAUUUUGCUAUGGAUGUCAUUUGCUAAUAUAAGUGUGUGCUUGUUAAAUAUAAUAUGUUUUCAUAUGCCAUAAUAAAUGUGAUUUUUACUCAUGGAAUAACAUGUGGAAUUAUGAUGUUAUGAUGUUGCAUUGAUGCUGGAAAUUUCAGUCAAUUGAAUGCCAUAAUUCAGCGUGAAAAUAUAAUUGAAACUAUGAAUCAUAUAACUGAAAUUUGAUACAUGAUUUGCCUUGGUUUAAGUAUGUCUUUGGUGUGAUUUACUUAUUUAAUUUAUGGCCAUUCACUGAGAUUUUUCAGCUCACACCCUCACAGCUUUGUGCAGAGUUUUUCUAGCUUUGAGGAUUCGAGGAGCAAGGGCAAGGUUGGUCCAAGUUUAAUUCUACUUGGUAGUAUAGAUUAAGGGCUUUUCUAUAGAUAAAUUCAAGGGAAUUGUGGCACUCAAUUGGGAUAAUUUGAUACACUUGUAAUGGAUGUUUGAGACUUACAUUUGGAUAUUAAUUUUGAGAUGUUAUAUUUGUUUUUUUUUAUGUUUGGUUUUAUGGUUAAAUGUUGAGUGUAGUAUUGUAUGUUGCUAAGUGAUAACAUGGUGAUUGAAAAUAUGGUGAUUGAAGCAUGAAAUUCUCACUAAUACAUUUUAAUCGUAGUUUGUCAAGGAGUGGAUAGCUUUGUGGCUAAGGUAAGUCUAUUGUAUGUUUUAAUUGUUGUUCGUUAAGCAUGAUUUUGAAUGUUUAAAUUAUUAAACACAUGUUGUUUAUUAGUUGUAAUUAGAUUAAUUAGAGUUGUAUGUAUGAUUAAGGUAAUAAAACUUAGCUAAUAUAGCUUUAAUUAAUAAACGAAUUAAGGGAAAAUGACUAGUUAAAAAGAAUAUCAGGGGUUUCACUAAUUAAAAAUAAUAUCAGGGGUUUCAUAAAUUGACUAUAAGAAACUUAGUAACCAUUUAGAAUUAAAAUCAGGUUUGUUUAGCUUUAAGUGCUGAAAUGACCUAGAUACCCUUAGGGUUAAAUUCCUAAAGGAAGUUUUAAAAUGGUUCACAAAUCGCUUUUGCAAAAAGAUUAGAUAGUUAUUAGUUAGAAAUGGGGUGUUAUAAGGUUAGGGUGUGCUUUAGGUGAUUUUGUGCUAGAGAGUCACUUCAGUGACUAAUGUGUCUAUAACAUCCCUAACUCGUAUCCGUUGUCGAAAUAGGGUUACAGAGCAUUACCAUACAAAUAGAACAGUAAACCAUUCAAUUCAUACAUCAAUGCAAAUAUAAUCUAACUACAUUCAAUUACAUUCAUAAUGUCCCUUAAUCGAACCCUCCAGGCCCUAAAAAUACUUUAGAAAUAAUCCAGGACUAAAUCAGAAAUAUUGUACUUGUACAUCUGUUUCAAGUCACAAUACUUCUUCGUACUACCAGGAGGAAUAAAAUACGUAGUACUGUGAGCUUCAGACAAAUUAUCUCUUUUCAAAUCUGAAUCAUUUGGAACACAAAUUCUAUCACUAUAACGCAAUGUACCGUUAUCAGUAAUAUUGUACUCAGUACUGAUGUCAUUCUGAACCAAUUUUUGUUUCAACGUCAACUUUGGAUCUUUUUUUUGCAAUUCCCAAAUCCAUUGUAGAAAUAGGGGUUUGGUUCUCAACUUUGCCAGCAUAGAACCAUCUUCAUUCAGAGCUAAAUGAGCGUUCAACACUCGAAGUGCAAACAAUGACGACUUUAAACUGAGUGCAUCUGCGACCACAUUAGCCUUUCUCAGAUGAAAAUCAAUAACCAAAUUAUAACCUGUCAGUAGCUCUAACUAAUGUCUCUGUCUUAAAUUCAGUUCUUUCUAAGUCAUCAAAUACUUUAAACUUUUGUGAUCCGUAAACACAUGACAUUUCUCGCCGUAUAAAUUAUGUCUCCUAAUCUUCAAAGCAAAUACAAUCGUGGCCAGCUCAAGAUCAUGAGUAGGAUAAUUCUUUUCAUGUGGCUUUAGCUAUUGAGAAGCAUAAGCUACUACUUUUCCUACCUGCAUAAGCACACAACCGAAAUUGUUGAAAGACGCAGCACUAUAAACAACAUAUGCUACCUUAAAUUUAGGCCAAGUCAACACUGGAACUUCUGUCAACAUGUUUUUCAAUUGAUCAAAACUCUGUUGGCACUUCUCAGACCAAAUAAACUCAACAUUUUUCUAUAGUAGUCUAGUCAUCAGUGAAGCAAUAAUCGAGAAGUUUUUAACAAAACGUCGAUAGUAACCUGUUAAACCCAGAAAACUUCGUACCUUAGAAAUAUUCUUCGAAAUUGUCCAAUUCAUCACAGCAAAAACUUUACUCGGAUCAACUCAAACCCCAUCAGCUAAUACUAUGGAACCCAAAAAUCCAACCUCUCGAAUCCAUAAUUCACACUUACUGAACUUUGUGUACAACUAUUUUUCUCUCAAAGUCUGUAACACGAUUCUCAAAUGUUGAGCAUGCUUGGAUUCUAUCUUGGAAUAGAUCAAUAUAUCAUAAAUAAACACAAUAGCAAAUCUAUCCAAAUGAGCUUGAAAAACUCGAUUCAUUAAAUCUAUAAAAGCAACAUGAGCAUUAGUCAAACCAAAUGGCAUUACUAGAAACUCAUAUUGACCGUAACGAGUUUUCGUCUUUGAUGGAUCACAAUCUUUAACCUUCAAUUGAUAGUACCCGGAUCUGAGAUCUAUCUUCGAUAACACUGUGGCACCUUUUAAUUGAUCAAACAAAUUGUCAGUUCCUGGCAAAGGAUACUUAUUAAUUAUCGUGACUGUGUUCAAUUGUCUGUAGUCUAUACACAAUCUCAAAGAGUCAUCUUUCUUUUUCACAAACAAUACUGAUGCACCCUAGGGAGAUACGCUCGGUCGAAUAAAGCCUCUAUCUAAUAACUCUUGCAAUUAUGCUUUCAAAUCUUUUAAUUCAAUUGGUGCCAAACAAUACGUUGAUAUUGAUAUCAGUGUAGUUCAAGGAGUUAGAUCAAUCACAAACUCAACUUUACGAUCAGGAGGCAAACCCGCUAACUCUUCAAGAAACACAUCAAUAAACUCAUUAAUAAUUGCUAGUUUAUCUAACUUCGAUUUUGAAUCUCUGAUAUAAAAAAUGUAUGCUAGAAACGCUUCACUACCUUUGCGUAUCAAUCUCUAUGCAAAAAUAGCUGAAAUGAUUGGAACAGCAUUUUUCGGCCCAUCAGACUUAACUAAAAUCACCUAUUCUAUCUAACAUUUCAAAUCAAUCUAUUUCUGCCUACAGUUUACUACAACAUCAUGCAACGAUAGCCAAUCCAAACUGAGAAUAAUAUCAAAUUCUUGAAAGGGUAGUAACAUCAAAACAGCAGGGAAUUCACAGCUUCUAACUUUUCAUGGACAUUUACAACAAACUAAGUUAACUAUCACACUCUGACCUAGUGGAUUAGUAACUUGAAUAUCAUAUUUAGUAGAUUCAACAUAUAAUUUCUUUUUCAUUACUAAUGCAGUGCAAAUAUAAGAAUAAGUUGACCCAAGGUCAAUCAACGCAUACACAGUAACAUCAAAGAGAUAAAAUAUACCAGCAAUCGCAUUAGGAGCAGUACCUUCCUUUCUGGCUCGAAUGUCAUAUGUGCGAGCAUUUACUCUAGCCUCUGAUCAAACAACAGUGUCCUUUACUCUUGUACAAGUAGUCCAGUAGUACUAUUUUGGCCCGGACGUCUACCUUUCUGAGAUGUAGACAUUUGCUUCUCAUUUUGUUCUUCAUUUUCUUUUAACUGUUUAGGACAAUUUCAGAGAAAGUGAUCAGUCGACCCACAUUUAUAACAGAAUCCUGACUUAGUUCUAUACUAGCUAAGAUGAAAUUUUCCACAAUGUCUACAACUGGGCUUCGGAGCGUUCCGUACACUUCCCAUACUAUCAACUAGUUUAAUAGGAGCUUUAAAGUCAUGCUGAAUCGAUUUACGUUUGUUCGGAUGUUCAGACACUGAAAUAGCUCGACUAAAGUCUUAUUUAGUUUUCUUUGCUGGUGAUGCGGAAAACGAUUUAGAAGAACUUCUCUUGUGAAACUCUCGAAUCCGUUGAUCUCUUUUUAUUUACGAUUGUACACUUCUUCCAUUUUCUAUGCACGACCGAAUAAAACAAUAAAUUCUUGAAUUUCAUUACCUCCGAUCAUCAUUCGGAUUUCAUCAUUCAGGCCAUCUUCAAAUUGGAUACAGAUCUCUUCUUCAAUGGGCACAAUCUCUCGGGCAUAGUUACUAAGAUAUACAAAUUCUCUCUUGUACUCAACCAUCGAUUUAUUUCCCUGAUGUAACAUAAGAAAUUCUGUCUUUUUCUUGUCUAGAUACUAUUUCUCGACAUACUUCUUUUUAAACUCGUUCUGAAAGAUAUCACAGGAAAUUUUCUCCCUCGGUACCAAAGCUACCAACGUUGUCCACUAACUGUACGAUUCCUCUUUUAGUAAUGCAAUGAGACAUCUAAGAAAAUCAUCAGGAGGGCAAGCCAUUUCUUCGAAAACGCGUAAGAUUUUCUAAAGCCAAUACUCAGCUUUAACCGAAUCAUCUUCUGAUCUACCUCGAAAUUCUUCAGCACCACACUUUCUAAGUUUCUCAAUCGAAAUACUUCAACUAGGCUCAAUCACGAGAGGAGCUAGAGGUGCAACUGGAGGUAUAACAUGAGGUAUAAAAGGGGGUAAAGGUCAUUGACCCAGAGUAUUCAUUUGCAUAAACUCAUUGAACCAUUGGUUCAUAAAUCCAAGGAACAUGUAUUUAUGUUUAUGCUUCAGUGUUGGAUGAAUUGAAACAUUACUACUCGUCCCAUGAUUAAAGGUCGGUAAAUUACUAUUAACCUCAUCAUUGUCGACAUGAUCAGAUCCAUCUGACAUCUUUAUAAUCUAAAAGAAAAACAAAGGUUAGAUCGGAUAAAACACAUCACACUAUCACAAAUUUAUAUGGCAGGUAAUUCUAGGCAUUUCACAUGCUACGUUUAGUCUGAGAACUGACUAAACCGUAGCUCUGAUACUACUAAAUGUAACACCCCUAACUCGUAUCUGUCACCAAAAUAGGGUUAUGGAGCAUUACCAUACAAACAAAAUAGUAAACCAUUCAAUUCAUACAUUAAUGCAAAUAUAAUCUAAUUAUAUUCAAUUUCAUUCGUAAUGUCCCUUAAUCGAACCCUCAAGGCCCUAAAAAUAUUUUAGAAACAAUCCGGGACUAAAUUGAAAACAUUUGGAAAGUUUAAGAAAAAAUUAGAAAAUUUGGAUUGUAGGGGUCACACGGCCGUGUAGCCAGGCUGUGUGCCUCACAUGGUUAAGACACACACUCGUGUCUCAGGCCAUAUAACCUUCAAAAUAGGGACACACGACCGUGUCCCAGCCUGUGUACUCACCUAUGGAACUCUCUGAGCUGCAUUACACGACCAAGCCACACGCUCGUACGCUAGGCCGUGUAACGCUCAGAAUAGCCUUACACGCCCGUGUGCCAGGCCGUGUUCUAGGCUUUGUAACUGUUUGACUUGUGAGCCUUAAACCUAUAGGGGACACACGACUGUGUCGCAUGGUCGUGUGUCACAGACGGCUGAGUCAUACACCGGUGUCUCAGGCUGUGUGGACCUAAAAUGAACCUUAUACCAUAGGUUUACCAUUUCAAACUUACUUGGAUCCUAGUAAACUAUUUACCAACCAAAGCACCUAUUGAAAAUAACAUUAAUCAAGCAAAAAACAUACCAAAUCAAUCUAUUAAGUGUCUAACCAAUGUACCCUUAUUGGUACCAUAAGUAUAUACAAUUUUACAUCAAAAUAAAACCUCAAACACAACUUAUCAAUUCAUAAAAUUAACACGUAACCAAUGUACCAUUCUAUUUUCAUUGAAACAUCUACCUCAUUCACAUUCAUUAUAUAAGUUAGCAAUUCAUACAUAAUAUCUUACUUAGCAUUUUACUAUUUUCAAAACAUUAGUAAUAUCAACACAGAAGCCUAUUACAUGCCAUAUAAACCAAAUCAAACAUUUCAAAAACUAUCGAGUUAAGCUGAAUAGUGUAACUUGAGUGCUGAACUGAUCAUCCAACCUUUCGAGUAUCUACAAGAACAUUAAAUAACAAAAGUAAAAUAAAUGAAGCUUAGUAAGUUUAAUGUAUUUAAAUGAAAAAUGUUACCGAAGUAAUUACAACAAUUCAAACAAUAACUAUUCAACCAUGAAGGUUUCAUGUCAUCCACAAUCUCAACUAAAAAAUCACAUACAUUCAAUUUAAUGCUCAAAUGUAUAGCAAAUCCAUCAAAUUCGUUAAACAAAUUACCUUACUGAGAUUUUCAAUUCGAAGAAUGACUUACGGAUAGAAGCGCAUCGUCAAUCCAACCAUAACACGCCAGAUGCUCAUAUGAGCGAAUCCCUCCAAAACACACCAAAUUCUCACAAGAGCUAGUCCAACUGAAAAACGCCAAUGCUCAUAAGAGCUAGUCCAACCGAAAAAUGCCAAUACUGAUAAGAGCUAGUCCAACUAAAACACGCCAAAUAGAGAGUAUAACAGGAGACUUCGCAACAAAUACUGAACCUCAAUUUACUCGGGAAAUAAAUAUAUACAUCCCUCUAAAACCAUCUCCACUCGAAUCCCCCACAACACACCAUAUCACGAUUAUACUCUAUCCCGCAUUCAAUUCAACCCGAACAUCAAAUUCAAUAACAUAUCUCAAAUAAUCUUUCAUUAUCAUUAAUUGAAUAUAUAUAUAUUGGUAUCAUGUUAUACUAUUCAACAAUUGAUAUAGAUGUUAAAUUUUAAACCGUUCAAACUUACCUUGACUGAAUUGUAGUAGUUGUAUAAGUUUAGGGACUAUUUCGCUAUUUUUCCUUUUCCACGAGUGUCUACGAGAUCUUGAUCUAAAAUGUAAAAUUUCUCAAAUAUCAGCUUACAUUUCACAUUUCAAUCCAUUUUACAACUAAUAACCUUUUAUUUUUCAAAUUUACAUAAAUACCCUAAACUUUUAUAAUUUUUGCAAUUUAGUCCCUUAAAUCGAAACUCAUCAAAAUAACCAUUUUUGUCAAAUCAAAAUUCUAUUCAAAUAUACUAGGCCCUUCAACAAUCCCUAAUUAACAUGAAAUUCACUAUCAAACCCUAAACUUUUGUCAUUUUCACAAUUUAAUCCUAAAAUCAAAAUCUAACAAAAAUCACUUUACAAAAUCAUUGUUCAACAUAAUCAAAGAUUCAAAUACAAGGUAUCACAAGUCAUUUUGAAAGUUUGAUAAAAAAACACAACACUCAAAAAGAAAAAAAAAACCUCACCGUUAUGCACUCAAAAAUAAAAUAAAAUUCUCAAUGAGGUAAGAAUUAAUCUUGUGAGUGUUUUAAAAGUGUUUAUAUCAAUUAAUCAUAAUGUAUUAUAACCAAACUAGCAAAGAAAACCUAGUAGCACUAGGACUCUAAAAUUAGCUAGACACCAAAUAAUUAUGUUACAUGAAGGAAGGAAUGUGUAGCGUGCUUUAACCUACUAACACAAGAAAUAAUAAAGUGUUAGAAUUUGCAAAGGAAUAAAAAAAAGUGAAAACCUAAGGCUAAGAGUCAAUGAAAAUCCCUAAAACCUGGAAACCUGAAAAAUUGUGUAGUAGCUUGACAAAAUUCGUUCGAGGUGUUCUCGAUUUCAAAAAAUCACGAAAAUUGAACUAGAGCCUUACCAAAUAAUGUAGAUUUGAUCUUGAAAGUUUCCACAUGAAAUUCAACCCACAAAACCUUUUUUAAUUUGUUUAUUUUUCAUAUUUUUCUAUUUUUUUCCACUUUUUUCACUUUUUUUUGAGAAAUAUUCUUUAAUAUUGUAAAAGAGUGGUAGGAAUCAGUAUGUAAAAUUUUAUAUUGCUUGAAAAAAAAUUUAACAACUAAAAAAUAUUUUUCCCAAAAACUUUCUGGGUAAAAAGAACUAUUUUGAGGUUGUUUGGUGGAAAUCAGUGUAUAAGAACACAAAAAACACCUAAAAUGCCCAAGAAUAUGAUACAAAAUGAUACAUACUCAAUGUGUGAAUGAGUGCAAAACAUGAUUGUAAGUUUUUCCAAGUCGCAGAUUUGACUCAGAGGUCUAGAAACUUAAAACACAAACAAAUUCAAGUCAAAUAUAAAAUGUCAAAAAAAUUAAAGGAAACAAUUAAAAUAGAUAAUUAGGACAAAAAACAAGUAAAUAAAUCAAAGAUUUGAAUAAUUAAAUAGGAACAAAAUAGAAUAAAGAAGAAAACAAAAUAGAUAGAUGGUGUGUAGAAUUCCUAUAGAGCCUUGGGAACCCAAUGAAUCCACAACCCCCUUCAAGCGGCUUUUAUUUUACUUCCAAGAAAUAAAAUUUGACAAGAAAAAGCUUGAAGAAGAUCCCCACAAUAUGAAAAGAUUGUUAAAAGUCUUCUAAAAGAAAACUCAAGAGAAAUUCUUAAAAAGAAAACUCAAAGAGAAUUUUAUUAACUCAAUGUGAAUAAUAAAUGAAUUCAUUGUUGUACAAUGCAAAGGCCUUUAUAUAGGCUAUCUAAUUAAAUCUAAAUAAAACUCUUAAGUAUACUAAAACUCUAAUUAACCUAAACAAGAAGUAGUUUUAAACUAGACAUUCUUGUUGACAUAAAACUCUUAAAUAACUUAAAAUACUUAAUAAUUAUAAAAAUUCAAAAUAAAACAUAAUAAAAUAAUGGGUCUGAAAGUGGGCCUUGGUACUCAUAUUAGGGGUACUAUUGGCUCACCAUGCAAAAAGACAUAAAAACCUUCCCCCGCACGCCUGUUGAACAUGUACAUACCAUCUCUAGUCCUUAGCCUUUUGCAAAUGGGGUAUUUACAUUGUAAGACCAUUUCCAUAAGCCACAACACAUAAGAGGUAUAUUGUCAUCACCAUAGAAUAUUUUACGAAAUGGAUAGAAGCAAAAGCAUUAGCCACCAUCAAAGAAAAGCAGGUGGAGAACUUUAUCUUGAAAGUUAUCAUACGCAUAUACAAUAUCCUACGCCUGAUCAUUAUUGAUAACAUGAUGUAAUUCCCAAUAAAGUUCAAUGAAUUUUGUGAUAGCCUCCAUAUAGAUUUGGUGCUUAGUUCAGUAAAAAUCCCACAAAUGAAUGAGCAAGCAAAAGCCACUAAUAAGAAGAUCCUUUAGUGCUUGAAGAAGAAGUUAGAAUACACAAAAGGUAGAUGGUUGGAUAUAUUGCCUAGUAUCCUCAAGUCUUUAUGGACCACAUUAGACUCAGGGACAGGAGAAACCCCCUUUCAAUAUUAUGUUUAGCAUCGAAGUUGUAAUACCAGCUGAUAUUGACCUCAACACGUACCAAAUAAUUCACUAUACUGAGCAUGCCAAAGAAAACAAUCUCUAAGAGAAUCUAGAUUUCUUAGAUGAAGUGAUGAAGCACCACUUAGAAUGGAAAUCCAAGCUUCGUAGGUGGUGCAGUACUCUAAUUCCAAAGUCUACGACAAACAAUACUAGGUGGGAGACUUAAUGAUGAGGAAUGUAGAAGCUAGUCAACCAAUUGGUCAAAAAGGAAAAUUCUCAGUUACUUGGGAGGGACCUUACCAUGUAGUAGCAAUAUUGGGAUGUGGAACUUACCAAGCUCUAAAAGGAUUGUGCGUACUCACAUUUGUGAUGUGGUUUAUGGGGCAUUGAGGCCCAGGGAUAGUUUUUGGAGAGAUAAGGGAAUGUGAGCUACGCUCCAUUCACCAGGAUAUGUAUGUUUGGUGUGUUAGAGAGUGUUAACGAUACGUUUCACUUAUGGGAUAUGUACGACUCUAUGAGUCAUUAUUAGUGUGUUGGAGAUCCGUGUAUUCGAUGUAUGGUGAGAGAGUCCACAUUAUGUUUAAUAUCCUCAAGAUUCAAACUAUCAUAAAACGUGAUUGAAAGUGACUAAAUGUGAUUAAAAUGUGCUUUGAUAUAUGCUUAACUAUUUAGGUGAUUAUUGAGAUAUAUGUGUAAUGGAAUUAAUGGAAGAUGCUUAUACAUGUGAAAUAUGAUAUUAGAGUUUAAUAUGUUAUGAAUAUGAGAUAUGUCUGUUUACAAAGUGGUUAUUCUAAGCAUUCACUGAGCUUGUUCAGCUCACCUACUCCAUUUUAAGCUUUGCAGAGUAGGUGCGUUCCCGGUGUGAGCAGUGUGGCCUUCAAGGGAUUGAUCCAAGUCAUUCUUUAGUCACUAUAGUAGGUAUUGCUAGUUAUUUUUUAUAUGGGAGUUUAGGGCAAUGUGGUAGAUUUUAUAUUGGUUUUGCUACGACAUUUUUGGGGUAUUUGCAAGGUAUUUAUGUUUGGAGGUAUGUGGACUUGAAUAUGAUGCUUGGACUGUUAUUUUGGAUAAUUUGAUGUUUAUUUAACUAGGUGAAUGAAACUUGUUAUUUAGGGUUGUGUUUGAAUGUUUUUAUUACUGAUAUAUGCUGAAAUUCGAUAGUCUGAAGCAGAGGUAUUGAUAUGUGGGUUUUAAAAAUGAUACAUGUGUAAAUUCAAAAGUGUAGGGAGUUAGAAUAUAGAAUUGGUAUCGAUACCUUGGCCCGAGUAUCGAUACUCGAGGUAAAAUAAUAAAUACCUUGCGAAUGGUACCGAUAGUUGUUGACGUUUGGAAAUUUUGGUGAGAAACAGAAUGCAAGUUUGGUGUCGAUUUUUCAUGUGGUAUUGAUACCACUUAAAGAAAAUAUCAAUACCACUCUUUUAGCAUCGAUACCUAUCUAAAAUGUUUUGGAAAAUUAAGUGGUCCCAAUGCUCGAUGUAUGUCCAUUUUAUGUUUGUUCGUCAAAUGUUAGCAUGGUUAAACGUUAAUUUGAGUUUGCAUGUCAUAAUAUUCGCAUGAUUGCUAUAGUAACAAAAGAAAAUAAUGAUGUAUGUGUACUAAAUGUGACAAUUAUGAUGAAAUCGAUGUGAGACGGUAGUGUAGUGUCCUAGUAUUUUGGUUCGACGACUAGGCUGGGUAUAAGGAGUUAUAGAUCGAGUCGAGUAUAGGUUGCUACAGUAAUCCUCCCCCAUGUAUCUGGGAAAAAGUUAUUAUUGCUCCUUUAUUCUGAUAAAUAUUUGUGUUAAGCCAGUGAACCAUUCACAAGCAAGACAAUAUUUCUAUGAAAGAGUAUAUUCUAACACUUACUACUUAGUUCAAUUCACAACAAACAUUUAGAGAGAAUAAUUUGAUUGAAUACUUCAACUAAUGACUGCUCUCCUUACAAAACAAUCAAGAGUCAGAGUAUUUGGAAUUUAAAAAGAAACUAUCAAAACAUAUGUUAUAUAGAGUCACUAUUAUGAAUACCAUUCGUAAAACAUGCCAAGAAGAGCAAAGAAGGAAACAGUCAAAUGCAAGGCAUUAAAGAAACGCAUAAAGUAUUAUUCAUAUAAAGAUAUAGUACAACAUACACCAAUUAUCAAUAUCUAAACCCUCACUAGAAUUUACAAGAGGCUUCUUAAUGGGUAGAUCCUUACCAACAUCAGAAGUAUUGGUUUCCCCCUCUGCUGCACCCUGGACUUCUAAGCUCUCCCCUUUGAGAAUGGUUGUUACACAUUGAGCUCUCAUCCUCUCGACAUACUCUUCCCACUUGUGACCAUCAGGAUAAAAAAAUCUAACUCGAGGUCAUCUCUCUCGUAAGUGUUAACCCAUUGAGUGGUUUAAUAUCUAUGUUGUGGAUGUAAAGAUGGCUAGAUGUAAUUGCAUUCACAUUGCUCUGUCUGCAGCUUCUCCCUCAACUGGGCCAAGGCUUUUUAGGCUACAUCUCAUUCCUUUUUAUAAGCAUUUGCUUGGCCUUUCCAAUACUUGAUGUCAUCCCAGGCCUUUUUCUCAACAGCUUUAAGCUUCCCCUUAGCUAUCUUUACCCAAUCCUCGAUGACUUUGAUCCUUAUUUUAGUUGUACUAGAGGAGUCAUGGAAGUCCACUAUAAAGUGCAUAGACAUCUCAAUAGUAACCCUUGUCCCCUUAAAGAGAUUUUUAAAGCCUGCACAAGUAUCACGUUACAUCCAUCAGGAUAUGAUAACAUAACUUGCAAGAAUUGUUCAUCACUCAUCUAAGGGAAGUAUUAUAGAGUCUGUUGUAUAGGAAGGCACCAAUUGUGUACUACCAAUAGGAGGGUUAGUAGAAGUUUUAGCAUAUUUAUCCUUCCCUUCGCCUCCUGUAAUGGGAGUUCUCCAUCCUUCACCUUUGGGAAGGGUCUACACUGAAUUGUCCUUCACCCUCUUCCCAAAGAAAGAUUUCGCAAUAAUAUUCCUCCCUAAACCAAAGGAGGCAUUUUUUGUAGUGUCAUCCCGUCCCCUUUUGGGAGGACGUUUUAUUGAGUUUUUUCCGCUAUUAAGGGUGCUCGCAGUGUUCGAUUAGGUAUCAAGGAGAUGCAUCUCUUUUUCCCAAGUAUAGUAAGCAAAACAUCAGCAGCAAUAGGGUAUUUGCUACUCGUCAUACCUUCCGAACCUACACAAAGAACAGAAGUUAGAAUAGUAUUAGUAUCAACACAAACAAACGCACAAGACAAACACUCACGUUGUUUUCGUUUCUUAGAAUGAAAGGGGAACACAAGUCCCUCAUUGUCAAUAUCUACAUCAACCUAGUGUAUACCCUUAGAGAGGAAUACUUCCAAGUGUUUCGUUUUAGCUAAACUAUAUUACAAUUUGACCCAUGUACUUACGAACACCACCAUUUUAAUCGUAUAUAUAUAUUUGGUAUUAUUUUUACUAUAAAUGAUAACUCUUUUAUAGGCGGUCAAGUUGUUGGUGUUGUUGUCAGGGAGGUUUCAAAAAUAAAUUUUAAAAAUAUUUUUUACAAUUAAUAAGAUAAGUAGGAACAUUAAAGCUUAUAGGUAUGAUUUUUUUUUAUUUUAUUGUUAGUAAAUUUAGAAGAGGAACAUUAUGGAAACUCUGAUGGGUAGAAAUAUUUUUUUAUAUAAAUUGGCUAAAACCUAGUAAUGCUCAUCUAGUAAUGAGUACAAUUCCAUUUAAGAUUAAUCUAUCACAGUUGGAUUCCUUUAAAUCCAGAAACUCGGAACCUUUAGGGGUUAAAUUGAAAGAGGCCAAAAGUUGGCGAUCUCUACUGAAAAAUCAGGAAAAGAUAACAAUUAAAAUUGGACAAGAUUGAGAACCAAGUAUGGUUCGGUUAGAUUAGAACCAUUCGGUUCCUUAGUGGGGAACAAAAUGAUUAAGAAUGGGUGGAUGUAAAACAGUUGAGGAUCAUGCGGGAAAGGCUAUACAUAGUUGGGAAAUGACUUCUCGGGAGACUUCUUCUCUAGUCUAUUUCAUUUUUCUUCUUUAUCUUCAUCCUUAGUAGCUCCUAGAAGAGAUGGCUAUCAGAAAGCUCUACAUGGAGCGAUAACAAUGGAAUUUCAGUAGGAAAUGAGGGGAGUUCAGUGAGCUGGUAAGGCUCUAAGCCAUUCAUGGUACAGAAUAUUUAGAAACAAAGUGAAGAGUUUCUAGAAACCAUUUUUAAGGGUUCCCAAUGUUUCUAGAAAACUAAGUUUAAAUGGAGAUUUUUUAGUUUAACCCAUGAUUUGGUUGUCAUGCUUAGCUGCCAGGAGAAUGGAAGCUCUAGUGUUUGGGAAAGGCGAAUAAGCAUCAGGUGAGUUUAUGUACUUAAACAUGGAACUAUCAAAUUUUAAUGCAUGGUUUCACAAGUUUAUGAGCAUCCACCAUUUUUUAGUAUACAUGGUAAUGGAAAAUAAUGAAACGGGAUCAAUGACGGGUUAGACGAAGUUAGGAAUGGGAAAAGAGAGUAAAUCUAUUUAAUACUGCCAUAUUGUAUUGCUGAAAGCAAAUCGUGAUGUGUGAAAAGGGCACUUCGGUGUUCAAGCAUCAAGGUAUAUGAUGGGGAAAUAUAGGAAUGGAUAAAAUGAAAUAGGAAGAGUAAAGAUCAUGGCUAUGCCAUGGGACUGAUCGGAGGCAAUUCGUCUAAACUGACUAAGACUAUAGUAGAAAGAUGUUAUGGCAUCAGGAUGAAAAUGAGUAAGACCAUGGCUGAAAGAUGUUAUGACAUCAUGGAAAAUAGGAGUAAGAGCAUAGUUGGACUAUGGAAACAUGGAAACCCAGGCUGUCCGUCGGGACAAUAAUAUUGGGGUAAUAAUGUGUAAGACCAUAGCUAAAAGAAGCUAUGGCAUCAUAGAUAAUCCAAUGAGACAUUCAAAUAGGAUAGUGUAACGGGAUGUUAAUCACGGGACAGUUCUUCAAGGCACUAAACACGGGAUAGUCUGUCGGGACAGUAAGCAACGGGACCAGGUGAGUAAAACCAUGGCAAGGUUAUGGUAGCUUGUGGAGACCAUCAAGAUUCUAAACAUGGAAUAGUCCACUGGGACAGUAAACACGAGCGCUUAUCCAAAAUGGUAAUUGUUGGAAAAGUUAAAACAAGGAAAAAGGUUAGAAGAAUGAUUAAAGUAUGUGGCACAAUGGAUAGCGAGUUGAAGGAAUCUGCCAAUAAUUGAAGAAUGUAAAGAAAAUGAGAAGCCACUACUAGAAUGGUAGGUUUGUAAGCCAGCAGGGCAUACAGGUGGUAACCCCACCAGAAAGAGUUAUGGGAAAGGACAUACUAGUAGUGUCUGGUGUGCAAGCAAAUACAGGAUGGCUAACCAUGGAUCAUAGAUAAAGAUCCGCCAUUACUAAUUGUCAAAAGGUGCUUAGAAAAACCCUGUGAGCUAGAGAUUUGAUAUAAGGUAUAUUUGUUAGUUUACGAAAAAAAGGGUUAGAGAGAACCCAUUAAAUGAAUGGUCGACACCAACACACUACCAAACAUGUUCAUGCAAUUUCCAUCGCUAGGAGAAGAAGAAGAUGAUGAGGAUGAGUCAGAGCCUAAUUCCGACUAAUUUUGAAUAAUUUUUAAUUUGGACAUUGUACUUAAGUUUGUUUCUUUGGGAUGAUGGUUAUUGGUUUGUUUUAAUUUUUUUAAGAACUUUGGUAUUAUAUAUAAAAAGAUAUUGCAUUUUUCUUAGCAAGAGCCCAAAUUUUUUGAUGGGCACUACCUAAAAGGAGUAUUCCCACCAAUCGAGCUGCACAAAUCACGCCAAUCAGGUGUAUCCUCUUUCCUUUAUAUUUUUAUUGUGCAUUAAGGGCAAUCUACUGAAUAAAGUGUGGGGUGACUUAGGAAAAUUUUUAAAAUUUUUUGUUAUUUUAUUUUCCUUUAUUUUAAGUAGUUUUUAAAUUUUUAAUUGCAUGUUUUCUAUAUGAUUGAGUUUGUAGAAAUACAAGUGAUUGGUUAUAAGCAUGUUAAUAGGAUUGUGUGAAUAAAUUGUAAAAAUAGUUUGAUAAUAAUUGUUUCUAAAUUUUUAAUUUUAGACUACUGAGUUUAAUUCAUUACAUUUUGAAUAGAUUUAAGAUGUUAAGUAUACCAUGUGAUAAAUAAAUAUAUAAAAAACAUGCAUGUUUAAUUGAAUUAUAAGCUAUAGAAAUUGAUAGACAUGGCGAAUUUAAUCCAUGUAUAGAAUUACCUAUGGACGACCUAAGGCAUUAUUUGGUAGACAACUUUUUAAGCCAAAAAGCUAUCCCGUAAAUAUUUUCCCUAGUACCUAUUUUGAGCCUUAAUCCAUUCUCUUAAUGAAACCGACAUGAAACCUUAAGCCUAUUACACAUUCUAUUUGAUCCCUUAUUUCUUUGUCCUUGCAUGGAUUUAGACGUCCAACCAUCGAUAUUGAGAGAUUAAGUACAUACAUCUCGGUGGUUUAAUAAAAAUAAAAAAAUUGAGUGAACUAAGGAAUUGUAAGGUAUAGUGAGUAUAAGAUUUUGAGCUUAUAGAAAAAUAAGGCAAAAUGCAAAUCGAUAAAAUAUUGAUGAAAAAUAAAAACAAACUAAUUUGGAAAAAAGUACGCUCAUAUUUGUUCAAAAACAAAUUACGAGCUCAAAUGAUUGUACUCAUGAAUAUUAUACGAUGCCUUAGUAUAUGGAGAAAUAAGGCAGGUGAGAGAAGCAGAUAUAAGGUGGUGAGCUUAUGUAUACUUUGGGGAGUUUUGGGAACAAUAUCAUAUGCCAAACUACCUUCGUGGUGAAUCAUUUUGUCGAGCCUCAUCUUUGAAUUCCAAACCAACCUCAGUUGCGGAACGUUAGAAGCCAAAAAGUGCUAUGUGACUUAGGUAGUACCUUACAAGGAUGAAAUUGUGUCGAGUCUUGAUGGUUUUACCACUUAUAGUCAUUUGAACCUACGUGUAUAUUUGUACAUAUAUUUUGAUGAAACCUUAUACUUAAAAUUGUUUUAUUUGUUUGGCUUGUAACUUGUCGAACUAACCCGUCUAACUUUAGAAAUUGUGAGUCAGUUGUAUAGUACUCUAGAAUUACAUAUUUAUUUACCUUGUCCUAUUAAUAUAUUUCUCUCCAAUUUCCUUUAUCAAGUUAGCUUGAGUACAUUUUCUUUCCUUUGUAUAAUUAUUUAUUAUUUUUCAGUAGUUCGCUUUUAGCUUUUAAUUUGUUUUUGUUUACUUCGCUUGAGGACAAGCAAACACUUAAGUAUGGGGAUAUUUGACUUGUCGUCAAAUGUAGUAGUUAAUUCAGGUUAUUUUCGCCCUUAAAGAGUUAUUUUUCUAGGUAAUUUAGUUUUUAAUAUUAUGUUUUCAUUAUUUAGUAUUUAGAAUUAAAUAUCAGUGAAAUAAGUGUUUUUAACAAAUUUUACGAGUGUUGUGACCCAUUAGGCCAACACAGGCCUCGAGUAGUGCUAAUAUGUUCAACUGAGUGUUUAAGAUGAAUGAUUAUAGGUGUAACAACCCAGUUUUAGUGGUGUCAAAAAUAGUGGUUUCAAGACCACGACUCCAACAAGUGAGUUAUUAUUUUAAUAAUUAUUUAAAGUCAAGCAUUUGAUUGUUAUUUUUGAGUGCAUAAUAGUGAGGUUUGCUUAAUUUUUCUUUUCAUGAGUGUUGUGUUCUUUUUAGGCUUUCACAAUGAUUCACAAUAUUAUGAUUGGGAAGUUGAGAAUGGAUCAAGAUGUUCAAAAUGCUCGAGAUUAGUAACGUGACACUAUUCUAUACACAAUCAACAAAAAUUUAAAAUGUCUAAGUACAAAAAUUGAGCGUCAGAAUCGUAAUUGGGGAGAUAAGAUUGAUCAGCCUUGUCUUCGUGCAAAUAAUGCUUGACGUGUCUCUCGUAAAAAUGAUAAGACUUUGGUUAAUAAUGAUUUUAGGCAACAUGUUUUAGCUAAACCAAAGUUCAACAUUCCACCAUUUUAAGGGAAGUAUGAUCCCAAAGCAUAUUGUGAGUGGGAAUCAAAAAUUGAACUUAUGUUUCAUUACUAUAAAUGUCGGGAAGAGGAAAAAUUCCAAUUGGAAUUGAUUGUCAAAUGAACUACGAAAGGGUAAUUGAAACAUAGGAUGAGUUGAAGCAAGUGAUGUGAAGCGUUAUGUUCCUUCUCGUCACUAUAGAAAGGUCUCAAUAAGACUUCAACACCUUGUUCAAGGUAAUCGAUUUGUUGAUGAGUACUUUAAAGAGAUGGAGAUGCUUAUGCAAAGAGAAAAUAUAUGGAAGGAUGAAUAAACUACCAUGGUGCGAUUUGUAGAUGGCUUGAACAUUUCGAUAGCCAAUGCUCUUAAUCUUCAAACCUAUAUUGAUCUUGAGGAGAUGGUACACAAGGUAAUUGAGACUAAGCAACAAUUUCAGCAACAUAAAUCUCGUCCACUUGGCGCAUCACACUAUUAUCGAGGUACAAGUUCUAAUUCUACUUUCAAGAAUUCAAAACCUUCUUAUGCUAUUAAUAAGUUGCUGCCAAAACAUGCUAUGACUAAACCUUUUGAGUGGAAAAGUAAGGCUCUUACAGAACAUUCUUCUACAUCUUUCAAGCAACUCAUUUCUACUAAUUUUUCACUAAAACAACAAAGAGCUUGAGACAAUGAAUGUUAUACGUGUAAAGGGAGUGGACACUAUAGUCGUGAUUGUGCCAACACGAGACUUUUGUUGAUCAAAGAAGAUGACGAACUUUGUGAAUCAGAAAAAAAUGAUAAUGAGAAUUCUUUCCUUGAAUCUAUAGAGUUAGAUGAAAUAGAAAUGUCAUGCUCUCCUACUGAGAUAUAUUGUAUUGAAUUGAAUAUUCAUAAUACUUGUGAGAGGGAUAUGGGAAGUGAGAAAGAAUCAUGUGAAAAGACAGAGAGAAAAGAGACCUUAAGUGAUAAAAGUCUACUUGAUGGUCCAAAUUUGGUGAGUGAAAAUCCAUAUGAGUUACAAUUGGAGAGUUCUCAAGUGGAAAGAGAAAAUAAAAAGUAAGAAAAUACCCAUUCAAAAGUAAGGAGUGAUUAUGUUUUAACUAACCCUAACUGUAAUGCCACAAAAUUUUUAAUUUCAUUAUUGUGAAAAUAUGACACAUAUUUGUCAGCUUUAGUGGUUAUGUGUUCUUGGAGUGUUUGGGAGGUCCCAAGUUCAAGCCUUCGUUUGGGAAAAUUUUGGUAUUUUGAAUGAAUUAGGCCUUACUCUUGUUAAGUAAGCUUUUAUUUGAUUGUUAGGUAAAUUACAUCAGAAUGGGCAUGCUGGUCUGGUGGUUAAAUGGUGUGUUAUUAUGGUAGAGGUCUUGUGUUCGAAUUCCUAUGCAGGCAAGGGUAUUAUUUUUUUGCUCUGAUAUCGGCAUAAGUUGUGUAAUAGGGGGAUUUUGAGUAGUGGAUGUGUAGUGGGAAUUAGGGGAGAAGAUUAAGGGAUUUUGGGGGUUAUCGGGAUUUUAUUUUAUUUUUUUCCUAUAAUCGAAUUUUGACUCUCUUUUCCAAAAAAAUUAUGCCAUCUAUUCUUCUCCCUCACCUCUUGCCGAAAUUCUCUAAUUUUUUCCAUCUUUCUCUUCUUUUUUUUCUUCUUGAUUUUUCCUUCAUCCAUUUAUUUUCCUUCGUUUUCGCACGCGGUUGGUGCUCGCUUAGUUUCAAUAAGUGUUUCUCUUCGUUUCUGUCAUGAAUCUCUUAGCGACUAAAGUGGUAAUGUUUUUUCGGUAAGUGUUUCCCUUCGUUUCUGUCAUGAAUCUCUUAGUGACUAAAGUGGUAAUGUUUUUUCUCUGUGAUUUGGGCGUAGGAGGAGGCUCAGACUGGUGAAUUCAGUGUUCUCAUCUUAACAAUAGUUAAACUGAGGAUUAUCGUUGGUGGUAAGUUGGGUUUUUGUUCGUUCUUGGUUGUCAAUUCGUUUGUAAAUCCGUAAAAUUGAUGUUGAGUAUCUUGAUUAUAGGCUUUGGAGUGCUCGGGAAUUGUUUUAGCAUCAAAUAAAACCAGGUGUGUACCCAAAAUGACAAAAAAAGGGAUUCAACAAAAAGCUGAAAUUGCUUGCUGUUUGGACAACAGUAGUAGGCUAAUUUUGAAAAAUUGCCAUAAAUUGAGGAAAUCGUAUUAAUGAUGAAAAAAAUAUGGAAUUAAAGUUUAUUGAGUCUAGUUUCUCAUAGAAGAAACGGUGUAAAUAAUGAGUUCGGGUUUCCCUGUUCUGACUUUAGAAAAUCAUCAAAAAUUAGAGAAAAAUAAUUAGGGGUUAAAAUUUACAAGUUUAAAUUAUUAAUGAGUCUAUUUCCAGUAGAAACAAAUGGGUACUUCAUCCAAAUUUUUUACUAAGAGAUAAUUAUUUUUUAGCAAAGAAGGGUCGAAGCUGUCAGACAACAGAACAAGGGUAAGUUUUAAGAUUUUACUGUAUUUAUUGGCUAAACAAAAAAUUCUACAAAUUUUAUGGUAGAAAGGUAUUUGAGUCUAGUUUCAAAAACGUCAAGCGAAUUUUAAUUCGGAAUUCUGUAGCUCAAGAUGUAAAUAAUUUAGUAACAGUGACGCAAGUAGACAGCUUUGAAGGAACACAUAAAUAAAUAGUGAAAACAUAUAUGAAUAUUUAGCUAGCACGGGUUACAUUAAAAAUGGAUCACGUGGCCAAGGCCAAUUUGGCCCAAGUGGGCAACAUGGGCAUGUGAGCCUAUUUUUCUGAAAAUUUUUGUAAGGUUGCACUAGUCGCCCAAGUCGACUGUAGACCAACUGUAGGGUCGGUUGGUGAUAUCUAAAUGUAUGUACUAUGAAUUGCAUAAUGGCAUGACAUAUUUUGUAUGUUGCAUUGCAUCGGAGUGGGUUGAUGAUAUUUGGAGGAAGUGUCUGAAAGGCUAUUCAGCCUAUUAUCUGGCAGCUUAGCUGCAACCUUCUGAUUAUGUGCCACAUUUCAGUACAGCAUGGUGUGUAGGGAUAGGUGGGUUGAUUUAAUCCCCACAUGGUGUGUAGGGUUGGACAGAGAUGGUGUGUAGAGGCUGGUGGGUAGGAUUCUGAUUUACUGUAUUUGCAUUCUGUAUCUAAUAUAGGCCAAGGCCUUAAUGUAUUUCUAAGACUGUAUCUGAACAGGCUAAGGCCCAAACUAAUUCUGUGAUGGGCACAGGCCCAGACUGUAUCUAACUGAAUUAUGUUGAUUAUCUGUAUGCAUGUUUUCUGUGCGGAUUACACACCGAGUUUGUAAAAACUUACCCUUUCUCUAUUUAAUCUGUUCAGGUAAUCCCCAUACUUGACGGGUCAGUGUAGCGGAGGACUCGACCGUGGCCACACGUAAAUUUUAGACUGUUUUCUGUUAAUGUCUAGAAUUUAUUACUUAUUUGGGGUUUUUUAUGUAACUUUUGGACUAUGGACUGGUUGGCUUUAAGUUUGGGACUUUAUACUAUUUUUAUGAAUUUUUUAAACUGCAACUACACAAUUUUUCAAAAACUAAGGUUUUCGUAAAUAAAAGCGAUUUUCCCUAAAUUAAUUGGUUACAAAAGCUUCCGCUAAGAGACAAGUUUUAAAGCAAAUCAACUAGUACUUAUUUUUUUCUGAAUUAAAUAAAAGUUAACUAACUGUAACGGUUUUAACUCGACAAUCUUGUCUUCAAAUCCCAUUUCAUGUGACAUCGCCAGAUUCAGCCUUAACAUCUAGGCUGGGUUUGGGGUGCUACAUUUAGUGGUAUCAGAGCAAGGUUGCAAAACUAGACUGUGGAUUUGGGUUUUAAAAAUUGGUUUUAAAGAAAUGAUUUUUAAAUGGUUUGAAAUAUUUUUGACUGAGUAUGUGGUACACCGAGUCUCCGGCGUCAAUUCUGUAAGUGUUCUAAAAACUAUGAUAAGUUUUUAAAAAUAUGAGUAGCGUAUUCUGAAACUAUUAUAGGUAGUAUAUUGUACUGAGAACAUUGUAGAUAGUGUAUAGUGAAAAAAGUAGCAAAAUUGAAAACUGUAGUAAGACUGCGAUUCGUGAUAACAAACUCUAAACUUCUAAUACUAUUUUGCAUAAAAUAUUUACUAAUAGAUAUCAAAACUGUAACUAAUUCAUAAAACUAUUAACACAGACAAGUUACGAAUUCUAAGAUGAGCGCACGAGGUAUUCGCGAACAGGAUACUAGAGGCCGAGGUAGAGGCUGUAGAGGGGCUCGAGCUGAGUCCUUGUCGUUAGGUAGCAUGCCAAAUCUAGAUAUGUGCGAGACGCCGGUUUCACCUGCUACAGAGGCUGGGUCUCAUGAUCAUAUGGCCAGGGACAACACCUUGUCCUAGGCUAUGCUGAGGAUAUUAGAGAGGGUCACUCGGCCCAACACUAGAUCUGAGAGUCGAAGGUGAGUUACAGGACGACUCCGAUCUAAUAGGGCUGAACUAUUCAGGGGUGUCACUAGAGUCGCCCCUAGCCUGGUCGAGUACUGGAUGGAGGCCACGGAAAGAAUCGUGGACGAUCUAGACUUUACCCUUGAACAGAAAUUGAAAUGGGCUAUUUCCUUGCUUCGCGAUGAAGCAUGCCAAUGGUGGCUGACUGUUAAGGAGGGCACUCAGCCCGAAUGAUUGACAUAAGAUUUCUAUAAGUCUGCUUUCUAAGGUAAAUAUGUAGGGGCAAGCUACAUCGAUGCUAGAAGACGUGAGUUUCUGAAUCUCACACAAGGGGAUCGUUCAGUGGCCGAGUAUGAGGUCGAGUUUCUGAGAUUGAGCCGCUAUGAGUGAGGCAUGGUGGCGACUGGAUAUAAGCACUGUGUCCACUUCGAGGAUGGACUCAGGGAUAGUUUGAGAGUUCUGAUAGCUCCGUAGAGGGAGCAUAACUUUUUAGCAUUGGUAGAGAACGCGAAGAUCACCGAGGAGGUGAAGCACACUGAGCGGCAAAACUGGGAUAAGGAGAGAGGCAAGAAUAAGAGGGAUUCGGAGCCCUCGAUUUCUGGGAUGAGGCCUAAGAAAAAUGACAGAUCUGGUGGGAUAGUUAGAGUUAGGGCCCCUGUUGCAUCUACUGGAAUCACGCUUUGCGGACAUUGUGGAAGGCGCCAUCUGGGUGAAUGUUGGAGGACGACUGGGGCUUGUUUAGGAUGUGGGUCUACUGAGCACUGUGUUGGGGAGUGUCCGCUGAGGACCAAUCAGGUGCAAGUUACGGGUUCUGGUACUGCACAGCCAUCGAGGGUAGUUCAGCAACCGCCUAGGGGCCGUGAUCAGGCUAGGAGUGAUAAUGGUAUGGGUUAUGGGCAGAGAGCACCAGGCAGAGGUACUGGACAGGCUGAAGCGAGAUAAUCGGCCCUAGUUUAUGCUACUCGUCGCCAAGAGGAUAGAGAUGCUCCGUACGUCAUCACGGGUACGUUUCUUAUUUUUGUUGUGCCUUACACUGCAUUGAUAGAUAUAGGAUCUACGCAUUCCUAUAUUGUCUGUUCUAUUUUCAAAAACCUAGAGAUUCUGGUUGAGAGUACUUUUAGUGAGGUGACUGUGCUGAGCCUGCUGGGGCAAUUUGUUACAUUUACCAAACUGUACAGAGAUGUUCCCUUAGAGGUUCAAGGGGCAGUAUUUCAGGCUGAUUUGAUGGAGCUUCCAUUUUGGGAGUUUGAUAUGAUAUUGGGGAUGGACUGGUUGGUCAAGAAUCAUUUCAGUUUGGAUUGUGCGACUAAGAGGGUCGUAUUGAUAACUGAAGGGGGUAAUAUAGUUGUGAUUGGGGAACGCCGGAAUUACUUAGCUAACAUGAACUCUACACUGGUAGCUGAGAAACUGGUUCGCAAGGGAUGUGAUGCGUAUUUGGCCUACGUAAGUGUUUUCGCUGCUUGGGACUCUACUAUUAAGGACUUCAUAACUGUGAGGGAUUUUUUAGACGUCUUUCCUGAGGAGCUACCAGUUUACCUCCAAAUCGAAAGUGGAGUUCUGGAUUGAGCUUUACCCUGGUACAGCUCCGAUGUCUAUCGGUCCCUAUCGAAUGGUACCGAAGGAGCUUACUGAUCUCAAGGCUCAAAUUCAAGAGUUAUUGGAUCAUGGGUUCAUCCGCCCUAGUGUGUUCCCAUGGGGAGCACCGAUACUGUUUGUUAAGAAAAAAAAUGGAUCCAUGAGGAUAUGUAUCGACUACCAACAACUAAAUAAGUUGACUAUUAAGAACAAGUAUUCACUUCCAAGGAUUGAUGAUUUGUUUGACCAGUUCCGAGGGGUGUCUGUUUUUUCCGAAAUUGACUUGUGUUCUGGGUAUCAUCAGUUGAGGGUUAAGGAGGCUGAUGUGCAUAAGAUGACAUUUAAGACUCGUUAUGGUUACUACGAGUUCCUAGUGAUGCCAUUUACAUUGACUAAUAUACCGACAACUUUCAUGGAUCUGAUGAACCGAGUGUUUCAGCCCUAUCUAGAUCAGUUUGUAGUGGUGUUCAUUAAUGACAUAUUGGUUUAUUCGAGGACUGAGGAUGAGCAUGACGAGCACCUUAGGAUUGUUCUUCAUAUUUUGAGGGAAAAACAGCUCUAUGCUAAGUUCAGUAAGUGCGAGUUCUGGUUACAUGAAAUAACAUUUCUAGGUCAUGUGGUGUCUGCUGAGGGAAUUCGCCUAAGAAUGUGUCUGAGAUCUGCAGUUAUUUGGGGUUGGCAGAUUAUUAUCGACGGUUUGUGGAAGGAUUUUCACUGAUCGCAGCACCCUUAACUAAGCUGUUAUGUAAAGGUGUACCAUUUGACUGGACUAAUGCGCAGCAAGAGAGCUUUCAGAAGCUUAAGACUGUACUGACUAAGGCUCCUGUUUUGGUACAGCCUGAACCUGGAAAGGAGUUCACUAUUUAUAGUGAUGCAUCACAUGUCAGUUUGGGAUGUGUAUUGAUGCAAGAUGGUAAAGUGGUUGCAUAUGCGUCUCGUCAACUUAAGACACACGAGGCAAACUAUCCGACGCACAAUUUGGAGUUGGCCGCCGUAGUCUUUGCAUUGAAAAUCUGGAGGCAUUAUCUAUACGGUGAGAAAUGUAUUAUUUACACUGAUCAUAAAAUCCUCAAGUAUCUCCUCACUCAGAAUGAGUUAAAUCUUAGGCAGCAUAGAUGGGUUGAGCUACUUAAGGAUUAUGAUUGUACCAUUGAGUACCAUCCUGGCAAGGCCAAUGUGGUGGCCAAUGCAUUGAGCCGUAGGGCUAUGACCGAUCUGAGAGUGAUGUUCGCUCGACUUAGCCUAUUCGACGAUGGAAGUCUAUUGGCAAAACUUCAGGUCAAACCGACAUGGAUUGAAUAGAUUCGAGGUAAACAGUUGGGGGAUAAGUCUCUCAGGUUGUGUUUUCGUCAGGUUGAGAAUGGUGGCACUACUGAUUUUAGGAUAAACAGUGAAGCAGUACUUUGUUUUUGUUGUCAGAUUUGUAUAUCGAAUGAUGAUGAUUUAAGGCAAUCGAUUCUGAGAGAGGCGCAUGGUAGUCCCUAUACUAUGUAUCCCGGUUGGAACAAGAUGUACCGAGAUCUUUGGGAAUUGUACUAGUGGCCAGGGUUGACGCAUGAGGUUACAGACUUUGUUGGUCGCUGUUUGACUUGUAAGCAGGUUAAGCCUGAGCAUCAGUUACCUUCGAGUUUGCUGCAGCCGGUUAAGAUACCGUUAUGGGAGCGAGUAACGAUGGACUUCGUUAGUGGGUUGCCUCUAACACCCACUAAGAAGGAUUCUGUCUGGGUACUCGUGGAUCAAUUGACAAAGUCUACUCACUUCAUCCCAGUAAGGACAGACUUUUCUCUUCAAAAAUUAGCUAAGCUCUACAUAUCGAAAAUAGUGAGACUACAUGGGGUACCUGUCUUGAUCAUUUUCGAUAGGGAUCCUCGUUUCACGUCUCGGUUCUAGAAUAAGCUUCAUGAGGCUCUGGGUUUAAUAUUAGACUUCAGUACUGCUUUCCAUCCUCAGACAGAUGGUCAGUUGGAUAGGGUGUAGAGGACAUGUUGAGGAGCUAUGUUAUUGAUUUUCGAGGCAGUUGGGAUGAGUACUUGCCGUUAGCGGAGUUUUCCUACAAUAAUAGCUUCUAGUCUAGCAUCCGGAUGGCACCUUACGAGGCACUGUAUGGUCGUAAGUGUCGCACUCCUUUAUGUUGGACAGAGUUGGGCAAGUGACGUGUUCUAGGUCCUGAGUUGGUCUCUGAGACAGAGGAUAAGGUUAGAUUGAUUCGAGAUCAUUUGAAAGCAGCUUCUGACAGGCAGAAAUCUUAUAUGGAUUUGAAGAGGCGUGAGAUCAGGUAUUCUGUGGGGACUUAGUUUUUCUUAGGGACUCGCCAUGGAAAAAGGUUCUAAGGUUCGGUCGCAAGGGCAAGCUGAGCCCUCGUUUUGUUGGACCUUACCGCAUUCUGAAAUGUGUGGGACCUGUUGCUUAUCAGUUGGAGUUACCUCCGAAGUUGGACCGUAUUCAUAAUUUUUUUCACGUCUCGAUGUUGAGGCACUAUCGCUCUAAUCCCAUGCAUGUUGUUUUUAUUGAGGAGAUUGAGGUUAGGCCAGCCUUGACCUUUGAGGAGGAGCCAGUUCAGAUUCUGGAGCGUGAUGUAAAGGUCCUUCUAAAAAAGUCUAUUCCCUAGUGAAAGUUCUGUAGCGUAAUCAUAGCAUUGAGGAGGCCAUGUGGGAGCCUAAAGAUACGAUGCGUCAGCAAUAUCCUUAUCUGUUCUGAUCAGGUAGAAUUUCGAGGACAAAAUUUUCUUUUAAGGGGUAGAGUUGUAAUGCCCCAAAAAUUCUCAUUUCGUUAUUGUGAAAAUAUGACACAAAUAUUUGUCAGCUUUAGUGGUUAUAUGUUCUAGGAGCGUUUGGGAGGUCCCAAGUUCAAGUCUUCGCUUGGAAAAAUUUUGGUAUUUGGAAUGAAUUAGGCCUUAAUCUUGUUCAGUAGGCUUUUAUUUGAUUGUUGGGUAAAUUACAUCAGAAUGAGUCUGCCAGUCUGGUGGUUAAAUGGUGUGUUAUUAUGGUGGAGGUCUUGUGUUCGAAUCCCUAUGCAGGAAAUGGUAUUAUUUUUUUGCUCAGAUUUCGGGAUAAAGUUGUGGAUGUGUAGUGGGAAUUAGGGGAGAAGAUUAAGGGAUUUUGGGGGUUAUCGUGAUUUUAUUUUAUUUUUUCCCAUAACUGAAUUUUUGACGCUCGUUUCCAAAAAAAUUUUGCCGUCUAUUCUUCUCCCUCUCCUCUUGCCAAAAUUCUCUGAGUUUUUCCAUCUUUCUCUUCUUUUUCUUCUUCUUGAUUUUUCCCUAAUCUAUUUAUUUUCCAUCAUUUUCGCACGCGGUUAGUGCUCACUUAGUUUCAGUAAUUGUUUCUCACCGUUUCUAUCAUGAAUCUCUUAGUAACUAAAGUGGUAAUGUUUCUUCGCUGCGAUUUGGUCGUAAGACGAGGCUCGGACUGGUGAAUUCAGUGUUCUCAUCUUAAUAAUAGUUAAACGGAGGGUUAUCGUUGGAGGUAAGUUGGGUUUCUGUUCGUUCUUGGUUGUUAAUUCACUUGUAAAUCUGUUAAAUUGAUGUUGAGUGUCUUGAUUAUAGGCUUUGGAGUGCCCGGGGACUGUUUUCUCAUCAAACAAAACUAGGUGUGUACCUGAAAUGCAAACAAAGGGAUUCGGCGAAAAGCCGAAAUUGCUUGCUAUUUGGACAGCAGUAGGCUAAUUUUGAAAAAUCGCCAUAAAUUUUGAAAAUUGAAUUAGAGGAUGAAAAAAUAUGGAAUUAAAGGUUAUUGAGUCUAGUGUCUCAUAGAAGAAAUGGUGUAAGUAAUGAAAUUGUAAAUCGUGAGAUAUAAUAAUGUUUGUGAGACAAGGUUAGAAUGAAUUCGAGUUCCCCUGUUCGGACUUUGGAAAAUAAUCAAAAAUUGGAGAAAAAUAAUUAUAGGUUAAAAUUUACAUGUUUAUAUUAUUAAUGAGUCUAUUUUCAAUAGAAACAAAUGGGUACUUUAUCCAAAUUUUGUACUAAGAGAUCAUUAUUUUUUAGCAAAGAAGGGUCGAAGCUGUCAGACAGCAGAGUAGAGGUAAGUUUGAAGAUUUUACUAUACUUAUUGGGUGAACCAAAAAUUCUAUAAAUUUUAUGGUAGAAAGGUAUUUGAGUGUAUUUUCAAAGACAUCAAGUGGAUUUUAAUUUGGAAUUUUGUAGCUCAAGAUAUAAAUAAUUUAGUAACAGUGUCUCAAGUAGACAGCUUUGGAGGAACACAUAAGUAAAUAGUGAAACAUAUAUGAAUAUUUAGCUAGCACAGGGUACAUUAAAAAUGGAUCACGUGGCCAAGGCCAAUUUGGGUCGAUUGGGUUACAUGGUCGAGUGGGCCACAUGGGCGUGUGAGCCUAUUCCUCUAAAAAGUUCUGUAAGGUUGCAGGGGUCGCCCAAGUCGAUGGUGGACCUAUUGUAGGGUCGGUAAGCUUUACUUAGACCCCUAAAUGUGUGAUCUGUUUGACCGAUUUCUAUACCGAGCAUGACUUAUGAUAUCUGAAUGUAUGUACUGUUAAUUGCAUAAUGGCAUGACAUAUUUUGUAUGUUGCAUUUCAUCGGGGUGGGUUGAUGAUAUUUGGAGGAAGUGUCUGAAAGGCUAUUAAGCCUAUUAUUUGGUAGCUCAGCUGCAACCUUCUGAUUAUGUGCCGCAUUUCGGUACAGCAUGGUGUGUAGGGAUGGGUGGGUUGAUUUAAUCCCAACAUGGUGUGUAGGGUUGGACGGAGAUGGUGUGUAGAGGCUGGUGACUAGGAUUCUGAUUUACUGUAUCUGCAUUCUAUAUAUGAUAUGGGCCAAGCCCUAAUAUAUUUCGGAGACUGUGUCUAAAUGGGCGAAGGCCCAAACUAAUUUUGUGAUGGGCACAGGGCUCAAACUGUAUCUAAAUAAAUUUUGUUGAUUAUCUGUAUGCAUAUUUUUUGUGGGGAUUACACACUGAGUUUGCGAAAACUCACCCUUUCUCUGUUUAAUCUGUACACGUAAUCCCCACACUUGACGGGUCGGUGCAGCGGAGGACUCGACGGUGGCCACACGUAAAUUUCAAAUUGUUUUCCGUUAAUGUCUAGAAUGUAUUACUUAUUUGCGGUUUUUUAUGUAACUUUUCGACUAUGGACUGGUUGGCUUUAAAUUUGGGACUUUAUACUGUUUUUAUGGAUUUUUUUAAACUGUAACUCAACAAAACACGGUUUUUCUAAAAACUAAGGUUUUCAUAAAUAGAAACAAUUUUCCCUAAAUUAAUUGGUUACAAAAGCUUCCUCUAAGAGACAAGUUUUAAAGCAAAUCAACUAGCACUUAUUUUUUCCGAAUUAAAUAAAAGUUAACUAGCUGUAACGAUUUUAACUUGACAAUCUUGUCUUCAAAUCCCAUUCCAUUCCGCAUCGCCAGAUUCGGCCAUAAUGUCUAGCUCGAGUAUGGGGUGCUACACUAACCCAAAUUUGUUUAAUGGUGUUUCUUCAUUACAGGACUUCAUGGAUCCAUUGACGGACUUUCAAUUAUAUUACUCUACCAUCGAUAGACGAUUUUACUUGUGGGAAAAAGGUAAGUUGAAUAUUGAUAAUUCCCCACAAGUGCUACAAGAUAAAGAAUGUAAGGAAACAACAUAAAUUAAUUUAAGAAGGCAUACCUUGAAUGUUUUUGAUAAGUAUGCUACGGAUUUUGUUUGUCAAAUAUUUUCUUACAACAUGUUUUCUCAUUUGUCAAAUUUCAUUAAACCAUGUUCUGAAAGUUCAACUGAUUUUAUGGGUUUAUCUACCUUUGUAAAGGUUAAAAAUAGUAAUUUUGUUGCAUCAAAUAGGUUUUUAAAAGCAUUUUAUAUAUCUCCUCUUACAACAAAAUUUUCUAUCUUGACCAUUAACGAUGAAUUUUUACAUAAUAAUAUUAAUAUUUUUAUUUUUAUAAUUAUGUGAAAUUCUUGACUUAUCGUUCGAAAAUUCUUAUGGAUGACCGUGCAUAUUCAAAAAAAGUUACAAGUUAUUUUUUACUUGAACACUCAUGUUCAUUAUAUUUCUUUGUUUAGUGUUGAGGGUUUGUUUUUGAAUAAGAGAUACUUGAUCCAUGCUGAUUUGGGAGAUCAAAAUCAUAUAUUUGAUCCUAAAAAUAAUUUUGGCGCACAAGAAGGCUUAGGUAAGUAUUUGUUUCAUUUGAUUGUUAUUUAUUCUAAUCCCUUUUAAUUUUGUGUAGCUAAAGAUUCGGGGACAAAUCUUCUUAAGGAAGGGGGGAAUGAAGCGAGUCUCAAUGCCCAAUGUUAGACCCAUGAAUGUGAUGGGAUCACACUACCUCAAGGCUCAACAACAAUGUCAAAGGCUAAGCAAAUCAAAUCAGCUUUUGAUCAAAUACAAGUUCGAGGAUGAAUCUUUUUGAGGAAACGGGGAAAGAUACAUGCACGGAUCGAGUGAAAUUUAUUAAAUUUCAUUCACUGAAGCUGUCAAUUUUCAAGCUUGGGAAAUUAGUAGACUUGUGAUGACUUUUUCAAUGGGAUCUUGACAUUUAUGGGUUGAGAUGUCUCAUGGCGUUUGAAGAUGUAUCUCUUAGCCUUGAAAUGCAUUUUAAGUCACUCGAUUUUGAGUCUAGGAGCUCAAGUUAUGACCGUUUUAGUGAAGACUAUACGAGCAGAAUUUUUGAACGGGAUUAUGACAGGAAUUACAAGUUUCGGGCUUUUAAUUCGAGUUUAAAUCAUAUUGGGUUCGGGUUUUAGGCUUAAUUUUUAUUACAUAUGAGCCCAAUAUUGUAUUUAUCAUUACUUAUUAUUUUAUUUCAAUUGUUUUAUAAUUAUUAAUUAUUUUAAGUUAUUUAGGAGUUUUAUGUUAACAAGAAAGUUUAGUUUAAAACUACUUCUUAUUUAGAUUAAAUUAGAGUUCUAGUAUACUUAAGAGUUUUAUUUAGAUUUAUUUAGCUAGCCUAUAUAUAGGUAUUUGCAUUGCACACAAUUCAUUCAAUUCAUUAUUAUUCAACUUCUCUUUUAAGUUUAUAAUUUAUCUUUAAGUUUUCUUUUUUUAAGAAUUUCUCUUGAGUUUCUUUUAGAAGAGUUUUAACAAUCUUUUUAGAUUGUGGGGGUCAUAUUCAAACUUUUUCUUGCCAAGGUUUCUAUCUUGAAAGGGAAAUUAGAGCCACUUGAGUGGGGUUGUGGAUUCUUCAUGUUUCUGAGGCUUCUUAGGACUUCUACACGCCACGUUCUAUCUUUUCAUAUCUUCUUUAUUUUCUUCCUUAUUGUUUUAAUCAUAGAUUUAUUAUUCUAUUUUAAUUAUCUUAGUUAUUUAGUUUAAUUAUUUUAUCUAACUUGGAUUUAAUUGCCUUCCAAGUUUCUUUCCGAACAUCUAGAGCCCUAAGUCAAAUCUGUGACUUUGACAAACUUUACAAUCCGCUUCUGCAUUCAUCCGUCUCAUUCUUUAUCAUUUGGUAUUAGAUUUUGGCGUUUUAGGUUUUCUUUUUUUCUUUUAUAAACUGAUUUCUAGCAAACAACCUCAAUACAAUUUUUUUACAUCGACUAGCUACCCAAGUGUUGAGCUAUAAGAAUCCGGUAAGUCUAUGGCAAAUUGAUGAGGUAACAAAUGGGACCAUACCUCUAGCAGGUAUAACGACAGGUAGAAUCUUGACCUUCCUCCACCAUAAUACUUGGGAUGCCUCAUGAGGAGGCCCCUGCACCACAGCAUCCUCUGCAUUUCCUUUUCCGUUGUAGUGCACCUACAUUCACCAAUUGCAUCGAUUCAUCUACAUCCCUUAGGUGUUCAAGGAUUUGCUCUUUAUUACUCCUAGUCAUUGUUGUUCUCCUGGAUUAGUCGUUCUCGCUCUAUUGUUAAUGGUAGAGUACCUACCUUCAUCAUUUUGUGACGUAGACCUACCAGUUUAUCCUCCUUUCUUGACAAGUUUAACAAUUUUUUCGAUGACAUCGCAAAAACAAUGAUGAAAUAAAGCAAAUCUUAAACUGCAUUUACUAAGAAGAAGUUCUAAGUAGCAGAAAAAUAAGAACUUUAAAAUGACAAUGUGGUUUCAAGGAAGAUAAAGUUCUUGAUUUAUAGAUUUUUCAAUGCUCCUUCUUAAAUGCACAAUUUUGGGAACCAAUAGCAUCUUGCCACCUAUAUAGUUUCAAAUACUCUUCAUCAUGGUUGUUUUUUCAUAAAAAUACUUUGCAUUUAUGAUAGUUAUUGUCAGACCCCAAGUUUAGCGGAUCCAAGGUUAAGGUGUAUAGUAAUGAAAUAAUUUGUUUGGCGAAGUGUAAUUCUCCCAAUUGCUUAUUUUGGAAAAUAUGUGCAGGUGUAUACUAAACAUCGUGUAAAUAAGUGAAAAAUCCAUUUGAGAUUAUUCUAUUAUUUAAAAAUAAAAAAAUUUUAAGCAACAUGGUAAUUAUGGUAUGAAUUAUAACCGAAUGCAAAGUACGCCUUGCAUGCCUUAGUACUGUGUUGCUUGGGUUAUAAAGUGACCUGGUUAAGAACCAACUAGAUUGACUGGUCUAACCUCUAUAAUGAAGGAUUUUCAUUAAUGUUUCUCUCGGAAUCUGUAGGUCAUUAAGAAAGACAAAUUCUGAAUUAAGUCACACUUGUUGAGUUCCACUAAGCGAGGUUGGGUUAUAUAUGUGUGAGAAGGGUUCUGAAAUAAGAUUCUACUUUCUCAAAAAUGUUACUCUUUGAUUUUUUUCUUAAAUCCAAUUGUAUGUCUUCCUCAUUAAGCUAGAAGCAAAGGUUCUUAGUUUAACCAGUGGUCAUUCCAUCUCCAGGUAAGUAUUACAGAUGUGCAUGCUAGGUUCUGAAAGUGUAAGUCUGUAAAAGGUAUAUGAAUAGUAAGUUGUAAGUACAAGGCUUUGCGUGGGGGUUAUUAGUUAUUGAGAUGAUAGUAAUUUGUAUGUGAAUGAGUUUUUAUGGUGAUCAUAUGUUCUUUAAGCAGUUGUUGUUGCUGGUUCAAAAAGGAUAUCUAAGUCUAGAGUUUCAAUCUUUAGUGGGUGAGUAUCAGGUGAGUCUCUAUCCUGACUCUUGCAUAUGUAAUGUACAAAUAGAAUGUUGGUGGUAAGCAUGGAAGUAAUGUCUUAUAUGAAAAGUAUGAAUUAGUUAGGAGUGCAAAAAAAAUUGGGUAAGUGAAUACUGAAUAAACUUUCAUUUGGGAUGCCUCUAUUAGGGCAGUUAUAUUGCUAACCAGUGUGACGCCCUCAACCCGACCUGAUUCAAUAGGUCCAAAUCUCAGGUUUUACACAUACACUAAUUAAUAAUCUAAAAAAUUGUUAACAAUUUCUCAUUUCUCUAAUUAUUUUAUUUAACCUUUUAACUAAAAAUUUUAUCAUUUGAUAACCAAAGAAGUGUUAUAAAAUAACUUGUUACAACAGACUUGAUACAAAUCUUUACAAUAUAGAAGUUUAUUAAGGACGAUCAUACAAGGCACAAUCCUAGACUACGGCAUAUUUCCACUGUAUGCAUAAUAGACCUCUUCGCCAUUACGUUGGCAUACUCCUAGCAUCAUCCUUCCUGGCGCAACUUGUGUCGAAUACUUGAAACAACAAUGAACAUGGUAAGUUUAAGAGAUCUUAAUAAACCUUAUCACGGAAUUACCUGGGUGGAUACUUUAUUUUCUUAUAAGAACUUCUAUUCCUCGACCAUCCUUCUGAAUCAUUUAUUUCGAGCGGAUUUCUCUACAAUAUUCUUUAUCUAACUAACUGAAGAUCCUUCCAAACAUUUUGUAAAUACCUUUAUUUCAUAUAUACUUCUCAAAAGAUCAUACCUUCAGAUACAUCACAUCUGGUGAAUACUUAUAUAGAACUAAUUACCAUCAAUUUAUUAACCAAGUCAUUUCUAAAUUCAAUAUCAUACAACCCACACUUGUAAUGCACCACAUAAACCCAUUAGAAGAAUUCCACAUUAAUUAUUUUCAGAAACAUAUAUACUCAGAAUACCCAUAACUUAGACUUUAUACAAUUUCAGAAAAGAUCAUUACAAUCGAAACAUAACCUCAAUAUGACAGAUUCCAAGUAACUUUGAUUCAAUCAUUUCAUAACACAGAUAAUCUCACAUUGACAAUUUCUUAUGCCACACAUAACUACAAAUAUAACCAUAUCUAACGUUGUCAGAUCAUUGUGGUAGAUACCUUCAUUAUCAUAUAGCUACACAGUUCUUUCCAAAAACUUAUUCAAUUAUUUCACAAAUCUUACUCAACUCAUAAACCUGGGCAUAUCAAUACCUUAUCUCAGCCAACCUUAUUACAAAACUAACAAAAUUUAUCCAUAUCUUACAAUAAAGAUAGAUAUACACAGCGUACCAUGCAUGAUAGACCACGCCACAAGGGCCACACAGAAUACACCAUAAAGGCAUCAUACAAAAUCUCGUGUUUACUAUCCCGACGGACUUCACAGAAGGUGUCAUGGGUUUCUACCUUAUGGACUUAUAUAGAGAUUCAUGUACCGUAAUCUUCCAUUUCAAUUCAUACAUCAUUGAGGGCUACACCAUGAAUAUUCAAACAGACAUAUAAUGCCAUGGGUCUUAACCACAUGGUCUUAGAUACAUUCAUGUGUCAUGUUUUGACAAUAUAGUCUCCAUCUUACUGGAGGUUAUAGCAUGAAAGUUUCCAAAUCAUAGCAAGCUACCAUGGGCCUCUACCUCAUGGUCUUACACUAGGUUUCAAUCUAUAACAUGCCAAUCUGGUUAGCUAUAUAACUGCCCUACCAGAGGAUUCACAAUAGAACGUUAGCUCAGUAUUUACUUACCCAGAUAAUCACCUUCUUACAAACUCAUACACCUCCUAUACCAGACUUUUACUUGCAUGCUUAUUAAAUAGUAAUCCUUUAAUAAAACUUUAUGCAUAUUAUUACAGAGCAUCUCUCAUCCUUACUAUACCCAGAGCCUUACCAUUUUCCAUGGACAUGAUUAUCCCAUCUAUGAAUGUGCAUAUAUUUAUACUUCUUAUUUGAACAAUUCACAUAAUAGAGUCAAGAUAGUGACUCACCUUAACUCACCUACUACAGUUCUAAGCUCCAGACUUAUACAUCCCUUUUGAAUCAGAAGUAACAACUACUUAGAAACAUAAAUUUACUAUUACAACUCUUAUACAUACAAUUUACUUAUCAUCUCAAUCGCGGAUAACUUCAUGCAUAACUUGUAUUUAAAGCUUUACUGUUCAUACAACUCUUAUAGUCUUACACUUUUAGAACUUAACAUGCAAAGGCAAAACACUUACCCAAAGAUGGAAUAACCACUAAUUAGAUCUAGAAUCAAUGUUUCUAGCUAAAUGAGAAAGGGAUACAUUUAUACUUUCUAACGAAAGAAUUAGAGAGUAGUGUUUUUAAGGAAGAAGAAGAACCUCCCUCAAAACCCUUCUCACACAUAUAAAUAUGACCCACUUACCUAGUUGGACUUAACAACUGCCACACAUUUUAGAACUUACCUUAUUAAUGGUCUACAGUUCCCGAGAAAAUUAUAAAUAAGUACCUUGUAUUCACAAUUAUCGGGCUAGGCUAUCUAGUUGAUAUCUAACCAAAAUACUUAUGAUCUAACUAGUACAGUACUCUAAACAAACAACAUGUAUUACAGCUUUGGCGCCAACUCAUACCAUACUUAACCUUUAUCGCCUAACACAAACUUCUCCGUAAUAUAUUAGAGUAGCAUGAAACAAAAUCCUUACCUACAUAUCUGGCAGUUACUAAACGCCCGCAUGUAUAUGCCACAAUAAGAAAUUGGGAAGAUUACACUUCGCCAUAUAGACUAUUUUACUACUAUGCGCCAAAACCUUAGACCCACCAGACUUAGGGUGUUAUAACCAAAUUUGUAGACCAUGAUAUGAAAACAAGUGUAAGACCAUGAGGUUGAGACCCAUGGCAUCAUAGGAUAUGAAAACACUCAUGGUGUAUCCUCUAGUAAAACGAAGACUGAACUAGAAGAUCAUGAUACAUGAAAGUGUGUAAAUUCAUGUGGCUAAGACCCAUGGCAAGUAAGAUUGUAUGAAUGUUCAUGGUGUAGCCUUUGAUAAUGUGUAGAUCAAACUGGCAGAUCACGAUACAUGAAAUUUAUGUGCAAGUCCAUAAAAGAGAAACUCAUGGCACCUUUUGGGAAAAAUUAGUCGGAAUAUUAAACAUGUGAUUUUGUAUGUUGCCCUUGUGGUGUAUUUUGUUUGGCCCUCGUGGCGUAUUCUACUAAGUUCGUAUGGUAGAAUAUGAUUAUCCACCCUUAUGGUAUGUUUUGGAUAAAUUCUGAGUGUUCUGUGAUAGAUGUUACUAUGAUAAGGUUAUGAUUCGUCCGAAGUUAAUUUGGUUGAAUUAGAUCUGUGAUGUAACCAAAUAAGUUUCUAAGGAAGUUCUUGAAAAUAAGUGUGUAUCUUUAUGUUCAAAAAAGGGUAUCCACCAUGGUAAUUUGUUAGUUUUGAAUAUGGGUGUAUUUGUGGUUAUGAAAGACAUUAGAAAUUAUCAAUUUGAGUUCGACUGUGUUAUAUAGUGCUGAAAUUUGAGUAUCUGGUAUCCGCCAUAUCUGAAGAAUAAUAUGUCUUAAUCUGAAAUCUUAUGGAAUCUGAGUUGUUUGUUACCUUGGGUAGAUUUGUGUUCUGUAACGAUCUGGAUAAUUCAUUAUCAGUAUAAGCAUGCAUUAAGGUUGAAUUAGAAAAUGAUUGGAUUUGGUAAAUUGAUGGAAUCCAACUCAUCGUGGGAAUCUAUCAAAGGUGUAAGAAUCUACCAGUAAACAGUAUCUGUGACCAGCAGUUCUGGAAUCAGUGUAUGUGUGAAGAGACGGUCUAUAUAAAAUAGGCUCUGAAGGUAUAUUCUUUUAAAAAGUACUUUUGUGUUUUUUAAGAGAAAGAAGAGAUUAAUGAAAUGUCUGGAAGAAUCUCAAGUCAAUCAGGUAAUUAAGAGAGAACUGGUACACUAAGAGUAUGGUAGUUAGCGUGUAAGUCUAAGCCUAUAAUUGUGAAAGCAUUUGCCGAAAAUAGAAGUAAGAUGUUGAGAAUGGUAGCUGGCACAUAGAUAUUCAUUCGAUAUUAUAAAAGUAUCCACCAAGGUAUUCUAUAUUAACUAUCACUAAGUUCUCCUAAAUUUACAAAUGUUAUAUUUAUGUUUUAGGUAGUGUGGUAACGGAAUACGCCGGGAGUGACGACACCAGGAGUGUGCCAAGGUAACGACAAUAUGGACUAUUAAACAUACAAUGGACUAUUUGUAAAUGGGACAUAUUACAGAAUUACACCCUAGGAAACUAUCUUUAGUAAACUUUGUUUUGUUAAUGUGUUGUAACAAAUUUGAUGUAAUAUGUUAUUUCUAAAUACUAUCUUUUGUUUCUUUGAUUUUGAGUCUUUAAAUAAAAUUAUAAGAAUUACAUUUUUAAAUAAGGAGUACUCACCAAUUGUUUGAAAUUUAGCUAAGUGAUUUGUGUUGUAACACCCAAGAUCAGGACUUGGUAAUUUGGGUCGGGUUGAGGGCAUUAUAGUUACUCUAGUAGGAUUCUAGUGCUUCUUCAUCUUCUCUGGUAAUGCAAACACUCUCCCAUUAUUAAAUGCCUAAAUUCAGAUCAUGUCUCACCGAAAGCCAUUCUAUAACCUCCUGUUUAGGUUAGGGGGUUAUUAUUAUAUCCCUCCACCAUGAAGACACAUGUCAGUGCCAGAAACAUCAUUAACUCUCUUAUUGACUUUGAUUGAAGAUAAUCCUCACCUGACCAUCCAUCUAUUCCUUAAGGAAUCUGACCACACUUUCCCAAUGUGAACACAGUUUCAAGACAAUAAAGAGUCUAUUUAGGCAUAACAAUCUCGUACUAAUAGAGUCCCAUGAUAUACGACUAUCAUCCUUUACGCUUUUAGCGAGGCUAAAUGUAUAUCCUACCACGUCAUAGUAAUAGAAAAGAGGAUCUCUCCAAUAAAUACCUUGAAAAACGAGAAAGAAAUGAUCGACCCCUGACACCCUAAAGUUACUUUGAGCAAUUAUUUUCUCAGUCAACCUGUCUUCAUCCCAGAUCUAACUCUCGACCUCCUCUGCAGCACCACGAUCCCCUCCUUAACCUUCUCCCUUACUGUACAUUGUAUAAAUAAGAUAUUUAUAUUCAACUACAUGUUUGGCAGGCUAGUUGAUUUCUAGAUAAUAUUUAAACAUAUUAUAUCCAAGUUGCAUUCGUUUUAUUCUAUUGAAAGUUCACUGUUUGUUUUUAUAUGGUAUUGAUUAACAUUACAUUUAAAAAAAAUUAACUAACCCAAUUUAUUUUGAAUUUAAUAAAAACAAUUCAUAAAAUAAUAAUACAUAAGUUUUAAUUAAUGCUGAUAAAAACCGUCAACACAUCAAAUUAAUUGAAUCCUGGGUCUCUGCAUAUUUUAUCAUUCACUCUAUAUAUUUAAGUAAGCAUUAUUGAAAACAAGAAAAUAAAUAAAUAAGUAGAAGACAAACUGAUACAAUAUUUGAACUCACCAAUUUGCGAUUUACUAAGAACUUCUGGGAUGCUUAUUUUGACUAGUACCAAUUCAAUGAAAAUUAAUAACAAUGUUGGAUAUAAAUCCAAUUAAAAAAUGAGAAUAAUAAUUUUUUACGCUUCAAGUUCAGUGUAUAAAUAGCAUCCUAGUUCUCUAUCAUCUCACACCUCAACCACUCAAUCAUCCACUUCUUCUCUUCUUUGAACUCAAAGUCCCAGUUAAUAUUAGAAUCAUGGGUGUUGUCACUUAUGACUAUGAGUCUACCUCCCCAGUCGCCCCUUCCAGGCUUUUCAAGGCCUUUACUGUUGAAGCUCCGAAAGUUUGGCCCACGGCUGCACCUAAUGCAGUCAAGAGUAUUGAGGUUGAAGCUAAUCCUAGCUCUGGAAGUAUCGUAAAAAUCAACUUUGUUGAAGGUUAGUUCUUUCAUUGGCCUUUUUGUAGUCUGUUUUACACGAGUAUGUUGGAUAACAAGUAUUUAUUUGUUUAGGCCUUCCAUUCCAAUAUAUGAAGCACCAGAUAGGAGGACAUGAUGAAAGUAAUUUUUCAUACAGUUACGAUUUAAUCGAAGGUGGGCCUUUGGGGGACAAACUUGAAAAAAUCAGCUAUGAGAACAAGUUUGAGGCAGCUGCAGGUGGAGGAAGUAUUUGCAAGAGCUCAAUGAAAUUCUACACUGUUGGCGACAAUGUAAUCACUGAAGAUGAAAUCAAGGCUCUCAUUAAGGGAAGUGAGGGAGUUUACAAGCCUGUUGAAGCUUAUCUAUUGGCUAAUCCUGAAUCCUGCAACUAGGAUAUUGGUUGCUUUGAAUUCUGAUUCUUGGUUUUAAAGAGUGGUCAUUGCUUUUAAUGGUGUGUUUUUUAUAUUUUCUUUUUCCUUUUAAAACCUAAAUUGUCUUCUAAUUAUUUACAUAAGAGUGGUGGUGAUCGAGCUUUUGUCAUCUUUAUUUUCAUUACAGUCAAAGAAUUUGGGUUGUCUUUGACAUAUAUAGAAAUAAAAUAAACAAAUAAACUCAAAAAAAGAAAAAAAAAGGUUUUACCUGGUAUAUUGAUGAGUGAAAAUUCACAAUCCAUAUUAGAGAUGUGCAUUCGGUGGUUGGAACGAUUUGAUUAUUUUAUAACAAUAAUCGAAUAAAUAAAAAUUUUUACUGCAAUUGAAUUAAUCGAACCAAACUUAAAAAGGUAAAAAUGAAACAACCGAACUGAAUUUAGUCAAUUCGAUUAGAUUUAGUUAAUCGAUUUUUGCUUUUUUUGGUUUUUAACUUAGUUGAACUCCACCGAUCCAAAAAUUCUUCACUGUUCGUGUCGGCAUGUUUGUUCCUCACAGAAUGGGAGCAAACAGUAGCCGCCUUACCUUUUGCUAUAAAAAGGAUUUUAGUCUUUGCUUUCAAAAUCAUCCCAAUCUCUCCAAGAAAGUGUGUAAUCUUUAUUUGUUUAGGCCUUCCAUUCUAAUAUAUGAAGCACCAGAUCGAAGGACAUGACGAAAAUAAUUUUUCAUAUAAUUACAGUUUAAUACAAGGUGGGCCUUUGGGGGACAAGCUUGAAAAAAUUAACUAUGAUAACAAAUUUGAGGCAGCUGCAGGUAGAGGAAGUAUUUGCAAGAGCUCGAUGAAAUUUUACACUGUUAGGGACAGUGUAAUCACUGAAGAUGAAAUCAAGGCUCUCAUUAAAGGAAGUGAAGGAGUUUACAAGCCUGUUGAAGCUUUACCUCUUGGCUAAUCCCAAAGCUUGCAACUAGGAUAUUGGUUGCUUUGAAUUCUCAUGCUUGCUUUUAAAGAGGGAUCAGAUUUUAACUGUGUGCUUUUGAUAUUUUCUUCUUUGUCUUAAAACCUAUAUUGUCUUCCGAUUGUUGUAAUAAGAGUGGUGGUGGUGGAAUCAAGCUUUGAUAAUCUUUGACAUAUGAAAUAAACAAAAAUAUAAACUGGCAAAAAUAAUAAAAGCUUUACUUGGGUAUAUAAUUUACAGUUUUCCUGACAGACUACAAUUUUUUUCUACACUAAAACCUCGAUAAAUGAAUAUUCGAUAAAUUAAUACUCUUGGUUAAAUAAUAUUUUUUCUCGGUCCCGACUUGAGUCAAGAGGAUAAAAUAAUAACCUGGCUAAAUGCAUAAUAUAAUAAUUUUUAGAAAGAAUCUUUAAGGGCCCAAUGAAAAUAUAAAAUAACAAUUCAUUAAAUAUAUUAAGAUUUUUAUAUACCAUACAUAAAACUAAAAUGCUUUCUAGACAACUCUUACUCUUUUUCAAUUUUAUUCUUUGCUAAAAUAUGCAUCUAUAGUUAACUGCUUCUUCUUUGCAUGUGAAUCAAAUACAGUUUCAUUUUUAACUUUUAGAAGGGCAUAAACCAAAUCUGGUAUAUUCUUCUUGUGUUGCAUUAAAUAAUUUUUCAAGGUAUCAACAACUAGAAAAGCCUCUUUUGGAGAAACAUGUGGCAAAACACUAUUGUCAUCAUCAGUUGGCACAUUCAUUACUCCUUGAAUAAUUUCUUCAUCCGUAGGUGACUUAAUCAAAGAUUCAUUUUCACUUGGAUAACUGCUCAACAUCCAUGGCAUUUCUAUAGUGUAAAUCUGAAAUUACUUCUUUUAAUUUAUGAAUGUCUUCAACAUCACCAAUUUCUUGUUCGAGAGGCAUAUCCUCCUCGGAUCGAAUUUUGCAAAGUCGGAAACAAUUUGCAAUAGUUGUAGGCUUCACAUCAAUAUUCACUACAACAAAACAGGUUUUUAGCGGCAUUUUUAGUAGCGUUUGGACCAAAAACGCCACAAAAGUUAUAAAUUAGUGACGCUAAUAGGAAGACGCCACAAAAGGUUAGAGCUAUAGCAACGUUUAUGAGAAAAGCGCCGCAAAAAAAAUUAUUUUAAACAAAAUUGAGCCGUUUUGCUUCCUGUCUAUUUAUUAUUUAACUAGUUUUUUUAUAUUAAAAAAAUACAAUUUAUUUUAAAUUGAAUGUUUAAAAUCUUUAGAAAAAAUUAAUGACAGAGAAAAAAUUUGAAAGUAAAAACAUAGAAAAAUAUAUGUUAAAAAUGAAAAAAAUUAAAAUACUAUUAUUUAAAAAUUAUUGUUUUUAAUUUAUAUAUUAAAUAAUUUUUUAUAUAAUUGUAAAAGAGAUAAUAUUAAUUUUAAUAUAUUAAAAUUAUCAUUAUAGUUUAAAUUAUUUAAGAGAUAAUAGAUAAACUUUAUAUAUAUUAAAAUUAAAAAAAUUGCUAACCCAUGCAUUUAUAGAAAAACAAAAUUAAUUAGUAAAUUGAAAUAGUUAUUUAAAUUUCCUAAAAUGUUGAAAGAACAUAUAAUUACAAAAGAGAAACAAAUUAAAGUUUUUUUUUUUUCAUAUCUUGAAUUUUUUUUAUUUUCUUACAUAAAAAUUAUAUAAAAAUUUCAAAUUUUAUCUAAUUCUUUUCAAUAUUACUUAUAUUUUAAAAAAUUAUUUAUUUGAAAUUGAUAUGAAAGAUAUAAUAAUUCAAUAUAAAAAUUGUAAAAAAAAGUAAUAUUUAAAUAAACGCCGUAAAAAUUUAUUUUAUUUUAGUGUUUAGGGUUUAGGAUUUAAGGUUUACAGUCUAGGGUUUAGGGUUUUAGGGUAUAUGGUUUAGUGUUUUGGGUUUAGGGUUUAAUGUUUUUGGGUUUAGGGUUUAAUGUUUUUGGGUUUAAGAUUUGGGGUUUAGUGUUUUAUAGUUUAGUGUUUAAGGUUUAGGAUUUAGUGUUUAAGAUUUAAUAUUUAUGUUUUAGGGUUAGGGAUUUCGAUAAAAAUGACAAAAAAUCAAUUUAUUUUAGGGUUUAGGUAAGCAAGAAGAUUCUUUUUUUAAUUACUUUUGUACCUUAUAAUAUAUAUUAUUAAAUUAAUAUCAAAAGCAUAAUAAAGUAAAAAGGAGAGAGAAAUUCAUUAUUUCCAUAUCUCCUUAUACAAAAAUCCACCUCUUGGUAAUUUAGAAUUUGGGAAGUUAAGCAGAUUGAGUCUUAGCUCAAUUAGUGUGAGCAUUGUUGUCAACAUAAGAGAACAUGAGUUUGAGUGUGUUGAAAUGCAUUAUCUUCCUGUUUAUGAGUUGGGGAGGAAUUAUGAGUUGUUGUAGACAUAAUAUCAAAAAAGAAUUUGAGAAGUUAAAUUUUAUCAAAAUCAAUUUGGAUAAAUUCUAUCAACUGCACAAAAAUUUAAUCUUGUGGAUACAAACUCUUCAUAAGGAAGUUUGGUUUCAUUUUUUAAAAUUAUUUUCGUACACAAUUAUAAAAUUUUACAAAUUAAAUAUAUUGUUUGAAACAAAACAAACUUAAUUUAAAGGAAUUUAAGAAAUAAUUAAACUAUAAAUAUUUAUUAGUAUCAAAGGCAUUAGCGGCGUUUAUGAUUAAAACGCCGCAAAAAAACAUUUUACUUUAAACAAAACGACGUGGUUUUGAGUGGCAUCUUUAGUGGUAUUAGCGGCACCAGGUGAAAAACGCCGCAAUAGAUCGAGCAUUAGCGGCGCUAGGUAAAAAACGUCGCAAAAAAAUUACUUUAAACCAAACGGUGCCAUUUUAAGUGGCGUCUUUAGUGGCAUUAGCGGUGCUAGGUGAAAAACGCCGCAAUAAAUCGAGCAUUAGCGGCGCUAGGUAAAAAACGCCACAAAAAAACAUUUUACUUUAAACAAAACGGCGCCAUUUUCAGUGGUGUCUUUAGUGGCAUUAGCGGCGCUAGGUGAAAAACGCCGCAAUAGAUCGAGCAUUAGUGGCGCUAGGUAAAAAACGCCACAAAAAAAAACAUUUUACUUUAAACAAAACGGUGCCGUUUUUAUUGGCAUCAGUGGUGCUAGGUGAAAAACACUGCAAUAGAGCGAGCAUUAGCGGGCGCUAGGUAAAAAACGCCAGAAAAAAACAUUUUACUUUAAACAAAAUGGUGACGUUUUUAAUGGCGUUAGCAACACUAGGUGAAAAACACCACAAUAGAUCGAGCAUUAGCGGCGCUAGGUAAAAAUCAUCACAAACGGUCAUUUUGUUUUAUACGAAAAUGCGUCGCUUUGCUCUCCUCCAUUUUAUCCCAACCCAUAUACCCGAAACACCUUAUUUUUUCCCCAAAAAAAUUUCCCCAAAUCCCUAAAUUUUCCCUAAAUCAAAAUCCCAACCCAUUUGCUGCAUCGCCGUCGACUCAACCAUCUGCUACAUUACCGUAACUGUCCCCUCUGCUGCGUCACCGUCGCACUCCUCUACCGCAACCAAUCAGUAAAUUUAACUCCUCUGCCGUCGCUUUUUCAAGAUUUAACAUGUCUAGAUUUUUAUUUAAUUAAAAUUUGACUUAUAAAAGGUGGAUUUUGGGACAUUAGACCCCACUAAGGAGGGGAAUAAGAAAUCUUAGCCCUUGGUUUAUAUUAAGUUGGAGUGAAAGAUAGUGAUUUUGGUUUGUAAAUUUACCUCAAUUGUAUUCGACUAUUGAUAGCAAAUAUAUACAAGAUUACAUCAGAGUGUUAUCUUCAGCUAUUCACAAUUUGAAUUUGAAUUUUAAGUAGAAUAAGAUCCUAAAGAAUAGGAGUGAUAACAAGUCUAGUUUGACUUGGUUAACUCUCAACAGUCCCUCGCAAACGGAUGGGGGAAGUCACCAUCAGUUUGUCUUGAAGCGUAAGAAACCGAGUUGUCGAUAAAGGUUUCGUCAAGACAUCGGCUAUUUGAUCAAUGGUCGGAACAUAGGAGACGAGAAGAUUCUUCUGGCGUACUUGGUCUCAGACAAAAUGAAAGUCCAACUCAAGGUGCUUGCUACGAGAAUGAAAAACGGGAUUCGCAGCUAGAUAGGUAGCGGAAACGUUAUCACACCAUACUUUCGGCGUUGUUGGAAGCUUGUAAUUGAGUUCCCGAAGAAGGCACUGAAGCCAAUAAACCUCCAAAGCAGCUGAUGCUAAAGCUCGAUAUUCUGAAUCCGUGCUUGAACGAGCGACGGUCUUUUGCUUACGAGAAAUCCAAGAGAUCGGAUUGGAGCCAAGAAAGACAACAUAUGCAGAAGUGCUCUUUCGAUCAAGCUUGUCGCCACCCCAAUCAGCAUCUGAAAAAGCAACAAGUGAAGCUUGGCGAGAAGAGCGAAGCACGAGACCAUGAUCUAUUGUGCCGUGGAGGUAACGUAGAAUCCGUUUCAUGGCUUGCCAAUGAUGGAGGCAGGGAGAAUGCAUAAAUUGUGCAGCUUUGUUCACUGCCAUGGUUAUGUUGGGGCGAGUGAGUGCCAAAUAUUGAAGAGACCCAACAACCUGUCGAUAAAGCUUAGGAUCAUCAAAGGUAGAAGAAGUAGUGCCGGUGAGGUCGGCUUGCGGCGUUGAAAGAGUCGAGACCGACGAGGCAUCUUGCAUAUUCGUACGAUGGAGCAAAUAUUUGAUAUAUUUGGAUUGCGUGAGCUGCAAACCACUCGAGAACCACGCAACUUCAACACCCAAGAAAUAGGAUAGUGGUCCUAAAUCCUUGAGCGUAACAACCUUCCCAAGUUGAGUAAUAAACCAUUGUAACAGCGAAAAGGAUGAUCCUAUCAACACCAAAUCAUCAACAUAGACCAAGCAAUAUGCAUACUCGUCAUUACCAGAAUAUAUAAACAGCGAACUGUCAGCCUUGGAACCGUGAAAACCAAGCUAUUGUAAUGCAUUCGAAAGGCAAAAAUACCAAGCUCGUGGCACCUGCUUUAAACCAUAUAGCGAUUUCUUUAUAGCACAUACAAAAUCGGGUUUAGAAUGAUCAACAAAUCCCUGUGGUUGUUCCAUAAAAAUAGUUUUAUCAAGAGUCCCGUGAAGAAAGGCAUUCGAAACAUCAAGUUGCCGAAUGGGCCAAUGACGAUUGACGGCAAUGGAAAGAAUUAACCUUAUGGUGGCCGACUUUAUAACGGGGCUGAAAGUCUCAACGUAAUCAAGGCCUGGGCAUUGAUGAAACCCUUUUGCAACCAACCGCGUACGACAUCUAUCGAAGGAACCAUCUACUUUUGUUUUUACACGGUAUACCCACUUGCAACCAAUGAUAUUAGAUGCUCGAGAACGGGGAACAAGAUCCCAUGUGCCGUUUGAUAGAAGAGCAUCAAUUUCUUCUCCCAUUGCAGCACGCCAUACGUGCUGUUUUGCUGCUUCAGUGUAUGACGAAGGGGCUGGCAGUGUAGUGGACGCAGCAGCAUGAAAAACCUUUAGUUUAAGUGAGCCAGUAUGGAAGCGUAAAGUCAUUGAAUGACGCACGGUAGGUGCCUGAACAGUGGUAAGAGAAGCAUUGGAACUGCUAGAACCUAUCAGGAAUGUGAUAGAGUCAUUGGGAACAAUGGGAGCAGGUUGGGAGGACACGGUGGUGAUGGCAAGAGAUUGAUCGGCAGUCGGUGGGGGGUACUUGGGACAGUAGGGAGCUGCUGGUUGGGGCAUGGGGCUAUAGUCAGUGGGACGGCAGGUAAUGGAUUAGAAUCGGAGCGAUGGCCAAGAGAAAAAAUGGUUGUCGGGGAAGGUGGAGGACCGAGAACCGAUACGUGCCUAUCAUUGGACUUGAAUGGAAAAACCUGUUCAUCAAAAAUAACAUGGCGUGAGUAAAACACUUUAUUGAUGGACAAAGAUAAACAUUUAUAACCUUUGUGAAGAACACUGUAACCAAGAAAAACACAUUUGGCAAACCUAGGCUCAAGCUUAUUUUUGGUGUAUGGACGCAACCAGGGAUAGCAGCAACAACCGAAAAUUCUCAAUGACUUGUAAUCAGGGUCACGAUGAAAAAGGGCUUGGUAGGGUGAUUUAUGUUGUAAUUUUGGAGUUGGGAGACGGUUGAUAGUGUAUACAGCAGCAACAAAGGCAUGAUCCCAAAAUUUGGGAGGGACAGAGGCAUGAUGUAAAAAGGCGUGACCAGUUUUGGUUAUAUGACGGUGUUUUCUUUCGGCACAGCCAUUUUGUUCAGGGGUAUGAGGACAAGAGCUGCGUUGGAUUAUAGCUUUAGAGGCCAAAUAUUUUUCAAGGGCUUAGAAUUCCCCACCCCAAUCGGAUUGGAACUGCUUAAUAGGUAAACCAAAGUAUUUCUCAACAAUAGCACGAAAUUGAAUGAAGCAAUUAUAAACAUCCGAUUUACGACGAAGAAAAUAGAUCCAAGUAUGUUUGCUAUAAUGAUCAAAAAAACGCCACAUAAUAUAGAAAACCAUCACUAGAAGCAAUUGGAGAAGGACCCCACAAAUCCGAACAAACUAACUCUAAUGGUUGUUUUGCUUCAUAAGUAGAAUCCGAAAAAGACAAUUUGUGUGAUUUACUAACACAUCAAGUUUCACAAAUAGAUGAAUCAUGCUUAUUAGAAGCAGACAAUUUAUUGAAACUAAGAACUUUAUUGACAGUGUUUGAGCAAACAUGGCCUAGUCUAGCAUGCCAUGUAGACAACGAAACUGAAUGACAAGCAGGAGAUACUGGAUCAGUGGCUAAACGAUAUAAACCAUUCUCGAUGUACCCUCUAUGUAGAGUUUGCUUCGUCCGUCGAUCCUUAACCAUAAAAUAAUCAUGAAAAAAUUCAACAAAGACAUCAUUAGUGAGUGUAAACUGAGGAACAGACAAUAAAUUUAGGUUAGCCUCAAGAACAUGAAGAAUAUUAGACAAUUUGGAAGGAUGAGAAUUAAGAGUUAAGACAGACGAGCCAACACAAGAGAUAGGUAAGGUUUUACCAUUGUGAGAGUGACUUUAUCGGAACCAGUGUACUCUGAAUGAAUGCCCAAGUUUCCCAAUUCAGAUGUCAAAUGAUGAGUGGCACCGGUAUCAAUGAUCCAUGGCUUGGGAUUUGUUUGAGGAGACGAGCUAUAGUUUGCUGAAGGUUUGGGGUAGGACUCGGCAUAUCUUGGGUUGGGACACUGACGACUUGUGUGGCCACGUCCUUUGUAGUUGUAACAUGUUGAUCCUUGGGCGGGGAGGCAGCUGGGCCACGACUGGAAUAAUUGCCAUUGUGUUUACUGUUACGACCCCGUCCACGAUUAGCGGAAGCAGAAGGCUACCGACCGGCAAAGUUGGCAACGGCAGUAGGAUGAAGAGGUUCUUGAACAACUUUCAAUUGUAAUUCCUCAGAAAGUAAUAAGCCAAACAAAUCAUCAAAGGAUGUUGACUGUAGUUUUACCUCUAGAUUGCGAACGAAUGGUCGAUAAUCAGCACCAAGUCCUCGUAAAAUAUGAUCGACAAGAUCGUCUUCAGAAAUAGCUGCAUUUAGAGCCCCGAGUUGAUCAAAAAUCCAUUUCGCAUGAUCCAUGUAUAUGACGAUUGAAUCAUCGCCACGAGACAAGGCAUGAAGAGAGCCUUUAAGGGUCCGGAUUUGAGCCCGAGAUCCGGAAGUAAAAGUUUGAUGCAGCUUUGUCCAAGCUGCGAAUGCGGUAGUGGCUCCGAUUGCCUGAGAUAGCACGGACUCAGACAACGAGCCAAGGAUCCAGCUAAGAACCAUUUGGUCCUUAAGAAACCACAGCUCAUAGGCCGGGUUAGGAGCAUUGUCAACGGUCUUGGGAGGAGCUGCUGUGCCGUCGACAUGAUGCAUGAGUUUUUGGCUAUAUAAGAGAGGGGUCAUUUGUGUUUUCCACAGGAGGUAAUUAGAGGGAGUAAGCUUGAUGGUGAUUUGAUUUGGCAUGGAAGGUGGAGAGGAAACAGUCGAAUUGGCUAUGAGGAAAAAAAAAAGGAGAGGAGGCGGUGAUUGAAACCUUUUUACUGGCAGUUUGAUACCAUGAAAGAUAGUGAUUUUGGUUUGUAAAUUCAGCUCAAUUGUAUUCGACUAUUGAUAGCAAAUAUGAAAUAUAUACAAGAUUACAUCAGAGUGUUAUCUUCAGCUGUUCACAAUUUGAAUUUGAAUUUUAAGUAGAAUAAGAUCCUAAAGAAUAGGAGUGAUAACAAGUCUAGUUUGACUUGGUUAACUCUCAACAUGGAGUAGAUAAAUUCCAGUAAGGAAAAAAGGAGAGGCUGCUUCUAUUUUCAUCAAGUAGAGUCGGUUAGGAGAAGCGUAAUGCCAAGAGAAGAAACUGUAAGUCUCCCUACUGGUUUUCUUGAAUUUUAAAUGAAACUUAAUUAUCAAAUGGUCACGUAUAUAUACUUCCCAUCCAAUAGGAAAUUCGAUUGUGAGUUGUUGAAGAACCUAAGUAAUAUUUCUUAAGGAGAAAGAGGUAAGAAAAUUGGGUUCAUUCAUAGCAUUCAUGAGUUCAAGUAUAACGUUUGGGUUUUUAUAAAUGCUGGUUUUAGAGUAACUUUUUAUCAUGGAAAAUGGUUGUAUAUGCUUGAAGCUAGAGAAGAGAACAAGGGUGAAAGGAGUAUCAAAGGUGAAGACAAGUUAGUGGAUUGAAGUUUUGUGUUGAACCUAGUGUCGUGGGAAGCUUAUUAAGGUUAGUGUUCUCUUGAAUUUUAGCAUGCUUGUGCGAAAUAAAAUUUAAAUAUUUACCAGGCAUGAUUGUAAAUGUAAAUAAUAUGGAAAAGAAUGGCUUGCGAUAGUUUGUUGAUCAUUUAGAAAGAUUAGCAAAUGAAUUUGACUAGGCAAGUCAUAACCGAAUUAGUAAUAUAGUAUGGUUUAUUUUUGCUAAAUGAACAUGGCAAGAUAAUAUAGAAUAAUUUGAGAACCAUCUUGUAUGCUACUUCAUAAGUUACAAAAGAGUAUAGUUAAGGAGUUUAAUUUGUCAUUAUUUAAAGUAUUACAGAUAAAAAGAUAUUUCAAUUUAUAUCUUAGAAAGAAAUCCAUUAAUCCAUUAAUGCAUGGGAUCCAUUUAUUUUAGUUUUGAUUCUAAAUUUUUAUUUUUAUUAAUAUAAAUAAUUAUUAUUCAAAGAUAUACAAUUAUUCAUUUUUAUUUAUUUAAUAAUAUGUUUCUAUUCAUGUAAUAUAAAACAAUUAAGGUAUUUUAUAAUAUGAUACUUGUUUACUUAUAAAUUUUAAUAGUUUCAAUUAUAAAAACCAGCACAGUCUAAUUAAAUAUUAUCAGAUUUUAGAUCUUUUAAAUUUUUUUCUUUAACGUAUUUCAAUAUUUAUCAAUUUUAAAAUGAUGUACUUAUAUUGGUGUAAAACUCUAAUUUUAUUUAUUUUACCAUUUUUUUGUAAGGUUAAUAUUUUUACAAUCCAACCAUUCAAAUUAUUAAUAUAAUUUCAUUUAUCAUGUAAGGUUAGUAUGCUGGUUUUUGUCUCAAUUCAUAGGAUACUCUUGUAUACUUGGUUGUAUACUUAAUGAAAUUGCAUUGCUUGGUUGUCAACUACACAAUGACCUUGAAUCUCUUAUUAGGGUUUGGGAUUACUUUUAUAUUAAGGGUAGAUAAUUGGAAUUUUAGAUAAAAUUUAUAAAUUUAUAUUAUUUAUUAAAAAAUACAAAUUUAUAAAUUAAAAGAGUAUAAUUAAAGGGUUCAAAUUUACAGUUAAAAUUUAAAAAUGAUAAUCAUAACUUACAUAACUUACAUAAUUUACAUUGACAAAUAAUAAUGUUUUCUCAUAACAUUUAUAAUUAAUCAACUUACUUUCGAUUCAAUAGGUUUGGAGUGGAAAGAAUGUCAAUGACGAAGUUAAAUGGCUUUCCCAAGGGUCCAAAUAGAGUAGUAAAAAGAUAUAGUGUCUUCAUCAUCAAUGGAUUCAGGUUUCAUACAAAAUCUCGCAAAAGAUUGAGGAGGACUCGAAAUUGUGGAAUAGUUGUUAAUUCUUCAAUUACAAGUUAUGCUAGUGCUAGGACUGUAAUCCUGUUAAGGGAAAUGUGGAGUAUUACGUACUUCUUACUGACAUUAUUGAGUUGGAUUACUAUGGCAAACGGAAGGUUGUCUUAUUUCGAAUUGAUUAGGCUGAUGUUAAUACUGCUCGCGGAAUUAAAAAAGAUCAAUUUAGUUUUACAAUAGUGAACUACUCUCGAUUAAUUCACACUGGACAACAAUUGAUAGACGAGCCGUAUGUAUUUUCUUCUCAAGUGAAACAAGUUUUUUACUCGAAAGAUCCAACUGAUGAGGGUUGGUACGGUCCCUAGAGACUUGUUUGACAUGGGCAAUGUAAGUAGAGAUGACAUCGACGAAAGAUCAGAAACUUUGUCUUUUCUAGAACAAAACUUAAAUGAAACUAUCCCUAGUAUUAGUACACAAUUUCAAUGGGUUCGCCAUGAUGUGGAUGAAGAUGUUUACGAAUUAUGAUGUAGUAAGAUUUUACGAUUUUUUAAUUAUAUGUAGUAUUGUAAUUUAAAUCUUGAUCUUGUUAAAUAUUUCAUCUAUUUUAUAUGUACUAUUAUUGUUGUAAUUAGUUACUAAAAUUUCAACUAUUUUAUGUGUAUUGCAGAUAAAAAGCCUAAAAAAAGAUUGUGAGAUCUAUGUAUUGUUCAAAAUCCCCCAAAAUCCGGAAGAAACAAAUAGUGAAAAACAAUCUGCUAUUAGAUCUUCGAAUGUUUCGAAUACAGCUGACGAACCUACAGAAAUUCAAAGUAAUGUUAACUUUAAUUGACAGGCGUGUUGACUUCUAUUAUUGAUUUCUGUUUCAAAUUCUUAUAUUAUAAUAUACCAUUUUUUUCAACUAAAAGUGGUGGGACGUGCAAAACUUGAGGACGUACGCUGCUAAAAGAUUUAUACGAGUUAAAUUCUGUCGAACGUGUCAGAGUAGCUAGAAACAGUCUUGGUCAGCCUAUUGGAUCUGUAACGCCCCAAAAUUUUAAUUUUGGGUAUUGUAAAUGUGUGACACAAAUAUCUAUCAGCUUUAGUGGUUAAGUGCUUUGGGUGUGUGUGGGAGGUCCUAAGUUCAAGCCAUGACUUGGGCAAAUUUUAGUAUUUUUAUAAAUAAAGCCUUAACCUAGCCUAAAGGGCUUAAGUUUAAUAGUCGGUAAUAAAUAACAGAAUGGUCCUGCUGGUUUAGUGGUUAAGUGGAGUGUUUGAUUGAAUGAGGUCUUGAGUUUGAAUCCAUGCUGGAGCGUAGGCAUUAUUUUCGCGCAGUGAUGGACGAGUAUUUCGGCAGAGUGGGAUUCUGGAGUGGUUGUAGGUUAGUAUGAUUAGUGGAGGAAAUUAAGGGAUAAUGGGAGUAGUGGUGAGAUAAUUAAGGGAUUUUGGGAUUCUAUCAAACUCUUUUAGUUAAUUUCGGUUCAUCCAAAAUUCUAUUCUCUCUUCCCCAAAAUUUCUUCCAUCGUUCUGACGUUUAUUCACCCCUUUUCUACCGAAUUUUCAUUGUUUCCUCCCUCUUUUCUUUUGAUUUCUUUUAUGUCUCCAUCGUAAUCGAUGAUUGAACUCGCUCGAUUUGGUAAAUAUUCGUUUUGCCACUUUCUAUUUUUCCGUGGUUGGUUUUAUGAAAAAGGGUUGUUUUGGUUCUUUCGAAUUAGGUGAAAAUCAAGUAGCGGUAGGUGCUUGUGCAGAGAUUUGAACGUUUGGGUUUUCAGUUUGUUGCCAGUCUUGGAGUGCUUGGGAGCGUAUUUACAAUGAAACGAUACUAGGUGUGUACCCGAAACACAAAAAUAAGGGAUUCAGCGAAAAGUCGAACUUGCUUGCUGUUUGGACACCAGCAGUAGGCUAAAUUUGAUAAAUCACCAUAACUUGUGAAAAUUUAAUUAGAGGAUGAAAAAAUAUAAGACUAAAUAUAUUUGAGUGUGGUUUCUCAUGGAAGAAACGAAGUAAGCAAAAAACUUUUAUAUUAUGAGAUAUUUGAAUUUUAGUGAGACAGGGUCAGAAUGAUUUUAAAAUCCCCUGUCCCGAUUUUGGAAAAUUAUUAAAAAUUUUAUAAAAAUAAUUGUGGGUUAGAAUUUAUAUGUUUAAAAUCAUAAAUGAAUCUACUUUCAAGAUAAACAAACGGGAACAUCAUCCGAAUUCUAUACGAGAAGAUAAUUAAUUUUUAGUACAGAAAGAUCAAAACUGUCAGACAGCAGAACAGGGGAAAUUUUAAAGAAUAAAAUGUACUUAUUCGCUAAAACCAAAAAUUCUUAAAAUUUUAUGGUAAGAAGAUAUGUGAGUCUGUUUUUAGGGAAAUUUUUUGGAUCUUAAUUCAGAAUUCUGUAGCUUAAGAUACAAAUAAUUUAGUAAUAGUGACUCAAGUAGACAGCUUUGAAGGAUCAUAUAAGUAAAUAGUGGAAACACAUAUGAAUAAUUAACUAGCACGGGUUACAUUAAAAUGGAUCACGAGGCCAAGGCCAAUUUGGGUCAUGUGGGCCACACAGGCGUGUGGGCCCACACGGGCGAACAUCAUGGACUUGUAGGCCCAUUUUCACUAUUUGACUAAUAAGGUUGCACGAGUCGCCCAAGUCGACUGUGAACCUAUUGUAGGGUCGAUAAGCUCACUUAGACCCCUAAUUGACUGAAAUGAUUAUAUGACUGAUAUGAUUAAGCCUAAUGAUGUCCCACUGAUUUGAUACCGUAUGCCCUGUUUACAUGCAUGAUAUUAUGUUAUAGCAUGUCAUAUAUGUAUAUUGCAUUGCAUUUGGUUAGGGGAUUAUAAUGUUUGGAGGAAGUGUACUGAAAGGCCUCGAGCCUAACUUACUAGCAGCUCAACUGCAAACUACUGUCUAGUGUCGCAUUCGGUACUACUUGGAGUGUAGGGAUGGGUGGGUUGAUUAUAUCCCUACAUAGAGUGUAGGGUUGGACAGGGAUUGUGUGUAGAGGCUGGAUGGGUAGGAUUUUUGUGACUGCAUAUCUGUUACUGCUACUGAUACUGUGAUGGGCUAAAGCCCUACUUCAUGACUGUUUUUGUAUUGGGAUGGGCUAAGGCCCAAACUGGACUAAUAUUGAUACUGAAAAGGGCUUAAGCCCAGACUGUGACUAUUUGUUUCCUGUCUGUACAUUUGUAUGGGGAUUACACACUAAGUUUACGUAAACUCACCCCUUCUGUUUAAUCUGUUCAGGUAAUCCCCAGAUAUAGGCGGAUUGGUGCGGCGGAGAACUCAGUGGUGGCCACACGACUUCAUUUACACUGUUUAUUACCUAUUUAUGAUUUUACUUUUAUUUGGGAGUAUUUUGCUGUAAUUAUGGCCUUUACAAAUUUUGGUUUAAAUUUGGGUUUUAUACGGUUUUAUGAUUUAAAUCUGCUAGUGUUAGGUAAAACUCAGGUUUUCAAAUGAAAUUAAUGUUUUAUCAAAAAUACCACGAAUACGCAAACUAUUUAAAAGCUUCCGCAAUAAAAUAACGUUUUGAAAUUGAAUAACGAUUUGUAAAUGAAUAAUGUUUUGGAAACGAACAACAUGAUUUGAAAUUAACAUAAGGUAAUGAAAAAAAUGGUUAAAUAGAAAAGAGAAUUUAGUGACGACAUAUUUUUCGAAAAACACUACCCUGUGACAUUGUCAAAUUCGGCCAUAAUGUCUAGGCGGGGUUUGGGGUGUUACAGGAUCAGAAGCUCGACUUUUAACAGGAUACUUAGGCAUUGUAGCAUAAAAUGCCAAUCUGUUUCCUAUCAACUACGAGUAAGGGCAUCAUAUGCCUGAUACUAACAAAAAUAAGCUAUCGAUAAUAUUAAGGUAAUAACAUGAAUGUAAUUUAUAAUACUUUGGUUUAAGUUUCAUUUAUAUUUACUUUCUAAAUUUGUAUUUUUUGCAGGAGAGAUUUGCUUUAGAGGUCUCAGAUAAUUAUGUGAAGAAGGCAUUAGGAAAAAAAUGGAGAGACCAUAAAAGUUCUUUAAAGAAGGAAUAUUUUAAGAAAAAUAUAAGCCUUGAAGAGAAAUUGCAAAAUGUCCCGCCAGGAAUGUUGAGGUACCAAUGGGAAGACGCAGUUAGAUUUUGGAAUUCAAAGAAAGGAGAGGUAUUGCGUACUUCCAAACUCUUAUAAUUAUUUUGGUUUAUAGUAUUUACUAUAUACGUAAUAAUAAUUUCAUAAUGUAGGAUCGUGAGCGAGUUGGAACUACAAGUAGGCAAAAACAAAAAUUCACGCACACAGCUAGGUCGAAAAGUUUUGCUUGCGUAGCUGAGACCGAGGUAUUUUGAAUUUAUGAAUUGUGUCAAAUAUUAAUUACUUUCUACUAAAUAAUAUUUUUACUACUAUACUGUAGGAACUGUCAUCUGGUCAAAAAGUUGGACGCCUUCAGCUUUUUGACAUUACACAUAGAAAGAAAGAUGGAUCUCCUAUGACUACUGAAACUGCAGAAAUUAUGGUAUAUUUACUUAAUAAAAUUUAAAUUAUUUUAAAUAUUUAUCAUGUUUAAUUAUAAUGGUUUAAUUCGUCGUUUGUAAUGCAAAUAAUGUUAAGUUAUGUUGCAUUUGUUUUUAUUAUAUAUUUCAUUUCUAACUAUUUGAUUGAUUUAUUAGGAGAAACUAAAGGAUAAAAAGGCGAAGUAUGAAGCGAUCGCUUGGAGUGAUAGUUCUGUUAAUCUUGACGACAUUGAUAACCAAAUUAUUUUUGAAGUUUUGGGUCCUGAAAUGUAACACCCCUAACCCGUAUCUAUCGCAAGAAUAGGGUUAUAGAGCAUUACCAGAGUUUACUAAUUAAUUUUUAGACUUUUCUUUUCAUCAAGCAUUCAUAUUUAUAACCAAUCAAAAUCAAAACAUUAAUGAGCUAACAUUAACCAAUUUCACUUGUACAUGCCAUUGUAACCAAAAUCAAAUCAUCCAAAAUUAUCGAUAGAACCAAUGGAUAAUGUGAUAUAUCUCCAACAAGCUUCCAACUCAAUCGAGCUUCUGAUAAUCAUUUCAAUGCAUCAAAUAAUUAUACAUAUUACCAAUAAUAAUUAAAUUCCAAUAAGAAAACACACAUACAUAUAUAUAAUAUUCAUUACCAAAUAACAUUCACUUCAAUUAAAAUUAUACAGAAUAUAGUUCAUACGAACUUACCAGGCUAAAUUGCAGAAAUACCAAAAUUCAGGGACAUUUUGGAAAUUUUCUAUUUUUCUCAAAUUUCCACCCAAUCUUGAUAUAAAUUAAUAUUUCAUUAAAUUUACUAAUUUAAAUAAUAAAACAAUUCAUUUCAUGCAAUUUGGUCACUUUUUGACAUUUUUACAAAUUUACCCUUAAAGUUUUACUUUUAUUCAAUUUAGUCCCCGAGCCUAAAACGUGCAAAUUAUCCAUGCUAGCUGAAUCUUCAUAUAUAUAUUUUCCUCCUCCUCCUCCUCUCCAUUCCACAUCCUUAAUUUAUAUAAUAUGCUUAUAUGUAACAUUAUCUAUGAUUUUACUAUUUACCUGUAAAUUUAUUCAAUACUGUCCAUUUGAGUCAUAGCCACUAAAUUUUUUUUAUCUUGAAGUACAUAACUCCAAAUUAGGAUCCGCUAACUUUUCCUAAAACUAGACUCACAUAUAUUCUUACCAUAAAAUUUUCAUAAUUUUUGGUUUAUCCAAUAAGUACAGUUUAUUCUUUAAAGUCACCUCUAUUCUGCUGUCUGACAAUUCCGACCCUUCUUCACUAAAACUUAAAUAUCUCCUUGUACAGAAUUUGGAUGAUAUCCCCGUUUGUUUCUAUUGAAAAUAUACUCUUUAAGGAUUUUAUACAUAUAAAUUAUAACCCAUAUUAUUUUUUUACAAUUAUUUUAUGAUUUUCCUAAGUCAGAACAGGGGAACACGAAAUCAUUCUGACAUUGUCUCACAAAAUCUAUUAUAUCUCAUGAUUUACAAUUCCAUUACUUACACUGUUUCUUCUAUGAGAAACUAGACUCAGCGCUUUAAUUCUAUAUUUUGUUCAUCCUCUAAUUUCAUUUCCACAAUUUAUGGUGAUUUUUCAAAGUUAACCUACUGCUGCUGUCCAAAACUGUUUUAGUGCAAAAUGUUAAUUACUAAGUUUAUAACUUCCUUAUUCCCUUUCUCUAUAAUAUUUCCCAUCACUUUCACUUAUUUAUCUUCACUAAUAUAUCAAUAACAUAAGAAUUUAUAUAAUAAAACUCUACUAUAACUUCUUUUCCAUGCUAUUUCAAUAAUAUCAAACCUAAAAAUAUAUUGAAAUCUCAAUGUUCUUACCUUGUCCUACUGAUUUCAACCUUUAACUUGAUUUUCUCUCUCCUCCAGCUUCAAUUUCUUGAAUCCAACUUGAUAUUUUAGCUCCCCAUAGUCUCUUUGUUAUCUUUCUCUCUUGAUGGCUAUGGAAAUUCUUUUGAUUUCUAAGUGAAAAUGGUGAAUUUUUUUGGUGGAAGGACCAAAUUAUAAAGAAAGCAAAAUUUUCUUUCUUCUCUUCUCUUCUAACGUGAAUUGCAUGGAAAAGAUGGUGGGUUGGUUCCUUUUCAUCUUUCUUUCCACUUAUAUAUACUAAAUAAUAAAAUAAUAAAAUAUCAUUUAAAAAAUCAAAUUAAAAUAUUAAUAAACUAAUAUUUAUUUAUUUAAUUAAACUAAAAUAUCUCCAACAUCAUCAUUAUCUUCUAGAUUUCUCUCUCUUCUAAAUGACCAUUUUGCCCUUUAUGAUCUUUUCAAAUUCCAUCAUUGAGUCAUUACUUAAUUUGGUAAGAUUACGAUUUAGUCCCUCAUAAUUCUUCAUCUAUUCAAUUUGGUCCUAAUUCAUCCAUUUUCCUUAGUUUCUAGAUUAUUCCAACCUUAAAAUAUUUGCACUAUUGGUCCUUCAACUUUUUCUUAUUUGCACUUUAACCCCUCAAAUUUUGAGUAUUUACCCUUGGGUAACAAAACUUUUCUCACUUUUGCGAUUUAAUCCUUUCUUGAAUUAAUAUGUCAUAAUUUACUUCUUAAUGUUGACAUAACUCAAAAUUACCCUUUUUAUCACUUUAUUUCCUUAUUUUACUAUAUCAAGAAUAUUAUCUUACUUUUUUACUGUAGUAAUUUUCGGGGUAUUACAUGAAAGGUAUGGUUGGGUUCGAUUUCAAGGAUCUUUUGUUAACCUAACCCAAUAUUUUGGAUCCAGCUCGCAGCAAUACAUGCCUUCGGGGAGUCAGGCUCAAGCUGAAGUUCAGAGGUUAAGAGACCAGAUGGCUUAGAUGAAAGCGAGCAGAGUUGAGCAAAUUGCUCAACUUAAAGCAGAAGCAGCAUCGAGAGAAGUAGAGGCUCAAAGAAAAUAUGAAGAACUCCAGCUACAACUUAAAGCGGAGGAAACAACGAGGGAAGCAGAGCAAGGCAGAAAAUAUGACGCACUCCAGUUAUAGCUUCAGAAUAUGAUGAAGAUGUUUCAGCAGUCGCAUAAUCCGCCAUCUUAGACGUUUGUUUUCUUAUUGUACGAAUAUUUUAACAUUAUAACUUUAGAAAAUAAUAAAUUUUGUUAUUUCAUUUAUUAAUUUAUAUCAUUUAUCUUUUCAUUGGGAUUUGAAGUAUCAUUUAGAUUUGCAGUUUGGUUGGAUAUGAUGUUACAGGAAAUUAUGUUGACAAUUCGGGUGCUAUAUAAAUGAAAAUGAGAUGUUAAAAAUCUGUUAAAGUUAGUGGUGUUUUCUCCACAAACGCCGCUAAAGAACAUGACCUUUUACAGUGUUUUUUAGUAAAAUCGCCGCUAAAGGUCAAGUUCUUUAGUGGUGUUUUUGGGGAAGCGCCGCUAAAAGUCAUGUUCUAUAGCGGCGUUUGUGGGAAAGCACCGCUAAAGGUCAUGUUCUAUAACGGCGUUUUUCUGCAUAAACGCCGCAAAAUUUAGCGGCGUUAUCUAUAGCAGCGUAUUUUGUGGCGCAUGUAAAAAUGCUACAAGUAGUUUAUAAGCACGGCUAUAGACCUAAAAAAAUGCCGCUAAAAACCUAUUUUGCUGUAGUGAUUCCAAGCAACUUUAAUAAAAUUGAUUGCAUCCAAUACAUUAAUCUUUUCAGGAUCUAUUUCUCCUUUCUCGGAACGUUCCAAGAAGCUAGAAUAAAAGCGAUGUCGAUAAUAAAUCUUAACUGCUCUAAUACUUUUAGCAUCACAUGAUUGAAUUUUUUAUGAUGAAUUUAGAGGCAAAAGGAAUAAUUCAACGUUUCUCAAGCCUUUAAUAACCUUGGGAUGGGCUGGGCAAUUGUCUACUGUAAGCAACAUCUUUCUGCUAGUCAUUCUAGCAUCAAACUAGCGAACAAGAUCUUGAAAAUUUAAUCCAAUCAUCCAUUUUUUAUUGGCUCGAUAAUGACAGUUAAGAUUGUCAAUAUUCACAUGUUUAAAACAUCUAGGAUUAGCAAACGUAACAAUAACCCAAAAAGACACUUUAUUUGAACCAUCCCCAUUGCAACCACAGCAGUAAGUCUUUCCUUCUCUUUUUUUAGUCCUUCUAAUUGCUUUGUAGCCAGUGAAUGAUCUGCUUGCAAACGAUAAAAUAAGCCUAUUUCAUUCAUAUUAUAGAUAUCCUUCCAAUCAAUUUUUUUAAUUUAGCUCUUAUUUCAGGUAAAGCAUCUUUAAAAUUCUCCUUAAUAACUUGACCACUUUCACCAAAUCUUCAAUAAGACUUAAUCUCAUGUCUUGCCUUGAACCGUUCUAGCCAACCGAUUGAGAAGUAAAAUUUGGAAUUUGCAUCACCUUACAUUUUCUAUAGAAACAUUUUUGCUUUAGUUUGAAUCAUUUCUCCAGUCAUGUUUACUUUCUCUUGAUAUUGAAGAAACCACUCAUACAAUACCUUCUCUAAUUCAGGAUAUUUGGUUGAUUUGUGCAUUUUAACAUUGCUAUUCUUUAUCUCUUUCGACAAAUAUUCAGAUGACUUUUUAAAAGUAUUAGAUAUUGUUGAUUGGCCAACAGAGAGAUCAAAUGUUUGUUGAACCCACUGUUGCAAAUAUUUUUGACUUGAAGAGGGAUGUUCAUUUUUGUACUCACAUAAUGCUUUUCUCAUCUCAUCUGUCAAUGUAGACUUUUCUACACCUUUCAAAUGGGAAGCCAUGAAAGAAAAGAUUAUAUGAAUUACAUUAUUUUGAUAGUACAUAUGUUUAUUUAUAAUAAAAUUUAUAAUCUAUCCAGUGAAUAUAUACGUAUUGGAUUUUGAAACCAUUAACUAUUUUUUUCUUUUUGUUUACAUGAACCAAUUAAUUAACUCUCUUUUUUUGUUAUAAUUAACUUUGAUUUAUUGCACCUAAAUGCAUAUUGGAUUUUGAUUAAAAAAAACACUCAUGCAUAAAGUAUGAAAUAUUCUCUAAAAUAAUAAAUGUUAAUUUAUCGAUAAAUUAAUAAAAUAUUUAUUUAUUGAUAAACUAAUAACCUCAAUAAAAUAAUAAUUUUUUCAAGUCUCAAGGAUAUUAUUUUAUAGAAGUUUUACUGUAUGUGUUUUGGGUUAGCAAAACUGUGAAUAAGUGUUUUUUUUUUAACUGAAUUUAUAUUCCAAAUCCAAAAGAAAUAUCAUCUGAUGCAUUGUAAUCAUAGUGUAGGCUUCUUCUUUUUUCAUAUAUGUGAGUUAAAAAAAUUAUUUUGCAGACUGUAUGGUUGUAUAAUUAUUUAGCAAAGUAGGCAAAAUCGGCAGGUGAAGUGUCCGACUUCAAAAACCGACGCCCCUAGAAUCCGACUUCAGUGAAGCAAGCAGGAACAACUUGAAUCUUCCACUUUGGGCAAAGAAAGAUGAAAUGCUCAAAUAUAAAAUGGAGUAAUAUCAUGAUAUUCCCUGAAUGUUUAUCAAAAUUUCUAUAGUCUAUCCAGUUUAAAAUUUAUCAAAAUUUCGAUAUGAUCUCUCCACUUGCAAAUUAUAUUUUAAAAUAGUAUGUUGUUUUCUAAAUUAAAAAAAUAAAAAAUUAAAUUAAAAAAAUAUUAUAGGAAUUAAAAAAUAUGAAAAUAUUGAAAUACAAUUACUUUUAAAAUAUGGGAAUUUAUAAUUUACUAGUUAAAGAAAUUAUAGUAACAAUCUUAAAUUAAAACUUAUACGUUGCUUUUAAACUUAAAAAGUAGUUUUAAUAUUGGUAUAUUUUUACGAAUAACAAAAAUUACAAAAUUAUAAUUCAACUCCCAAAUUUUUAAUAUUUUAAAAGAUAGCAGUAUACUAUUUCUUAAAAAAUGAAUAAUCACUUGCUAGAAAAAUUUGAAGAUGAAUAAAGUAAUAAACUUUAAUAUUUUGAAAUACCUAUUUAUUAAUAUUGAAAAAUAACAUCCUAUUUUUAAAUAUAAUUUUAAAGUGGUGGAUUAUAUUGAAAAUUUUAUAUACAUUCACAGGUCAUUUAUGAUGUAAUGUGAACUGUCAUCAUUUUCUAAGGGCGGCAUCUCAUUUGAAAGUGAUUCUUCAAUCUAAAAAUGGAAUCAAAUUUUUAAUAUAGUCCAUCCAAUUUAAAAUUAUAAUUCUGUAAUUUUUAUUAUUACUAAAAAAUUACCGAUACUAAAACUACUUUGUAAGUUUAAAGUAACAUAUAGGUUUCAGUUUAAAAUUGUAACUAUAAUUUCUUUAACUACUAAAAUUUAAAUUCCGAUAGUUUAAAAGUAAUUGUAUUUCAAUAUUUUAUUUUUUUAAUUCUUAUAAUAAUUUGAAUUUAAAUUUUUAGUUUUUUUAAUUUAGAAAAUAACAUACUAUUUUAAAAUAUAAUUUGUAAGCGGACCAUAUCAAAUUUUGAUAAAUUUUAAAUAAACAAAAAAAAAUCAUUAUUUUUUAAAUAAAAAUCAUUAUUUUGUCUCAAUUUUAAAUUAUUAUUGUAAAUUUUACUGCUAACGUUUUUAUCUCAUUUCAACCAAAAUAUAGUGUAUAAUAUUUAUAAUAGAUCAUCUGUAAUUCUGAGUGACUUUUAGAUUAAAUAUAGUUAAAAUAUUUUUUAUAUUAAACUCUUUUUAGUUUAUAAGAUUAAAUAUAGAUAAAAUAAUAUUUUUAUAUUUUUUAUUCUAUUUUAAAUGAAUUGAUUAAUUUUAUUUAUUUAUUGCUUAUUUUUUUUCUUAUGAAAUAUUUUUGUUUAUUUUUUGUUUUUGUUAAUUGCCUUUAUUUUCUUACCGUUAUCAAAUAAAAAGAUAGAAACUAAAUAAUAAAGAAAAUGGGAGAGUAAAGAGAAUAUAUUUUAUUGAUCAAUUGGAAUUUUUACAAUGCUUCUCCAAAGUCUCUAUUAAUAGGCAUAAGAAGUAUAAAUGAAGUAGAGAUCUAAUUUUAAUGACUAUUAGAAUUUAAAGUACAUCAAAGCUUAUCUUGAUCUUGAUGGACAUCCACUUGAUAAGAUAUUCAUAACACUCCCUCUUAUUAUGUCCAUUGGUUGAUAAUGUGUCUCGUUAAAACCUUACUAAGAUAAAAACUUUGUAGGAAACAAAUUCCUGGUGAAGGAAAAAGAGUACACAUAUCUAUAAUACGCAUAAUAAUGCUGCCUUGUUAAAAAACUUACUAGGAAAACCUAAUGGGACAAAACCUCGGUUAAGGGAAAAGUAGUACAGCGUGUACUUACUCCCCCUCAUGAAAACAUCACAUACUUUCUCAUAUUCUACGUAUUCAAUCUUGAAUACUAGUUUUUCAAAUGACUAUUUGAAUGUAUUUGCUAAGCAUUUAUAUCACCAUUCUUUUGAAAGUCAUGACUGAGGGAAAUUUUGGGGGAAAUACAUUUUGAUCUCUUUAGGAGUUUCAACAAUAAUCAUAGCAAAAUUUAAUCAUGAUUCUUCUAUAAAAGUACAAAUAAGUAUUUUGGAUCAUUUUAUAAUCCUCCUUCAACUACUAUUCAAUAUGUCAAAUUUACCAAAUAUGUUCAAAUUAUUUCAAUUCAUAUAAAUGAAUAAUUUCCUGAGAAUUUCAAUAUGCUUCUGCCAUACUAAAUCCUUCAAGGAUUUUAAUAUCACCUUUACUAUAUAGUGAUUCAUAAAAAGUUGUAACAACAACCAUUAGACGGAAGUUAAAUAUUUUAUGAACUGUUAGUUUAAUAAUAUAUCUAAAGGUUAUUGCAUCCACCACAAAAAAAUCUUAUAUCCUUUCAUAAUCAAUAUCAAGGCUUAGCGAAAAACUUCAUAUUUUUAUUCCGCUUUUGCAAAACUACUUCAUUUGUACCCUCACUAGCUUUAUACCUUAAAGUAUUUGGACUAUCGAUAAAAAAAACUCCACAAAUUUAAUUGUACUUGAGUUUGUGUCUUUCUGUUUUGAACAAUCUAUUCCAUAUCUAUAUUUCUUAAUAAAUUUAUUCAAGAUUCUCUUUUUAUUUCAUGAUUUCAACAAUAAUAUUGCAUGCAAAACCAUUAUCGACCACUUUUAUUAUUGGUUCGACAUUUUCUUAAAUUGACAUAACUUAUCAAAAUCUCUAAUUUUCACUAUUUUAAUCUUCAGUUUCAGGUACCUGAAUCUGGUCUGAAAGUUUACUUAUUAGUUAUGUCUUGGGUCUCUUUUGGAGCACCCAUCUUCACUAUAUGACCAUCUAGAUUUAUCAUGUUCUUUUAUGAGAAUUUUUAUAUUUAAAACUUGUAAUGAGUUAUCCUUGUCGAACUUCUGGUUCAAAUAACUCUCUCCCUAACUCAUUACAAGUUAUUAUCUCUCUUCCCCUAAUGUCAGGAAAACUAUCGAAUCAAAAUAGUAAUCACAAAUCAUUUCAUAAUUGACUCUUCAAUACAUUCAAAAGAUCUAAUAAUACAUUGAGACUUGUAAUUAAUAUAUAUUCCCAACUUUCUUUGAGGAUUCACUCAUAUUUGUGUGUUGUGAUGGAGCAAUUAGAACAUAUAUACAUAUACAAAAAUUCAAAGAUGAGAAAUAUUUAGCUCUUGACAAAAAAACCAAUUGUAAUGGGGAAUAUUUAUAACUUAUUGGCUUGACGCGUACAACACAUAAAUCAACAUAAUCUGAUGUUGAAAUAGGAAGUUUAGUUCUCAUAAGUAAUGGUUUAAAUAUUAAUCAAAUGCGUUCAAUCAAUAAUUUUUCUAAACUGUUAUGCGCAAAAAUAACAAGCUUAACACCCCAAACCCGACCUAGACGUUAUGGCCAUAUCUGGUGUGCCACAUCGAAGUGUCUCUAAAAAAUUUGGCUUGUUGACAAACUUGUUUCUUAUUUUCGGAAACCUCUUUUUAAUAUCUAACGGGGCAUUUAUUCAUAUGCUUACCUUGUUAACUGCUUCUUGUUGUAUUAAGUUGAUUUAAAACGCGGAAGCAUUUCUAAAACUCUAACAUUUAAAGCUCGUGUCUUUGAAAAUAGUAAUCAAUUUGAAAAUCCAUUUUCAAAUAAUUAGCAGUAUAAAAUAUGAAAGUAAAAACACAAUUAAAAUUUAAAACCAAAUAAAAGGUCUUAUUACAAAAACAAAACCCAACUUAUUAAUUAAAAUAAAAAUAAAAGAUAAAAUGAACAGCAGUGAUUGGGUGGCCACCUCCGAGUCCCUCGCUGCACCAAACCGCCUAUGGCUGAGGAUUACCUACACAAUUAGAAAAGAGGGUGAGUUUACGAAAACUCAGUGUGUAAUCCUCUACCAAACAAUUAGCAUACAACAUGCAGAAUCAGUUCCGGCUUGAGCCUUAUACAGUAGUAGUGUGUGGGCCAUAACCCAAUACAGUAACAGAGUGUGGCCCUUAGCCCAAUACAGUAACAGUGCAAAUGCAGUAAUGCAACCCAUCCCAAUCCAGCCAACACACCACUCCGUACCACCAACACACCAUGUGGGGAUAAAAUCGACCCACCCAGCUAACACACCAGUAUCGCAGCAGAGCUACCAGUAAUAGUAACACAACGAAGCUGCUAGUAACAGUAUUUAUAGCAAAGUCACCAGUACAAUAUACUUCCCCUAUAUCAAAAUCCUAACCCUAUGUAGUAUGUCAUGUCAUAGAUCAUACGUGUAUGCAAUAUGUCAUACUCAGUAACAGUCAUAUAAAUAUCAUAAAGCAAAACGGUCUGACAUAGCAUACGGCCAUAACAGUCAUUUCAUCUCUUAAGGGUAUAACGAUCAUUUUAUCCUAUAGGGGUAUUUCAGUUAUUUUACCUAUCGAGGGUAUUUUAGUAAUUUUACCCUUCGAGGGUAUUUCGAUUAUUUUACCUAUCGAGGGUAUUUUAAUAAUUUUACCCAUCGAGGGUAUUUCGAUAAUUUUACCCAUCGAGGGCAUUUCGAUAAUUUUACCCAUUAAGGGUAUUUUAGUCAUUUGCCCACGAAUAGCACGUAGGGCUCACGACUCGAGCGAUCGCAUGCCCAUGUAGUCUCAAACGCCGUGUUCACGGCUUUUCAAGUUUUACCGAUUUGCAGUUGAGUAAGGGUGUGAUUACACACCUUUUCACGAAAGCUAGCGAAACACCUUUUGGCACCAACCUACAUUGAUUUGAAUAUUCGGUCAGCCCUUCAAUAACCAAUAUUUUCAAGUACUUAAACCACACUUAAACAAUCAUCACCUACCACGAUUAUAAAAAAUAUGGCCUACUCUUCUAAGAUUCUUAGCCAAGACACGAUUCCAUGUUCUUGAUUAUUAUCUGUGCAAGCAGCAAUUUUUAUGAAACAACCAUGGUUACUCGAAUAUGAUUUAAGAAAAAUCCAACACCAAAAUCACAACAUUUUUGGCCUACCAACCAACUUACCCCAACGAUCAAACGGUUGGUGAAGGGAAGAUUUGGAACGCCUCCACACACUAGAGAAUCCUCUUUUCUCUUCUCGAGAUUUUAACACCCGAAAUUGAUGAUGAUAAAAUUGGUUAGAAAAGCUUAGGUAUAUUCAACCAAGCACAAUUGAGAAAGGAUGGUAACUAAAAGUACACAAAAGAGCCUUGAAGAAAUCGGUUGGGAUGGGGAGAGUGGGAAGCAGAGAAGAAGAAGAUGGUGAGUAGGUUCGACUUUGAAAGAAAAUAGAAGAAUUGAGGGAAGAGAGAAGAGAAGUGCAUGCACCACUGUUAGAAAAGUAGAGAAAACAGAAUAUGGUGUUCGGCAGAGAAAGAAAAAUGAGACCAAAAAGAAAGUUACCUAUUCGGAAAAUGAAGGAAGGAGGAGAAGUACUGGAAAUUUUGAUCACUUCAAUAGCUAAAACGCAAACCCGAAAGGAACCCCGAAUGGUAGAAAAAUCCCAAAGAACAUUCGGCACCUUGCUUUCAACCCUCUCAAAAGUGAACAAAGAAUUGCCUUGUGCCGAAAAUGCUCCAUUCCUUUCCCCUUAGCCAAAUUUCACUAAGCCUUAGAGUCCCAAUCGGCCAUAACACCCUACCAACCUCUCAGUUACACAACACGCCACCUUGCCACUAGACCACAAGUUAUUUUUGUGUCAUAAAAUAGACACUAAUAUUUAUAAGGCCUAAACGCCACUGUCCAGAUUCAAUUAAGAGCAAAACCAAAAAUUUUGCAGAAGCCAAGACUUGAACCCCCCGACUUCUCAAACACUUCCAAACACUCCUAAAUCACUUAACCACUAAAGCAGACAUUCAUUUAUGUCACUUUCAUACACAACUAAAUAUUUAUGUGCAGUCUUCUAACUGUUCCCUUGUUCAAAACCUAUUUCUUCUAGGCCCAAAAUUUGAGGUGUUACAUGUGUUUUAGCCCUAGCAGCUUCAAAGUUCUGUGUUGCGACAUGGGCCUUCUUGUGUCGCAACACAGUUGUUGUCUCUUGUGCUCCUUGCCCUGAAAUAGCACCAUACACACUCAAAUGGCCUACUAGUUAUUCCCGAGGCCUAGUUGGCCUAAUGGGUCGUCAAAACACUAAAAACAUGCUUAAAAAUGCUUAUUUUGUAAUAAUUUGAAUCUAAGCUACGAAAUAGGAAAAUGCAAUAAAAGAAUAUAAAAUACCUAGAAAAUAAGCGUUAAUUUCCAAAUAUUACUUAAUUUUCCACUGUAAUUUGUGGCAAAUCAAUAUUUUAUGAACUCACUAAACAAGGUUACAAAGACCCUUUAAAUAGGAUAAUUUUGGAGUGUUAAUAUGACUAAAAUGUCUUAGAUUAGCCCGAGUUUAAUUGGGGAAAGAUACUAGAUUUUAACUGGGGGAAAAGACCUGAUUUAUGUGCGAACACGAAGCCACGUCAUGACGUCGUUUAUUGGUUCAUCGUACUUCGGAUCCAAACUCUUGUUGAUUUUCAAGAUUUAAUUCCAAAAAAUUGUUAUCGAUGAUACAUUGGUCAUACGAAUCAAAAUUGGAGACAUCAUGUACGACCUCUUCCAAUGGAGUACCCACUUGAGAUUUUUUCAGAAAAACUCCUCUAAUUGAUCCAACCAUUGUAGGAUUCUCUUUGAUUUGGCUUGGAAUUCUCACUCAUUGCUUUCCUAUUCCGACGCAUAAUCAUAUGAAUCAUAAGGAUUUUCGUCUAACUAUUCAGAUGUUCCCAAUUGUUGCUCAUCUAUCUUUUCCAACAAAGUUAUUGUUUCGUUUCUUCGUUGGUAGCAUAAGCACUUUUUGGUUCUCCAUAAUCCCCCGUUGUUUCUAUACUCCUUCCUUAUAUACUUCAUCUUCAUCCUAAGGGUUCAUCGAACAUCUAAUCCUCUCAGAUAUAUACUUGUUCGGCUUAGGUGGGAGUUCGUUAUAACACUCAGAUUACUCAUCUUUAUAAUUACAAAUCCAUUAGUUUGUCAAAUCUCCGUACAACCAACUCAAUUUGGAUUGCUCAUACACUGACCUAUAAAUAUCAAUGUUCAUAAUUAAAUCUGAUAAUCAACAAAGUAAAAAAAAUAUAUCAAAAUAAAAAUAUUUACUUAACUAAAAAAAUUCAAAAUAAUUAUUUUUUUUCAAAAAAUAAUUAAAUUAAAUUAAAUUAAAUUAAAUUAAAGUUAGAACACUAUCAAGCUAGUUCGUCUUUCGAUUAAUAUUAUUUUACAGUAAUCAACCUAAUAAAAAUUUCACCAUCGCAAUCCCCGACAACGACUUCAACAACUUUAUUGCCUAUAAAUGUGUUAUCGUUUAUAGUAAAAAUAGCACACCAAUAUAUAUAAUUAGAAUGGCGGUGUUCGCAAACGUAUGAGUCAAAUUAUAAUAAAGUAUUGUGUUACAACGGCACACUGGUAAGUAUUCUGAGGAUCGUAUCCAAGGGAUUGCAGAUUGGAGAAACUAAUAUUAAAUUAAUUAUAGAAAAUAAUUACUAAUCUAAUCGAGUCACGAAUUAGAAGUGUGAACCCAAAUUAAUAUUUUAAUUAAACUAAUUAAAUUAACUAACCUAAAUUAACCUCAUGGAUUUUCUUAUCCCUAGUGUCGACAAUGCGAGCCCCUAGUUUAUGAUCAAUUAAAUCUCUAAGUAUCUAAUUAAAUAAUUAAUUAUCCUAGAUUGAGUUAUUUAUCACAUUUAGCUAAGAAUACCCUCCCUAUUCAUUUUCACACCACCUAAGUCAUCCUUCCAGUCUCUUCCUAAGUAUACAAAUACCCUUCCGGUCUCACCGCUCGACACAAGUUAUUCACGAUAGGAUACCUCUCAGUCUCACCUAUCUCGAUAUUCAAUUAGGGCUCUCACUCCCUAAUAUACUAAGUGCUAUUAAAGAAAUAACCAAUUUUGUAUAAAGAAUUACUUAAUAAAUAAAUUAAGUUAUUAAUCGAGUCAUACGAGAUAUGAAAUAAGCACAAUAAUCUAUUCUAAUAUUUAUACAAUAAUUAAUCAAAAGAUAAAUAAAAGAAUAGACAAAUAAAAUAUAGGAGAAGGUCAUGAAUAUAUAUUGAAGCGUGAUCCCAAAGCAAUCUCUACUUGCAAUUGUCUUCACAUCGGAAUAGAAAAGUUUCGACUACAUGAACAUGAAUAUGAAAAGAAAAGAAAAGAAAACUAAAAACUGAAUAGAAAAGUUGUCUGUUUACGUUUGCCCCAAUUCCGGUGACCCUAGGGUUGCUCAUAUAAGGAACCAGCUACUUGGUGGUCAUUCAACCCAAGAUACACUUAGAUACUAAUAAAUACAAUAUUUUGCUAAAAGUUAGGGUCCAAAUAUGGAAAUUUCCCAAAAGUGUCGUCCAAGGAAUCAACCAUAUUUUGGCCUACCAUCGUUGCAUCGCCAGGAUGUGGGAGAGCUCCUCGUCACGAUGUCGCCACCAUGAAUUGCCUCCCAUAAUCAUCACCUCGUCGUGACAAAAGGAAGCUCCUCGUCAGGAUGUCAAGUGCAUGCUGAGUCUUUGGUAGCUUAGUUGGCUUAUCAGGCUUCUUGUCUCACUGCCCAAUCAUCAUUCCUUGUAUUCUUGGAUAUCAAUUGACAUUCUACACACUUAAAUAGCUCAUUAAUCACUCAUAAGGCCUGAGUUGGCCUUACAGGUCAUCGAAAUAGCAAAAAAUGUGUAUAAACGCUUAUUUUAUUAACUUUUAGUUCCUAACCUACUAAUACCGAAAAUGUAAUAUUUAAUUAUAAAAGUGCUAGAAAGCAAACUUGUUAAAUGCAGAAAUGACAUAAAAUAAAUACUACAUUUGACGUCAGGUCACACCCUCCACAAAUUUCCACCUUGACUCAUAUUUAUCAUGUCUUUUUUGCCAAUGCCCAUCAUGGGCUUAACUUGAUCUUUUUAGGAUAUUAAUCAAGUCCAAGCAGUGCUUGAACUUUGCAACCGGAAGGCUUCAAGUUUCUUGAACUGUCAAAUCAAAGUUCACUCGUGUCUGCUUCCCAUAAAUUUAGCGCUCUAUCUUUCCAACUUCUGUACUAUGUAAAGAACCUCUCUUAUUCAAAACGGUCAUACCUUUUUCACUUAUAUGACCAAGUUACCUAUGCCUCAAAUGAGUCGAUUUUGAAUCCGUAACAGACAAGGAAAUUUUACUUUACCAGUCACUGUUGAACUUUGCAUAACAUAAAGAUUACCAGUCUUUUGACCUCUCAUGUAACACCCUAAUUUUUAGGGUUAGAAGAUUUGAGCUUUGUGAUAGGGUUAGUGGCUAGAUGGUACAUUUGAGAUUCAUUUCACGUUUUGAUAUCAGAACGGGCUUGCUGGUCUCGUGGUUGGUAGAGUGUUAGUGUACUUUUAGGUUUUGUGUUCGAACCCUCAUAGGUGUGUUUGGGGAAUUACUUUUAGUAAGUUUUUAUUUUUUUCAAAAGUUAGUUAUUUAUUUUUAUUUUUUUAUUUUAUUUUAAUUUUAAUUUUAGAAAACUAAAAACAUUUCACGUUUGUUUUUCCCAAAAAAUCUCUCUGCACGUUUUUUUCUUUCUUCUCUCCCUCUCUUCUCACGUUAAUUUUUAUCCUUGAGUUUUCUUACUCCGUUGUUUUGUUCUUGCACCAUAUUCAUCUUCAAUCAUUGUGGUUCAUCAAUGGAGUUUGGGUGCUUAUGUUACAAAUCAGGUGUGGGUUCGAAACUCUUUUUUUUCAUUUUUUAAAUUCUGUGUUGAUUCUGGGAAAUUUGACUAAAUGUGUGUGUUUGGAAACUCUAUGAAUUUGAUGUUGAAUUACUGAUUUGAUUCUGUGAAAUUUGACAAAUUCAGUGUGUUCCAAAAUUGGUAAAAACAAGAAUUGAAUAGUAUGUUUUCGAUAUAAUUUGGUAUCUUACUGAGUUACCAAGGGUUUGGGAAUUAUUUCGGCAACAAAUACACGUUCUGCAGCUUGUUCCGAUGUGGUUUCGUGACUACACGGGUGGCCACACGGGCGAUUCACUCAGCUGUGUACAGUUGGGAAUUAGGGUUUUUGGGCAAAUUUUGUUGCCACACGACCAUGUGGUUGAAUUUGAGGAUUUUAGUCGACUUCCACAUAGUCGUGUCCCGUGGGCACAAGGGCGAGUGCAUUUGGGGAUUUUGGGAUUUGUUCUUAUCUUACACAAGUAUGUAUUUUGGACACACAACCGUUUUUAGUGGGCACACGAGUGUGUAAGACCCUCACACGACCAUUUUUGCCUUAUACCUUAAUUUUAGCCAUUUUGGACAAAGAGUUACACGGUCGGAUCACACGACCAUGUCCCUAGGUCACGAGGGAAUGUGGCUUAGUCACACUGCUGUGUACCUCCUUUCACAUGGGUGUGCGCCCCUCCACGUGGGUGUGUUGACCCCUACACGGCCUAGGCUUAUCUACAUGACCGUAACACACAAUCGUGUGGCCCUAUCUCGUAUAUUUUUGUACUAUAUUUAUUUUUAUCUGAUAAUGUUUCUGUGUGUCCCGACCCUUAUCUAAGUCUUAUUAAGGGUCCUCAGGACUUCGUUUCAUCCUAGAUUUGUGUGUAAUUCAAAAUCAUAGCUGAAAUUGAUCGAUUUGUUGUGAGCUAAUGGAUGUUAGGCAAUAAAAGAUUCUGUAUCUUAUCAAUUGAGUAUGUGUUUUUCUGAUUCUGUCUAACUGUCUGCGAUGUGUUCAUCAUUUCUGUGAGAUUGUUCGCAUACAUGCAUUUGUAUAAAUGUUUGGGUUGGUAUAUGAAGAGAAGGAACUCUGAUUUGAUUUGGUAGUUUUAACUGCAACACGUCUGUAUAGUGGUUUACCGCAUAGUACAAUACUUCUGGCAGCUCAACUCAAUACUAUUAUUUACGUGGCUUAGUUCUACAUACGUGGUGUGUAGGGUUGGAUGGGUCUUUUGAGGUCCUAUGUGGUGUGCAUGGUUGGUUGAGCUUCUUAUUACUCAUUCGUGGUGUGAAUAGGGGACGAAGAGGUGUUUGGCUGCAUGAGUGGGAUUGUUCUUCUGUAUGUGCAUACAUAUCAUAUUUCAUAUGUCUGUAGGAUUGCGUGAUUAAUUGCAUAAAGGUUGUGUGCUCGAUGUAUUUUGUACCUAUGUGUAAUGAAUGAUAACUUUGUAAUAUGUCCUUUUUAGCUGGUUGUUGAAAUGGGUUGUUUCUUACACCGAUCAAAUUCUUGUAUAGUUGAGUAUCUACUUUGAAAUGCUGCCCUUGAUUUUGUUUCUGCUAUUGAACUAUUAUUUGGAAUUCUGUUUUGUAACUCUGUCAUUUGUUGCGUUACGAACUCACACUGAGCUAGGGUAGCUCACCCCUCUUAGUUUUCCUUUUUCAGGUAUUUUCGUCUUCUGUAGCUGGACUAGGCACCCCGGAGGUCUCGGACAGCCUCGUUUUAGAACAGGCUAUAAAAGUAUUUUCAUAAAUUCUUAGUUUAUAAAUAAACAGUUUUGAAUUGUGAUUACUAUUUAGAAUACUAUGGUAUGAAUUUUUAUAAUAUCGGGAUUUUAUAAUUGGGAGUUUUUAUGUAACUUAAAUACAAACAUAUUUUCCAAUUUGUUAAACUAAAAAUAAUUUCAGUUCACUUUGGUGAUCAAUGUGACCUCUGAGAUUCGUUCUAAACUUCUAGGCCAGGUUCUAGGGCAUUACAUUUAGUGAUAUCAGAGCCAGGUUUAAAAAAACUUGGCCUCUGUUUUUACAUAUCCGUGUGCGCGCGAGAUUGUUUUAAAAAAACAACCGUACCACAGUGUUUUCAAAUGGUUUGUGUUUUGGAAUAAGUUUUUGUAAGAAUACUGUGGUAUGAAUUUUUGUAAUAUCAGGAUUUUAUAAUUGGGAGUUUUUACGUAACUUAAAUACAGACUUGUUUUCCAGUUUGUUAAACUAAAAAUAAUUUCAGUUCACUUUGGUGAUCAAUGUGACCUCUAGGAUUCGGUUUAAACUUCUAGGCCAGGUUCUGGGAAAUUGUAAGAUGUUUGAGACUCUGAUGCCGGUCUGUGCGAAACUUGGGAAAUUGUAAGAUUACUUCUGUAAACUUAGAACUUCAAUAUUUAGACAUUUAUGCUUGCGUUUGAUUUUGGAAAUUUUAGAUUCUUUGAGCUUAGAUACAAGAUCAAUAUGGAUUCUGAAGGUAAGCGAGAUUGCGGGGAUCAAUUCGGUGAGACUUUCGAGGAGUUGUCUACUUCAUCAAGAUGUGUGCUUGUUCAAGAGUCAAAAGUCAAUGCAAUUUUUCCAACUUCGGGUAGCGAUAACCUGGAGCUCAGUACUGAGGCAUUGACUCGGGUAGUGAGAGAAGUGCUAGAACAAGUGCUCAAUGCUAGGUUAGACAGGCAUAGAAAGCUAGUGCAAAGCAGGUGUGUAGAUUGUGGGAAGAAGAGAGAUCGCAGUAUUUCGAGGUUGGAGACUCAGUCUGUGAAGCAUAAGAGAACACAUUUGAGUAACAAUAAAGGUAUUGCAGAGUGUGCUGGUAGUGGUUUGAGCGUUCCAUUUUGUGAGCACUGUAAGAAGCACCAUCCGGACAAUUUUUGGAAAAAAGUAAGAGUGUGUCUUUAAUGCGGGUCCACAAAACAUUGGAUCCAGGAAUGUCCUCGACGACAUUGAAACAGGUAUGGGUGUAAGUUAUUUGUCAUUGUAUGUUGUUGCUGAAAAUGAUUCGUUCGACUGUUCGUUGGAUAACGUUUGUGCGGGUGUGAUGAAUAAAUAUGUAUCUGUUUCAUUGGUUAAGUGUUCUGAUUGUGUGUUUGAGGUCUUAAGUUUGGAAUGGUACUGCUCGAGUUAGAGUGCACAACGGAAGCGUAGUGGUAACACCCCGAUUUUUGGGGUCAGAAGAUUUCUUUAAGGAGGGGUGAGUUGUAACACCCUGAUUUUUGGGGUCUGAAGAUUUGAGCUUUGUGAUAAGGUCAAUGGCUAGAUGGUACAUUUGAGUUUCAUUUCGCGUUUUGAUGUUAGAAUGGGCAUGUUGGUUUGGUGGUUGGUGGAGUGUUAGUGUACCUUUAGGUUCUAUGUUCGAACCCUUAUAGGUGUGUUUGGGGAAUUACUUUCAGUGAGGUUUUAUUUUGUUUUUCAAAAGUCAGUUAUUUAUUUUUAAUUGUUAUUUUAUUUUAAUUUUAGAAAACUAAAAACUUUUUAUGUUUGUUUUUUUUCCAAAAAAAUCUCUCUGCACAUUUUUUUCUUUCUUCUCUUCCUCUUUUAACACGUUAGUUUUUUUCCUUGAGUUUUCCUGCUCCGUCGUUUUGUUCCUACACCAUAUUCAUCUUCAAUCGUUGUGGUUCAUCGUUGGAUUUUGGGUGCUUAUCUCGCAAAUCAGGGGUGGGUUCAGAACUCUUCUUUUUCAUUUUUGAAUUUCUGUGUUGAUUCUAGGAAAUUCGACAAAAUAUGUGUUCGAAAACUUUAUAAUUUCAAUGUUGAAUUAUCAAUUUGAUUCUGUGAAAUUUGACAAAUUCUAUGUGUUUUGAAAUUGUUAAAAAUUAGCAUUGAAUCGUAUGUUUUCGGCAUAAUUUGGUAUCUUGUUGAGUUACCAAGGGUUUGGAAAUUUUUUUGGCAACAAAUGCAUGUUUUGCAGCCUAUUCCAUGUGGUUUCAUGACCAAACGGGUUGCCACAUAGGCGUGUACUGUACACGACCGGUUCACAGGGCCGUGUGCAAUUUGGAAUUAGGGUUUUUGGGCAACUUUUGGUGCCACACGGCCAUGUGGCUGAAUUUAGGGGUUUUAGUCAACUUCCAUACGGCUGUGUCCCAGAAGCACACGGGCGUGUGUAUUUAAGGAUUUAGGGAUUUUUUCUUAUCUCACACGGGCGUGUGUUCUGGACACACAGUCGGGUCUGGUGGGCAAACGGGCGUGUGAGACCCUCACAUGGUCGUGUUUGCCCUAUACCUUGAUUUUAGUCAUUAUGGACAGAGAUUUGCACGGCCAGAUCGCAUGGCCAUGUCCUUAGGUCACACGGUCGUGUGCCUCCUUUCACAGGGGCGUGUCCCCCUCCACAUAGGCAUGUUGACCCCCACACGGUCGUAGCACACAGUCGUGUCACCCUAUCUCGCAAAUUUUUGUACUGUAUUUGUUUUUAAUCUGAUAAUGUUUCUGUGCGUCUUGACCCUUAGCUAAGUCUUAGUAUGGGUGCUCGGGACUCUAUUUUUGCCUAGAUUUCUGCGUAAUUUGUAAUCAUAGCUUAAAUUGAUCGAUUUGUUGUGAGCUAAUGGAUGCUAUGCAAUAAAAGAUUUUGUAUCUUAUCAAUUGAGUAUGUGCAUUUUGAUUUCGUAUGACUGUCUGAGAUGUGUUCAUCAUUUCUAUGAGAUUGUUCGCAUACAUGCAUUUCCAUAAAUGUUUGGGUUGGGAUAUGAAGAGAAGGAAGUCUAAUCUGAUUUGGUAGUUUUAACUGCAACACGUCUAUAUAGUGGUUUACCGCACAGUACGAUACUUCUGGCAGCUCAACUACAUAUUGUUAUUUACUUAGCUUAGUUCCACAUGCGUGGUUGUAGGGUUGGAUGGUUUUUUCGAGGUCCUAUGUGGUGUGCAUGGUUGGUUGAGCUUCUUAUAGCUCAUUCGUGGUGUGAAUGGGGGACGGAGAGGUGUUUGGCUAGAUGGGUGGGAUUGUUCUUUUGUAUGUGCAUACAUAUCACAUUUGAUCUAUUAGUAGGAUUGCGUGAUUACUUGCGUAAAGGUUGUGUUCUCGAUGUAUUUUGUACCUGUGUGUAAUGAAUGAUAACUUUGUAAUGCGUCCUGCCUUUUAAUUGGUUGUUAAAAUAGGCUGUUUCGUACGCCGAUUGAGUUUUUGUAUAGUUAAGUAUCUACUUUGAAACGCUGCUGUUGAUUUCGUUUCCGCUAUUGAAUUGUUAUUUGGAAUUCUAUUUUGUAACUCUGUCAUUUGUUACGUUUUGAAUUCACACUGAGCUAGGGUAGCUCACUCCCUUAGUUUUCCCGUUUUAGGUUUUUCCGUCUUUUGUAGCUGGACUCAACAAACCGGAGGUCUCUGAUAGCCACGUUUUAGAACAGGCUAUAAAAGUAUUUUCAUAAAUUCUAAGUUUAUAAAUAAACAGUUUUGAAUUGUGAGUACUAUUUAGAAUACUAUGGUACAAAUUUUUGUAAUAUCAGGAUUUUAUAACUGGGAGUUUUUACGUAACUUAAAUACAGUUUUGUUUUCCAUUUUGUUAAACUAAAAAUAAUUUCAGUUCACUUUGGUGAUCAACGUGACCUUCGAGAUUUAGUCUAAACUUACAUCUCAUCAGAACGAGAGCGUCAUGAGAUACCUUAAUGUUGAUUGACUCGAUGGUGAUACUACAACCUAUCAAGUCUAAUUUUCUUAAGGAGAUGAGGUUCUUUUUCAAGUCAGGCACAUGCCUGACAUCUGAUAGUGACAAUGAUUUCGUCGUGCAUCAUAAUCUAAAUAGUGCCAGUAUUGAUUAUCUUACAUGGUGAAUUAUUCCACCAUAAGCACAACUCCACCUUGAACUAGACUAUAUAUGGAGAACAAGUAAUUGUUUGGACAUAUAUAGAAAGAACACCUUAAAUCCAGAAUCCACUCGUGCAGCACCCUAUACCUGGCCUGGCCGCCAAGCCCAAAUAUGGGAUGCCACACCACCGUCUUAUGUCAUAUACAAUUAGUAAAAGUUCAACCUACAGGAAGCAUCAUCCAUCUUAGUAUUCGUAUAGGUUUUAAGUCAAUUAUACUUGUUAGUUAUCAAUGUUACAUGCUAACCAUACAUCAAAUAGUCUUAUAAUAAUAAUUAAACAUGCAUAAGGUCCAUUUAACAAAAUCUAAAAACUGUCACAUAGGUAUCAAUACUGACGCUAGGGUAUUGAUAUUUCCUUUAAGUGGUAUCAAUAUCAACUAGAAAAAUAAUACCAAACUUGCAUUAUGUUUCUCGAUUAAAAACCAAAGUCUCAAAAAUUAUCCGUACCUGUCAUAAAGUAUCGAUAAACUUACCCCGAGUAUUGAUACUCGAGAAAAGGUAUUGAUACCAUAUCUUUAUUCUGACUUCCUACACAUUUCAAAACACAAAGGUAUUGAUUUUAAAACUCGAUUAUUGAUACCCCUGUUCCAGACCUCAAAAAUGCAGCAUACAUAUGCAAUUAAUCCAUUCUAAUUUAGUUCCUAAAUGUCAUAUAUCAAUUACUUUGACAAAUAAUCAUUCAACAACCUAAUUAACAGUUCAAUAUCGCAAAACUGUGUUCGUGCAAGUAACAUCAAUCCAUUAUCAUUUUCAUGAACUCAAGCAUAAUAAUAACAUGUAAUCCUGAAAAACCGAACCAAAGACCAGCAAAAUGUCUAAAAGUUAACAUGGCUAUAAACAAGUCUACCACAUUGCCUUUUUUCCCCAAAACGUAAAUAAAUAUAGAACACCUACGAAAUAAUGCAAAAGUCUUGCUUAGAUCACAUCCCGGAACCACACCGCUCACACUGGCACACAACUAAUCUGCAAUGGUUAGAGAAGGGAGUGGGUGAGCUUAACAAGCUCAAUGAAUGCCUAAAACAACUACCACGCAAAUAGUUCAUCAAGCAUUAACGAAACAACCAUAUAGCAUAACCUUAAUAGUUCCAACUUUAGUGUUAUAAUAUACUUACUUGUGCAUUAUUAUUAGUUCUUUUACAUGGUAAAAAUAUUCAUUUCUAAGCAUAUAUCUUAUUACACAUAUAAUCACCUGUCAUUCAAGCAUAUAUCACAAUAUUUAAAAGCAGGUUUAUAGAUAAAUUACAUAAUGGUCACAUACUCAUUUAGGCAUACAUCAUGUUACACAUAUGUACAUUUUAAGAUAAUUUGACACUUGAGUUAUGAAACAUAAAAGUGAGUUCUAUCAUCACUCAUUGGAUACGCGGAUCUCCAACACACCAAACAUAGACUCAUAAAGUCAAACCUGUCCCUAAAGUGAAGCAUAAAGCUAAUUCUCUUUUAUUUCCCCUUUUAUGUCCCGUUGAAUGGACGUUAGCUCACAUUCCUUUAUCCCUCCAACAUGUCUCAAGGCCUCAACACCCAAAAUCACUAUACAUAUAGGUGAGUCCUCACAAUCCUAUGGCAUGCCAACUAUAUCUAACGGUUUCAAGAUCACAAGGCCAAAAUAUCCAAAGUCAACCACAUAUCACUUACCGAUUAUUCAUGUAUAAUCACUGCAGAUUUGCAUCUUUAGCAACACAUUAUCACUAACAUUUAACAUAUACAUGUUAUACUCUCACAACAUUUAUCAUAACCACAUAUCACAUUUUAUAGCAUCUUAUCUCAAUUCACAAGAUAACGUAGGUAUGAGAAAGCUUACACUCAAAAUUUCGAGUAGGGAUUUAGGCUACUACUAAAUUCCCAAAUAAUGAAUCAUGUCCACGAGUAAUUAUUCCAAACACUCACCAAUUACGCUUUUGCCGAAAAGACAAAAUCUUAAAACUAGCUUUUCCUUACCUUUAUCUCUACUCAUAGAACUUCAACACAACAAAUUCACACAACAAUACAUCAAAAACUUAGUCAAUGACUUGUUACAAGCAUACAAAACAUAAGCCUAAACUAAGUUCUCAUGUAAUCGAAACCUUUAACAUAACCAACUUAAAACUAAAAUAUCUCAGUCUAUACUCAAUCAUUUCGCCUAAAACCAAUUUCGUUUAUCUUAUAAUUCGCCUACGACUAAUUGUCAACCUUUAUAAUACAAUAAAAUACUAAUUUCAUUGUAUCAACUUUUUCGACAUGUUUUAUGCCUAUUUUCUAAAAAUUUAUUAAAACUUAAGAAUUCUUUAACAAAACUUCAAAGUAAGUUUACAAACCUUCUAAUAAAUUUAAAAAAAGUUGAAAACACUUUGAAACUAAGUUUUUAUGCAAAAUCCCAAAAUUCACCAUUAAAGACCUGAUUUUUGGCUUUUAUUUAAAACAUGCAAUUUAAUGGCUAAAAACUUGGUUUUAAAGACUAUAUAACAUUUAAACCUAAUUAGAAGUUGAACCAUUACCUUAGAUAAAGAAAAUCUAUGCAUUUCAUCAAAGACCCAAAAAACUCGAAAGCUUAACGAUGGAGGAACUAUGGUAUUUUUGGGUGUUUUUCUUGGUUUUUUAUAGAGAUUUAAGGUUUAAUGGUGAUAGAAAUAAAAAAGGAUUAGAAAUUGGAGUUCAAAAUUGAUUGAAGUAGCAAGGGAGAAUUAAGGGACGACGAACACAAAUUUUGGGGAAAGUUGACGUGAAAAAUUGUAGGUGGGAAGGAAUAAAUAGGUCGGUUUUUAAAUUUUGGUCUAUUUGCUUUUUAAAAACUCACAAAUUUGAAUCUUUUACAAAUCAGUUCUACUUUCAAAAUUAAAGGUAUUUUAAACUCAUUUUCAAAAAUUGAUUUAAUUUUCUAAAAACCAUAGUAAAAAACAUUACUGAUAAACCAUGUCGCAAAAUUUCGAACACUCCAAGGAUAAAAUUUCUAAAAUACCCUUAAAACUCCUAGACCCUAUUUUGGGGUGUUACAACUCGAAUGUAAGUUUAGACCUUCCAAUCGUAGACACCGACAACCAAUUAUCACCUUUUUACCUCAGCCACACUAGUAUUAACUACCUCAGCCUUCCAUUCCUCGUCGCUCUUAGAAGCCCUUCUGUUUCUAUUUUUCAAACUAUAACAUUAUGCCUUUAUGUGACUCAAUUUCUUGUAGUAGUUAGAUGGCUUGUCAUGAUUCCUCGACUUCGAUCUUGACCUAGAAUUAUUCUGAUCUGCAUCCUUAGACUAUUGCUUGCCUCUAGUGACCAAAAUUGACCACAACUUGGACAUUCACUACAUCUCGCACAUGGGCACAACUCGCAUGUUAGCAUAGAUCGCAUAUUGACUACAACAAACAUAUGGGCGCAUCACGCACAUUAGUGUAGCUCGCACAUGGUUACGGUUCAUUUAUAAGCUUAGCUUGCAUAUUGUCAUAGCUCGGGCGUUGCCACAGCUUGUGCAUACAUUGCAGAUACAGUUUCCAUGCAACUUAUUGUAACAUUAGCACGCACAAUUGUUUCACAAUUUCAGUCCGCACAUACGCUACAGUGUCAGUUCACUUAUAGAACUUAAUCUAAUUAGCAUGCACAUACCUUAUAUAGGCAGUUCGCAUAAGGAACGUAAUGUAAUUAGCACAUACAUACUUGGUUUAGACAGUUCACACACGGGCCCUUAAUAUAAUCAGCACGCAUAUACUUGUUUUAGACAAUUCACACAUGGACUCUUCCUUGUGCUAGCUUAUGAUCCUUUCAUCUCUCCGAAGAGCCCAUAUUUCAUUUAUACCAACGUACCUUCGCAAAUCCUCCUUGUUAAUUUGAAUGCAUUCAUGUUCCCCUGUAAGGUCGGGGUCUUUUGCCAAUCUCAGUUUGCAUUUACAUGCCUUACUAGAGGAAAAACACAUAUCAGUUCAUAUCAUUAAUCUCCAUUCGAUUCUCCCAUCACAAUCACACUUCAACAGUCACCUCCGUUUCCCUUAUUUCCUCCAUUUUGGAUAUUGAGCUUGUGCACCAAGGAAGGAGUAUCCAUUUUGAUCUUUUACACACAAACAAUUUCCAUAUUUAUAGCUCUCCCACUCAAGAAAGCACAUCCAAUGAUUAAUUUACGUAGGUUGGUACAUUUCUAUUCAUCGAUUCUAACUAGUUUAUGGAAAUAAGCUUUACAUAGAUUUAAGCAACACGAAAUUAGUAAACCAAAAGACAUAGCAAAACUUUACCUAGUCAGACGAAAACUUUAAGUAAUUCAUUAAUUAACAAGUAUAAGUUAAGGGAACUCACAAAAGUUUCCAGAAAUGUUUCUGUUUAUUUUACAGGUUCCUUUGUCACAUCCAAACUAGAAGAUAAAGAUAAAAUUUAGAUUUUAAUGCAUAAUAAGAAUAGGGAAAGCGAACCUAUAGUGCCUUAAAUUUAUUGUUGAUAAGGAAUUAAAAAGAAUAGACCACUAGGCUUAAUUGUUAAGUGUUAAGCAAGUUAAAGUCCUAGGUUCGAACUCCCUUAAUUGCACCCAUUUGCUGAUUUUUUUUUCCAGUUUCCCCUAAUGUUUGACCAAAACCCUUAAAAAUAGUUUUUUAAAGGCUAAUGUCUAGAAUGAGUUUGUUGGUUCAAUAGUUAAGACUUAGCAUCCCCUUCGAUCCCAGGUUCAAAACCUUUUGUGCGCUUUUAGCUAAAAUAUUUUAUUUUCUUAUUUUACCCCCAUAAAGUACCAAAUUUUCAAACCAAGCCCAAAUCGAAAACUAUAUUUUUUUAUUUUAGACUUUAAUUUAAAUCAAUCUUAAUUCUAAACUAAUUACUAAUUCUAUUUUAAUUAGGGAAGAAUUUUUAUAAAUAGCCAAUUUUUUCAAAACCUAGAAUUCUUAUUUAUAAUUUUUUUCAAGAAAAGCUCUCAAAAUUCUCUCUUCUUAUUCAUUACUGAAACCCUCAUUGCAAUUAGGGUUCUUAAAAGUUCAAUAUUGGCCUAUUUUCUCCUCCAUUGUCAAACCACAUUACUUAACCAAAGAUUUCAAGAUUUUCUAUUGCAUCCGUCUCCUCCUAGUGGUUGCAAACCCUAUAUACGAACAUGUUAUGUACAUGCUAGCUGAAUUAGCAUGUUAACAACCUAAUGUUAAUACAUCGAUACAAGUUUUUAGUUUGCAUGAAGAAAUUGUAUAUGUGAAAUUGAUAUGAAUGAAUGCAUGAAUACAUGACAUUAUAUGAUAAUAUGAAAUAAUAAAUGUGCUUGACAAGAAUAGUAUCAAUUGUUGAUAAAUAGCAUGAUAUGCUGAGUUUAUGUGCAUAAUUACAUGAAAUUGAGUAUGGAGGACGGAGGAGUUUCGUAGGAGAAAGUGGCAAUUGAAGUCCACACCGAAAGUUAGUACUGCAUGAAGUAGGUGACAAUAUCAUCGAAAUUGGGUAAAUCGGAAUGAUAGUUUAAAAAGGCCAUCAAAAUCGGGCAACUCGGGAUGGUAAGUUAUUGUAAUAAAAGUCAUCUUCACAGAUGACAAGUGAACGACCAUAGUCACGGGGAAAUUCAGGAUGGUCAAUUAUUGAUAUUGGUUUUAGAGUGUCGAGCGAUGCUCGAGGGCGGAUAUGAAGGAUGGGUGGGAACUUAAAAUUAAAAUUGUAGUGCAUCAUGAACAUAACCUAUACAUGCAUUGAUUUAUUGAAUAUUCCUUACAUUAUGCUUAAUCUGCUAUGAUGUUAUAAAUUGUAUGUUUUAUUAUUUGAACAAUUAUAUAUAAUGGUUUAAAAAUUAGACUUGCAUUGGGCUGCCAUAAGCUCACUUUCCCCUUUCCUUACCUCUCAGGUAAUGCAAAAAACUAGGACUAGGAAUGGCAUUAGAGGAACCUCGAACUAGCAUCUCAAUUUUUUUAUUUAACAGUUUCCAUUAAAGCUUUCUUUAAUUGUUUUAUUGGUUUAUUUAUCGGGUUGUAAAUUAUUAAUUAUUUUUUUAUUUUAUAACUAUGGUUUGGGAUUAUUUAGCUUAUUAAUUUCUAAGCAUGAUACUUGGUUAAUACCCUGAUAAUUGCAUUCUAAUUAGUUUAGAAAACUAUUAUUCUUAAUAAUGUUUUCCUCUACUUUGCUAAAAACUUAAAGUUUUGAUAAGUCUUUUUAAACCUUAACUGUUUUUCUCAAAAAUUCACAUUAAUAAUAUUGUAAUUGGAUUACUAAGUAAAGCCGGUGUGAUUAUUGAUUUUUUUAUUAAAAACAAAAUAGUUAUUUUCAUACAAUUCAACUCAAGCAUAAGAAUGACUUUAUUGGAUCACUUUGGUGAUCAAUGUAACGCUGUUGACUUAGCCAAAACUCUUAGGCCAGGUCAGGGGUGUUACAUCUUUUCCCUUUCUACUAGGGCCUUCCCCCACUUCUUUAGUCAAACACAUUCAAUACCUCAGUUACCAAACAGAAACAACCACAACAACAACCAAGUCCUUAUCGAAAAUUGAGAAAUCUAACAACUAUUGCAACAUGCAACAAUUGCAAAGGAGAAUACUCCCUUCACCCAUACUUUCAAUUUAGUCCUAUAUAAACAAUUUCUAAAAUUUUACUGAAAUUAUGGUUAAAGAAAGACUCAAGAAAGUUACUAGCAACUACUUGAAAAAGAACAACUUCUAAGCAAGUUAAAAUCAUGAUUUCCUUCCACAAACAGCUAGAGUUAUAAUCUUCAAUUUCUCAACGAAGGUACACAGGAAAGGAAAAUGGAAUUGAAGUCUUCUCCCCUUUUUCCUCUCCCCUCGACCUCCUACUCUACUCUUAGAAUAAUUUAAGAUUAAAAAUAAUUUAAUCAGUCAAUGCCCUUAGCCAACCACUAAUAGCAACACAUGCACACACAAUUCCACUACCCACUAACUAUUCCCAAGGCCAACAAGUCUCAUGCACGAUGACACAUUUCCCUUCCCAAGGCUUAAUACAUGCCCAAACACGUGUCAUACACACCACGAGGAGUUAAGGUAACAACGAGCUCGCAAAAUAACAAGCUCUUUGUCUAAAGAGCUCGGGGAGCAGUGAAUAACUAACGAGCUCACAAACUAGUGAGCUCACAAGGCAGCAAAGACAACUCGCCACAUACGAGGUGGAGGCUUGCGAGAUGGUAAGACAAUAGCGAAGCAACUCAUGAAGGGAUGUUCAAAGAUAAAACCAGUCUAAUUCUCACGAAUUAGACGAGCUCACACAGGUUCCUUACCGUUCCCACUUGAUUAACAUUCCAAAAUACAGUUCUAAAAAUUUGGGGUGUGACAGGUGAAAAGUUGGUUGACUUGCGAACUGAUACGGACUACUUGACCCAGUAAAAAAAUCAGUUGAACAUAUUUUGCACUGGUUUGGCCAAUUGGUUCCUAGAACAAUUGGUUUGAUUGGUUCAAAGCAAAUAAAUUAUGAAAAAUAAAAAAAAUAUUAAAAUAUAUAAAAAUCGGUUCAAUUUGCAGUUCAACUGAUUUUAGCCUACUUCAACCAGUCCAUGCCAGUUCGCAGGUCAACUGGCUUUUAAAAUUUUUAAACAUUUUUAGCCUUCAAGAUUUACAUUUUUUUGUCAAUUUUAUCCAUACCCUUUAAAAGUACAUAAAUUUUUAAAAAUGAUUAAUUUUUUAUUUUAAAAAAAGCAUAAAAAUUGAAAAAAAGUAUAGAUUUUUUUAAAUAUAAAAAUAUUGUAACGCCCUAAAUAAUUUAUUUAUGUUUUUGUAAAUCCUAACAUAAAUGAGUAUUUGCUUCAGUGGCUAAGUGCUCUGGAUGUGUGUUUGAGGUCUUGGGUUUAAGUCCUACUUUUUGGAAAAAUUUUGUUAUUUUUUUUAUUCUAGCCUUAUCUCUACUGGAUAGGCUUAUGUAAUAUUGUCUGUAAACUCAUAUAAGAAUGAGCCUGCUGAUUUGAGUGGUAAGGAGUUAGUGUGUUGGAGGUCUUGUGGCUGAAUCCCUGCCCGAGCUUGAGUGUUAAUUUUUGUUCCGGUUGUCUAUUAGUGGUUCGGUGGAGUUGGGAGUCUAAAGUAGUUGGAUGUGGUUAGUGGGGAGGAUAUUAUGGGAUGUGGUUGUUAGUGGGGAAUUGAGAUGUUAAUCAAAAAUCAAUUUAUUAUCUUUUUAUUUUAUUUUUUAAAAUUUUUUUCUCUCUCUUCCCAAAAGUCUGACGUUAGCUUUCUUUUUCUCUACCACAUUCUUUUUUCUCUUAUUUUUCCUACAAUUCUAUCUUUGAUCUGCUGUCGUAUCAGUGUAUUUCAGAAUUUUGGUGUUUUACUUGCAGUUGGGUAAGUAGGGAUUUCACUUGUCUGUAACGAUUCUUGUAAGUUGUUAGGUUUAUUCAUUUCGUUUGAAUUUCUAAAUGGUGUGAAGUAAGGGAGUUUGAUUUUCUGCGAUGUAUUGCGUAGGAGUUGUUGGUGAACCUACGAAUUUCGCUCCUAUAGCAUAAAUCACAGUAGGGGUUGUUCUUAUCGGUGGUAAGUGUGUUUGCGCAAUUCAGUUUUACGAUGUUAAAUUCGUAUUUGAUUGCUAAAAUGGUGUUGGGUAUUCUAUUUUUAAGUGCUAGUGGUCUCGGAAGUGGUUUCGCAUCAAAACUGAACUAGGUGUGUAUCUCUAACACGAGAAAACGAGAUUCAGAGAAAGCAAAAAAUGGGGUUUAUUGACACCACACGGGCGUGUGCCCAAUUGUGUACGAGACACGACCGUGUGACUGGCGAAGGUGUGGCCAUGCUCAUGACACGGCCAUGUGACGGUGUGAGUAUGGUCGUGUGGGCCACAUGGCCUAGGCCAGGUUAGGCGUGUGGGUCACACGGGCAUGCCUCUCGGGCGUGUGGGUUUUAGGCCAUGUCGUGUAGGCCACACGGGCAAGGCCAAUCUGGGCAUGUGGGCCCAAAAUUUUAAAAUAUUCCCUAGGGUCGCACGGGUCGUUCUGAUAGACUGCGGACCUACCGUAGGGUCGAUAAUGGCUAACCAAACCAUAAUUCAUGUGAUCUGAGUAGGACACCGAUACGUAUGUCUAACUGUUCUAUUUGAGUAUAUAUAUGUUAUCUAUAUACAAGCAUGUUAAGCAUGUUAACUCUGUUAAUUUUGUAUUCUGUAUUUGUGUUUGGGGUGGUAUUUGCAUAUGUGGAGGAAGUGAUCUAUACGGCGACCUUUCGCCUAUAUUGAUGUAGCUUGACUGCAUAUUAUUCUAUCAUGUGUUGUAUCGACACUAUAUGGUGUGUUGGGAUGGGUGAGUGUUUUUAACCCCACAUGGUGUGAUAGGAUGGUCGGAGAUGGUGUGUAGAGGAUGGGGGUAGGAUUCUGUAUAUCUGUUCUGCUUAACUAAUUUUGAUAUUUGUAUCUGUUAUGGACUUCGGUCCGAAUUUGCAACUGACGGUAUAUGAAAUUCUAUAUAUGUUGCAUGACUAUUUCUAUUGGGUUACACACUAAGUUUAUGAAAACUCACAUCUAUUUGUCUGUUCUGUUCAGGUAAUCCACAGACUUAGGCGGGUCGGUGGGUCGGAGGUUCAGCGGUGACCACUUUAUCGAGAUUUUUUUAUUUUAUAAUAAUGGUUUUAUUUUAAAAUCUGGCUUUCGUGAGAGUUCUUUAAUUUUUGGACUCUCCGGACUUUUUGGAUUGUUUGGUUUGAAUUCUUGGGUUUGAUUGCAUUAUGAUUUCUAAACUGCGAAGAUUCAACAAAAUACUGAUUUUACGUGAACAAAUGUUAUUUUUGGAAACAAGAACAUGGUUUGUUUUAAACGAUUUUCAAACUUUUGCUGUGAAAUAAUUGGUUAUAAAGGACAACAUAUAACGGUUUCAGUAAUAUAUAAAUGAAUAUAUUUUAUAAUACUUGAACGUUUUAUCAAAUAACUAAACAUGGUUUUAUCGAAGUAUAGGUGGUUUCAAAACCCUUCUUCGUAGCACUCCCAGAUUCGGCCAUAGCUCUAGGUCGUGUUCGGGGUGUUAUAAAAAUAUUUAAAAUAUAAAAAUAUUUAAAAAAUAAAAACUCUUGAAAUUUCAAAAAUCAAAAGAUCUUAAAAAUAAAAAAAAUUCCAAAAUUUAAUGUUAUAUAAAUCAGACUGGACCGAUUGGAUCAAGAAUCAAUUGGGGUAUAUUGGUACAAACAGGUUUUUAUAAUUUAUAAUUUAUUGUUUCUAAUAAUCUAUUUACUUUGAACCUGUCGGACAAAUCGUUUUGGGAACCAAUUGGUUAAACUAGUUUGAAUUCAGUUCAAUUGCUAGUUCAACCAAUUUUUAGCUUGGUUCAACCAGUCCAUACCGGUUUCUGGGUCAACUUUUUUUUUUUGCGUCUGGUCGGACCAAUACCCCAACCGAUUCCUGGUCCUAUUGGCUAGUUUGGUCUAGUUUAGAUAAUAUUGAAUUUUUGAAUUUUUUAUAUAUUUUUUUAUUUUAAAGUGUUUUUUUUUCUAUAUUGUUUAUUUUUAGAUUAUGAUUUUUUAUUUAAUAUAUGAAAAAUAUUUAAUUUUUAAAUUGUUUAUAUACUUUUAAAGGCUAAGAUCAAAUUGAAAAUAAUUAUAAACAUUGAAGAUUAAUAGUAAUAUUUAACCUUUGACACCAUUAAUUCUUUAAAAAAAAGAAUAAAUAUUUUUAAAUAAAAAAGUAAAAUUAAAUGGAUAAAAUAAUAUUUUAAAAUAAAAAUAUAAAAAUUGAAAGCAUAUUCUAACUAUUUUAAAUUCCAGACUUGGAUCGACCAAAACCCCAUUUCAAACUCUCAAAGUCUUUGAAGAACCGACUAAGAAAUUAACAAAAUGUAAAUUCAUAUUUAUUUACUUAUUUUUCUUAUUUUCUUGGGUGAGGGCCUGAUUGGAACGUGAACAAACAAAAAGAUUGUUAUAUAAUAAUCUUAAAAGAAUUUGUGUAGUAUUUUUAAAUUAUUCUGUUAUAUUCUGCUUUUUUACUCAAAAUGAGAGAGAAUUUAUACGGUAAUUCACCUCCUUUAUCAGUGCAAGAUGUUAAGGUGUAAGAUAUUCUAUAUUCUAGAAACAAAUUGUGCAUUUCUGUAGGUUGGGAAAAGUCAAACUAGGUAGUUAGGUUGCCGUAGACAUUUGAUCUUAAUUAUUAUCCUUAGUACAAUAAUUUGACACUAAUUAUAUUAUAUUCUAUUUUAACAACACUAUUAUUAUUAUAAUCAACUACGUUUUCUGCAGGCUACUUGCUUUCUGGAUAGUCCAAGUCUUCCCACGAAUUUGCCAUUAAUUCCAUUCUAUUCUAUUUUGUUUACUUUUCUCAUUACGAUAAUAAACUAGUUAAUUGAAGUUGCAUUCCUAUUUCACCUUAAAAUUUCAUCCAAUUAUUACUUUGGUAUUAAAAGAAUAUUUAUGAUCACAAUUCUAUAAAGUAAAUAAUAGUAAUUUAACUUGAAAGUUUGUCUAAACCUUAGAUUUACCUUAAUUUCAUUUGAAUCAAUUAGAAAAAAGAAUAGAAUGUUAAAUAAGUAAAGGGUAAAUGUAAGUCAAAAUGAAUAGCAAAUAAUUUCAACUUUCUAUUUUAAUUCUAAUUUUUUUUUAUUUUUAAUCAACUUAUAAUUCUUUAAAUUUGAAAUAAAUCAAAUAAAAAAUAGUCUAAUAACUUGUACUUAAAUUGAUCAAACUCAAAAGCAUCUAAAUUUAAAAUAAUUAAACUCAAAAUGAACUCAAAUCUCAAAUAAAAAUGAUUGAUUAAAGAGACAAUUAUGACAACUACGAAUUCAUCUGCAUGGAAAUUUAUGGCAAUGGUAACAUUAGUUUGGAAUCUAAAACGAUUGAAAAAGAAAAACAUAAACAACUUUAUACAAUUUAAUUUAAUUCUUUUAAGUCUUGACAAGUCUUGAAACAACUAAUUCCAUAUACAAUAUAAUUUCUGGAAUUUUUUUUAUAAUGAUUGUAUUUUUUUUUUAUCGUGAAAAACUAAAAUUUUUAAAAAUAAUAGAAAACCAUCCAAGUUGUUAAAAAGUACAAUAGAUAUUUAUAUAUCCAUAUUGUUCCAUGUUUUUUUCUAUAUUUUAAAUGAUUUUUCUUUUUCUUUUUGAAUUUUCACUAUUUUUUAUUUUAUGUUUUCUAAAAAGAAAAGCAUUUUUUUUAGUUCCAGGAAAGCUUUUAAUUUUUCUUUAUUUUUAAAUUUUUUGAGAUUUUCCUUUUUCCUUUUUUUUUUUUUUGCAAUUUUCUCUUCUUUUUACAUUUAUUUAAGAAAAAAAGAAAUUUGGGUGACGUAAAGUGCCACAUCAUUUCUUUUAGCAGCAGCAAGGGCUGAGGUAACUUCAGAUAUCAAAUUGAUAAAUCCUUUUUCACUACACCAGAAUAGGCUUUUAGCGGCACUUUUUGCGGCGUUUGGAACAAAAGCGCCACAAAAAAUCGAGCAUUAGCGGCAAUUUAGCGAAAGUGCCGCUAAAGGUAGAGCAUCAGCGGCGAUUUUCGGGAAGCGCCGCUAAAAAUAGGAAUUAGCGGCGUUUUAUAUAAACCGCCACAAAAAACCUAAGAACAACGACGUCGUUUUUGCAAUUUUUUAAACCUUUAGCGGCGUUUUUAUCUAAGCACCGCUAAUGCUCGGGUCUUUAGCGGCGUUUUUAUCUGAACGCCGCUAAUGCUCUGGCCUUUGGCAGCGUUUUUAUAUAAGCGCCGCUAAUGCUCGGAUCUUUAGCGGCGUUUUUAACUGAGCGCCACUAAUUCUCUUGUCUUCAGCGGCAUUUGAAGCUAAGCGCCACUAAUGUAUUUACCUUUAGCGGCGUUUUUGCCGAAGCGCCUCUAAUAGUAACAAAAAUCUUAUAAGUUGAAAUAAUUAAUAUUUUGUUCUAUUUAUUAUAUAGUGGUACAAUUUACAUUUAAAUUAUAAUUAACAAAUAAUAUUGAUUACUAUAAAAAGUUUUUAUUAAAGAGAAGUCGUAUAUAUAUAACAGCUAACUAUUUAUUACUAAUUUUCAAUUACAGUUGAUUUAAACUACUUUACGAGAGAAAAUAUAUUAAAUUAUGAAUAAAAUAAAAUAUAAUAAAACUUAAAUUGUUGUAUUGUAAAGAAUAAAUUAAAAAUAGAAUUAACUUUUCAUAAGAAUAAUAAAUUUUGGUCGUAUUGUUCGACUAAAUAAAUCAAAGGAACUAAUAUAAUACACCAAUUUAUACAAAAUAUAUAUAUAUAUAUAUUAACAAUUAAUUAUUGACUAUAUUUUAUGAUUAUAUAUAUUAAAGANNNNNNNNNNNNNNNNNNNNNNNNNNNNNNNNNNNNNNNNNNNNNNNNNNNNNNNNNNNNNNNNNNNNNNNNNNNNNNNNNNNNNNNNNNNNNNNNNNNNNNNNNNNNNNNNNNNNNNNNNNNNNNNNNNNNNNNNNNNNNNNNNNNNNNNNNNNNNNNNNNNNNNNNNNNNNNNNNNNNNNNNNNNNNNNNNNNNNNNNNNNNNNNNNNNNNNNNNNNNNNNNNNNNNNNNNNNNNNNNNNNNNNNNNNNNNNNNNNNNNNNNNNNNNNNNNNNNNNNNNNNNNNNNNNNNNNNNNNNNNNNNNNNNNNNNNNNNNNNNNNNNNNNNNNNNNNNNNNNNNNNNNNNNNNNNNNNNNNNNNNNNNNNNNNNNNNNNNNNNNNNNNNNNNNNNNNNNNNNNNNNNNNNNNNNNNNNNNNNNNNNNNNNNNNNNNNNNNNNAUAGUUAUUAAUUAUUUAAUUUGUAUAUAUAGGACCAAAAUAAUCUUGGUAUAAAUAAAUAAACAAAUAAAUAAGUAGGUAAUUAUGUAUUUGUUAAAUAAAUAGGUAAUUAAUUAUUUAAAUGUAAGACACAAAAAAAAGGGAAAUUUAGCGGCGUUUCUAUAUAAAAACGCCGCAAAAGGUAGCCUUUACCGGCGUUUUAGUAAAAAACGCCACAAACAUUGCAAUAUACGACGUCGUUAUGUGUUAGGGAAUCAGUUUCUAUUGUGGCGUUUUAUAGGUAAGUGCCGCUAAUAUUCUUGAAACUCUAUCAGAACGGCGUCGUUUCAGUUGAAUGAUGUACUCUAUUACUGGCGUUUUUGGGGAAAACGCCGCAAAUAUGUCUACAAUUUUGUGAAAACGUCACCGUUUGUUUAUGUAAUUGAAAAUUUAAUGUUUAGGGGUUAGGGGGAUUUAGGGGUUAAGGGUUAUGCUUUAGGGGUUAGGGGAUUUAGGGGUAAGGGGUUAGAGGGUUAUGGAUUUAAGGUUUAGGGUUUCAACGGUUAUGUUAGAGUUUAAGUUUAGAUUAAUUAGUUUUAUUAAUUUUUAUAUUAAAUAUGUUCUUAUAUAUUUCUAAAAUAUAUAAUAAUAAAUUUAAUAUAUUGAAACUAUGAGUAUAUAGUUUAAAUUUAUUUAUUUAUCAAUAAAAUUAAAUAUUAUAAAUUUCAAACUUUAUACAAAAAAAUAAAUAUUAUAAAGAUAAUAUUACAAAAAGUUUUUACUAUUAAUUAUUGUUUAAUCAAUUAUAACUAUUUUAUGAUUAUUAAAGUUUAGGAUUAUUUUGGAUGGCCGUGCUAUUUUAAGGAUUAGGGGGUAUGGAUUUAAGGUUUGGAAAUAUAAGGGUUAGGGGUUUAGGGGUUACGAGUUACGGGCUAAGGGUUAGUGGUUUAGAAUUUAGGGUUUAGGGUUUCAGGGGUCGGAUAAGGGUUUUAGGUUAGUUUAGAUUAAUUUCUUUAAAUAAUAUUUUAAAAAAUCAAUUUAAAGUACCAAUUGAUAUAUUUAAAUAUUAUUUUAAAUAGAAUUAAGUUUAAUAAGUUAAAAAAUAGUUUGAUAUAUUUUAUAUGGAUGGAUAUAUUUAGGACCAAAUACAUAAGAAAUGAAAUAAAAAAAAACAAAAAAUGACAAAAAAUCUAAAAUUUACAAAACGGCGCCGUUUUCGAAUAGUUAAAGUUUUAGUGGCGUUUUAGGGGUUAAACGCCGCAACUGUGGGAAGCAGUAUUGGCGUUUGUUCAAGAAACGCCGCAAAAGUGUCUUUAAAAUUUGAGUAAACGACGCCGUCUGUCUACAUGAUUUUUAACUUAUAAAAGGUUUAUAAUUAAUUACUUGAAACGUCACCGUUUGGCUUGUUGUACGUUAAGUAGUGUGGCGUUUUGGUGAUAGCGCCGGAAAUUUUGGAAUCAAUAGCGGUGUGUUUUCAGUAAACGCCGCAAAAGGGUAUUAAAACAAUGUCUAAACGGCGCCGUUUCUGUAUUCAAAUUUUAACUUAGCAUUUUCUCUAUAUUAAUUCAACGGCGUCGUUUCUGUUAAUUUCUAGUGGCGUUUUCGCGGGAAACGCCGCAAAAGUGACUUAAAAUAUUAGCUAAACGACGGCGUUUAGCUUAAGCAAAUUAUUUUUUAGUGGUGUUUUUUAUAGAAAAUGCCAGAAAUAUGCGUUAAAGCUUUAUUAAACGGCGCCGUUUCAGAUUAUAACUUAAAUUUUUAGUGGCGUUUUUUGGAAACGCCGCAAAUAUACAAGCAAUAGUGGCGUUUUCCUAAGAAACGUCGGAAUGGUGUCUUAAAAUUUUGGCAAAAGGACGCCGUUUCUAUUCAUCGUGUUUUAACUUAUCAUUUUCUCUAUAAGGCAGAACACAAACAGAAACAGAAGCAGAGAGGACAAAACGAAAGCGAUAGAAACGAAAGAUAAAAUACAAAGGAAAAAAGGGAGAGGAGAACUCAUAAAUCAUCAGAAACGAUGCAACAGUUGAGUCAAUCUUGACAGGAUACUAUCAAAGUUGCGGAAUUUGUGGUUAAAAGGUAAGUUUUUUUUCUUUUAAAACAUUGUAUCUUGAUUUAGGGUUUGGGUUCAGUGGAAUUUGGGAAUUUGGGGUUUAAAGUCCAAGUUCAAUCACCAAGCUUUGGCCAGUUUGUUUGGGAAUUCGGGGAAUUUGGGAAUUUUUGCGUGUCUAGGGUUUGGGAAGAAGUACCGAUCAUGUGCUUCCUUUCUAGUUUGUUAUUCUCAUUGUUGAAGAGUUGAAAAUAACAGUUGUUCUUAUGUUCAAGUUUUGUUCCCCAGAAUUAACACUGCAUUUGGCCAACUGUUAAAGAAAGGAGAACUCAAAAUUAUGGAUUAACCAUUUGUUACUGCCUUAUUGAUCAGCUCGUAUUUAGGUAAGUUUCCUGAUAUUAUUUUAAUCAAAAUGUCCUUACUUUUAUUCCUUCUGAUUUCAGAGUUGAAUUUAUUUAGUUAUUACUAAAAAGGGGUAAACAACUGAACUAAAACUGUUGCAUCGUUUACUCUUCGACAAUCUCUAAUUUUAGUUGACUUCACUGUGAAUUUCCUCAAAUAAGCAUCACAGUUUUGUGCAACGGCUUGGAAAUUUUUGUGCAUUUUAAAAUGUCUACGAGAAAAACUUAUUGGGUGGGGCUGGACAAAGCCUAAUUUAUUCAUAUAUUGUUGAGGCUUUGGAGUAAUUUAGUAUAAAACUGCAUCUACAGGUAAAUGCUUUAGCUGCUCUUCCUUCUUUAUAUAUUUUUAAAUUUUUCUCCAUGUUGCAAUAAAAAUUGUUGAAAGUAAUUUUCUUAGAACGUAAUCGAUUUUCCAGCACUCUGUAAUUAGCUCUGUAGUUGGUAAACAAUGUUAAACUAUGUUACACGGUUUUUACUGCUCUGUUCCUACAUGUCUGUUCUGCUUUGUUCCUACACCGAGUUCCUACAUGUCUGUUUUGCUUUGUUCAAUGAGUCAACUUAGUUCUCUGUUGUUUGUUUCUUACACACGAGAUUUGGAUAUUGUAUAUACAUUGUAAAAAUGGACUGCCCGAUUUAAAAGAAUGUUAAAUACAUGACUUACUAAAAUUAGCUUUUACUGUUUUAUUUAAUUAUAAAUAUAUUAUUAAUUUAUUUAACGUAAGGCAGAAAAUUAAAUUUAUUUUCAAUUAUCUAAUAAAUAUAUUUUUAUCUUUCACCAAGUUUCCACAUUACGCAAAACAUCUUUCAGAGGUUCUGUUUUUCGUUUGUUAAAUAUCUUUAGAAAAAUGGUUAGCUAGGGCCUAGAAAACAACAUUAAAGUUAUUAAAACUAAUAUGGUUUUCAAUUUAUGUCUCGGGUUGGGUUAAUUAGUUUUAGACUAAAUAAUUAAAAUUUCAAGCUUUUUUAUUCUUUGUAUAUUUGAUGUUCAAUCUCCAAAUUUUUAUUUUUAAUAAUUUAGUCUCUUUAUUUUUAGAAUUUAAAAUUGGAGUUCAUUUGUUAACACUAUUAAUAUUUUUCUAUUAAAUUUGUUGUUGUGACAUUAUAAGAGUUUAACACAUUCUAAUGGACUUGAAUUUAACAAAGAAGUUUAAUGAAAUUAAAAAAUUUUAAAAUUCUCAUAAGCAUUUUAAUUAAAAUAAGAUAUUUCAUUUAACUAAUAGCAUUAUAAACAUUGAGAUACCAAAUUAUGUCAAAAAUUAAAAUAUAAAUAUAAAAUCUCAAAUUUAAGAAUAGUAUAAGGACCAAAACUAAAAUUUGACUAAUUUUAUAUAUCAAGACAUUAUAAAACUAAAAGAACUAUAGUAAGAAUAAGAGAGAAGAGGAGACACAAAAGUGAAAGGAUAAUUCUACUUUUUCUUAGCUUCAAUAAGCUUGUACAUAUCAUUUAAUUAAUUAAUAUACAUAGAUUACAUAACUUACAUUAAUUUUAUACAUAAAUUACAUAACUUAAUGAAUUAAUAUUAUACAUAACUUACAUUAAUAUUAUACAUAAAUUACAUAACUUAAUUAAUUAAUUAGGACAAACUCAAAUUACCUAANNNNNNNNNNNNNNNNNNNNNNNNNNNNNNNNNNNNNNNNNNNNNNNNNNNNNNNNNNNNNNNNNNNNNNNNNNNNNNNNNNNNNNNNNNNNNNNNNNNNUUAAUUAAUUAAUAUACAUAAAUUACAUAACUUACAUUAAUAUUAUACAUAAAUUACAUAACUUAAUUAAUUAAUAUACAUAAAUUACAUAACUUACAUUAAGAUUAUACAUAAAUUACAUAACUUAAUUAAUUAAUAACUUACAUAACUUACAUAACUUACAACUUACAUAACUUACAUUUUUUUAAUUAUUCAUAAAUUACAUAACUUACAUUAAUAUUAUACAUAAAUUACAUAACUUAAUUAAUAUACUUAAAUUACAUAACUUACAUUAAUAUUAUACAUAAAUUACAUAACUUAGUUAAUUAAUAUUAUACAUAACUUACAUAACUUACAUAAUACAUAACUUAUAUGACUUACAUAACUUACAUAGCAUAAUUUUCAUAAUAAAUAACUUACAUAACUUACAUAAUACAUAACUUAUAUGACUUACAUAACUUACAUAGCAUAAUUUUCAUAAUACAUAACUUACAUAAUUUUCAUAAUAAAUAACUUACAUAAUACAUAACUUACAUAGCUUAAUUAUACUUAUUCCUAAAUCCUAAACCCGUGCAAUUUAUUGUCAAGAUUAGGCUUCAAGAAAUAAGAAAUGGACCGGUCUUGGAUGAAUUUGUCAAGGUUAAGCGACGGUUAUCAAAAUGGAGUACAAACUUUUCUAAAUUUUGCAUUUCAAGAUGCAAGUCAAGAGAACAUGAUUCUUUGCCCGUGUAAGAAGUGUGUCAACAUAAACUGGCAUUAUCGUGAAGUUGUAUACGAGUAUCUAAUUGUUGAUGGGUUUGUUCGUGGUUAUAAACAAUGGUUUUUUCAUGGAGAAUGCCCGCCUAGUACUUCCUCUUCAAGGAUGGAUGUAUCUUAUGAUAGUACUGCUUACCAUCAGUCUGUUAGAGGGGAUGACAUGGAAGGGAUGUUGCGAGAAGCAUUUAAUAUUCACAGUCAUGGUUUACAGUCGUUCCCACCCGACUUUGUGCCAUCUGAUGAUUGUAAUCUCGGUGGAAAUGCUUUUAUCGAACCCGGAAGAAGUGUACAUCAUGAAGAGCNNNNNNNNNNNNNNNNNNNNNNNNNNNNNNNNNNNNNNNNNNNNNNNNNNNNNNNNNNNNNNNNNNNNNNNNNNNNNNNNNNNNNNNNNNNNNNNNNNNNAGUUCUACGCGCUACUUAAUGAGAUGAACGAAGAACUAUAUGAGGGAUCGAAAUUUUCAAAAAUGUCUUUCUGCAUUCGUCUUUUCCAGUUAAAAUGUUUGGGAGGGUGGACCGGGAACUCAUUGACAAUGCUGUUAGAGUUUUUGAGAGAAAUGUUUCUGUUUGCAAAAAUCCCUCAGUCAUGCAAAGAUAUGAAGAAAAUGAUAAAAGACUUAGGUCUUGGGUACAACAAAAUCCAUAGUUGCCCGAAUGAUUGCAUGUUGUAUUGGGGCGAUCGGAGAAACCAACAGUGCUGUCAUGUAUGCGGCGAAUCCCGUUGGAUAAAUAGAAACACGGAAGAUGGGAAUGAUGAUGAAAAUGAUGCACAGCCAAGAAAGAAGCCGGUCAAGAUUUUGCGGUAUUUUCCGCUGAUACCAAGGCUUCAAAGGCUUUUCAUGUCGUCGAAGACAGCGGAGUCAAUGACGUGGCACCAUGAAGGACGAACCAAUGAUGGAUUAUUAAGGCAUCUGGCAGAUUCUUUAGCUUGGAAAUCAUUUGACAAUAAAUUUUCAAGCUUUGCAAGCGAUCCCAAGAGUGUGAGGCUUGGCCUAGCAUCUGAUGGAUUUAAUCCUUACAAGAUCAUGAGUACUGCAUACAGUACUUGGCCAGUAGUGCUUGUUCCUUACAAUCUGCCUCCGUGGAUUUGCAUGAACCAAUCUUCCAUUAUCUUAUCUAUGAUUAUCCCUGGAGAGAAAGGGCUCGGGAAUGAUAUCAACAUUUAUUUACAGCCACUUAUUGAAGAGUUAAAACAAUUAUGGGCUGGUGUCGAGACAUACGAUGUGCUGAGAAAGGAGAACUUUAAUUUACGUGCAGCUUUGAUGUGGACCAUUAAUGACUUCAUCGCUUAUGCCAAUUUAUCCGGUUGGAGUACCAAGGGUUGUUAUGCGUGCCCUUGUUGUGCUGCACAAACAUGUUCGCAAUGGUUAUACAAUGGGAAGAAGUUCUCUUACAUGGGUCAUCAUCAGUGGUUACCGAAAAAUCAUAGAUUUAGAUUUCAGAGUUCGGCAUUUGACGGUACUGAAGAGUUCAGAGAAGCUCCUUCGCAGACAAGUGGAUCUGAAAUCUUGUUAAUGUUGGAAGAUAUGAAUUUCAGUUAUGGGAAGAUGAAUCAACUGCCAAACACGCAAAGAAAUAGAAGAUCAAAUGAUGAAGCUGAUGAUAACUCCGAUGAAGAGGAUGAUCCUAAUGAGGAGGACUUGUGGAAAAAAGAAGUAUUUUCUUUGAGUUGCCUUAUUGGGAGCACCACCUUUUACGACACAAUCUUGAUGUUAUGCAUAUUGAGGAAAAUGUCUGCGAGAACAUUGUCUGUACAAUUUCCAGAUGCGUAUGCAUUAAAUAUAUCUUGAUGUGUUAGUGUUAAAGAUCGAAGACUAUAUUCGCUAAAAUUACAUGACUAUCACAUCUUGAUGCAAGAUUUACUGCCAGUUGCUCUACGUUGUUGUAUUUCGAAGAAGGUGACGUCUUGUAUAAUUGAACUAUCCAAUAUAAUGAAAGUCAUUUGUGGCAAAGUUUUGGAUGUUCAAGAACUUCAGAAGGUACAGGAUCGAGCCGCUUUAACUUUAUGCAACAUGGAGAAAAUCUUCCCACCUUCCUUCUUCACUAUUAUGGUUCACUUGAUAAUCCAUCUCCCGCAUGAAGCAAUUCUUGGCGGACCCGUUUUCUAUCGAUGGAUGUAUCCCAUAGAAAGGUGUUAAUUACAAUUUUUAAAAUUUUCCUUCAUUCACCUAUAUGCCUUUAGUUACAACUUUUGAUAAUGUUGUGUAUCGUGUUUAGGUUCCUGUCCAAAUUAAAGUCUUAUUGCCGCAACAAGCGUUAUCCAGAAGGAUCGAUUGCUGAAGGCUACUUGGCAGAGGAAUGUAUGACCUUCUGUUCAAGAUAUUUGGAAGAUGUUGAAACAAGGUUGAAUAGACCAAAUAGAAAUGUUGGACUCACGGAUCAUAACUUUGCCGAUAAUUAUUUGUUCCAAAGUUUUGGAGAACCAAUCGGUAAAGUUGAAAUUGCAGAAUUAGAUGAUUUAUCGUGGGUACAAGCACAUCAAUAUGUUCUGUUUCACCACGAUUCAAUGGAACCUUUACGCAAGUAAGUUCUAGAAAUUUGAUAAAUAUUCAUCAUUUAAAAUUUGUUUAUAGUCUAACAAACUAAACAUAUUUUUAACAUAGUGAGUACAAACAAAUAUUGAGAUCUCAUUCGCGCUCCCGAAGAACACAACAUUGAGAUAUCAAUAAGUUGUUUACAGAAUCUUUUCAUGAAUGAUUAAGCCAAACGGUAUGUAAUUGAAGCUUUCACCGACAAAUAAUAAUAUUUACUCAAAACAUUUUUAAUUACUCAGUUUACUUUCCAUUCAAUAGGUUUGGAGUGGGAAGAACGUCACCGACGAAGUUAAAUGGCUUUCCCAAGGUCCAAAUCGGGUGGUUAAAAGAUGUAGUGCGUUCCUCAUAAACGGAUUCAGAUUUCAUACAAAAUAUCGCGAGAGAUUGAGGAGAACGCAAAAUUGUGGAAUAUUUGUUAAUUCCUCAAUUACAAGUUAUGCUAGUGCUAGGGACAAUAAUCCUGUGGAGGGAAAUGUGGAAUAUUUUGGACUUCUUACUGACAUAAUUGAGUUGGAUUACUACGGCAAAUGGAAAGUUGUCUUAUUUCGAGGUGAUUGGGCUGAUGUUAAUACUGCACGUGGAAUCAAGCAAGAUCAAUUUGGUUUCACAAUGGUAAACUUCGUUUGAUUGAUUCACACAGGACAACAAUUGAUUGAUGAGCCGUAUGUAUUUUCUUCUCAAGUCAAACAAAUUUUUUACUCAAAAGAUCCAACUGAUGAGGGUUGGUACGUUGUACUCCGUAACAUCCCCAGAGACUUGUUUGACAUGGGCAGUGGAAGUAGAGAUGACAUUGACGACAGAACACAAACUUUGCCAUUUCUAGAACAGAACUUAAACGAAAACAUCCCUAGUACUAGUACACAAUUUCAAUGGGUCCGCCAGGAUACGAAUGAAGAUAUUUACGAAUUAUAAUGUAGUAAGCUUUUACGAUUAUCUAAUUAUAUUUACGAAUGAUGAUAUUUCAACUAUUUUAUAUGUGAUAUUAUUGUUGUAAUUGUAUACUAUGUUUUCAACUAGUUUAUUUGUAUUGCAGAUAAAAUGCCUAGAAAAAAAGUGCGAUCGCACCGCAUUGUUCAAGGUACUCCAAACUCGGCGGAAACAACAGCACUGAACAACAGACUGCUGUUGGAUCUUUGAAUGUUCCGGUUACACCUGAGGAACCUAUAGAAGUUCAAAGUAAUUUAACAUUUAAUUUACAUGUGUGUUGACUUCUUGUUUAAUUCUUUUAAAAUUUCGUAUAUUACAAUACUUUUAUUUUUCAGAUGAAACUGGUGGGACGCGAAGAGUUCGCGGACGUACGGUACUGAGCGAUUUAUACGAGCUAGAUCCAGUCGAGCGUGUCCAAGUAUCCAGUAAUAGCUUUGGUCAGCCUGUUGGAUCAGAAGCUCGCCUUUUAGCAGGAUACAUGGGCAUUCUAGCACGGAAUGCAAAUAUGUUGCCAAUUAACUUCGAGUCAUGGCAUAAAGUGCCCGAGAGUAACAAGAACCAAGCUCUCGAUAACAUAANNNNNNNNNNNNNNNNNNNNNNNNNNNNNNNNNNNNNNNNNNNNNNNNNNNNNNNNNNNNNNNNNNNNNNNNNNNNNNNNNNNNNNNNNNNNNNNNNNNNNNNNNNNNNNNNNNNNNNNNNNNNNNNNNNNNNNNNNNNNNNNNNNNNNNNNNNNNNNNNNNNNNNNNNNNNNNNNNNNNNNNNNNNNNNNNNNNNNNNNNNNNNNNNNNNNNNNNNNNNNNNNNNNNNNNNNNNNNNNNNNNNNNNNNNNNNNNNNNNNNNNNNNNNNNNNNNNNNNNNNNNNNNNNNNNNNNNNNNNNNNNNNNNNNNNNNNNNNNNNNNNNNNNNNNNNNNNNNNNNNNNNNNNNNNNNNNNNNNNNNNNNNNNNNNNNNNNNNNNNNNNNNNNNNNNNNNNNNNNNNNNNNNNNNNNNNNNNNNNNNNNNNNNNNNNNNNNNNNNNNNNNNNNNNNNNNNNNNNNNNNNNNNNNNNNNNNNNNNNNNNNNNNNNNNNNNNNNNNNNNNNNNNNNNNNNNNNNNNNNNNNNNNNNNNNNNNNNNNNNNNNNNNNNNNNNNNNNNNNNNNNNNNNNNNNNNNNNNNNNNNNNNNNNNNNNNNNNNNNNNNNNNNNNNNNNNNNNNNNNNNNNNNNNNNNNNNNNNNNNNNNNNNNNNNNNNNNNNNNNNNNNNNNNNNNNNNNNNNNNNNNNNNNNNNNNNNNNNNNNNNNNNNNNNNNNNNNNNNNNNNNNNNNNNNNNNNNNNNNNNNNNNNNNNNNNNNNNNNNNNNNNNNNNNNNNNNNNNNNNNNNNNNNNNNNNNNNNNNNNNNNNNNNNNNNNNNNNNNNNNNNNNNNNNNNNNNNNNNNNNNNNNNNNNNNNNNNNNNNNNNNNNNNNNNNNNNNNNNNNNNNNNNNNNNNNNNNNNNNNNNNNNNNNNNNNNNNNNNNNNNNNNNNNNNNNNNNNNNNNNNNNNNNNNNNNNNNNNNNNNNNNNNNNNNNNNNNNNNNNNNNNNNNNNNNNNNNNNNNNNNNNNNNNNNNNNNNNNNNNNNNNNNNNNNNNNNNNNNNNNNNNNNNNNNNNNNNNNNNNNNNNNNNNNNNNNNNNNNNNNNNNNNNNNNNNNNNNNNNNNNNNNNNNNNNNNNNNNNNNNNNNNNNNNNNNNNNNNNNNNNNNNNNNNNNNNNNNNNNNNNNNNNNNNNNNNNNNNNNNNNNNNNNNNNNNNNNNNNNNNNNNNNNNNNNNNNNNNNNNNNNNNNNNNNNNNNNNNNNNNNNNNNNNNNNNNNNNNNNNNNNNNNNNNNNNNNNNNNNNNNNNNNNNNNNNNNNNNNNNNNNNNNNNNNNNNNNNNNNNNNNNNNNNNNNNNNNNNNNNNNNNNNNNNNNNNNNNNNNNNNNNNNNNNNNNNNNNNNNNNNNNNNNNNNNNNNNNNNNNNNNNNNNNNNNNNNNNNNNNNNNNNNNNNNNNNNNNNNNNNNNNNNNNNNNNNNNNNNNNNNNNNNNNNNNNNNNNNNNNNNNNNNNNNNNNNNNNNNNNNNNNNNNNNNNNNNNNNNNNNNNNNNNNNNNNNNNNNNNNNNNNNNNNNNNNNNNNNNNNNNNNNNNNNNNNNNNNNNNNNNNNNNNNNNNNNNNNNNNNNNNNNNNNNNNNNNNNNNNNNNNNNNNNNNNNNNNNNNNNNNNNNNNNNNNNNNNNNNNNNNNNNNNNNNNNNNNNNNNNNNNNNNNNNNNNNNNNNNNNNNNNNNNNNNNNNNNNNNNNNNNNNNNNNNNNNNNNNNNNNNNNNNNNNNNNNNNNNNNNNNNNNNNNNNNNNNNNNNNNNNNNNNNNNNNNNNNNNNNNNNNNNNNNNNNNNNNNNNNNNNNNNNNNNNNNNNNNNNNNNNNNNNNNNNNNNNNNNNNNNNNNNNNNNNNNNNNNNNNNNNNNNNNNNNNNNNNNNNNNNNNNNNNNNNNNNNNNNNNNNNNNNNNNNNNNNNNNNNNNNNNNNNNNNNNNNNNNNNNNNNNNNNNNNNNNNNNNNNNNNNNNNNNNNNNNNNNNNNNNNNNNNNNNNNNNNNNNNNNNNNNNNNNNNNNNNNNNNNNNNNNNNNNNNNNNNNNNNNNNNNNNNNNNNNNNNNNNNNNNNNNNNNNNNNNNNNNNNNNNNNNNNNNNNNNNNNNNNNNNNNNNNNNNNNNNNNNNNNNNNNNNNNNNNNNNNNNNNNNNNNNNNNNNNNNNNNNNNNNNNNNNNNNNNNNNNNNNNNNNNNNNNNNNNNNNNNNNNNNNNNNNNNNNNNNNNNNNNNNNNNNNNNNNNNNNNNNNNNNNNNNNNNNNNNNNNNNNNNNNNNNNNNNNNNNNNNNNNNNNNNNNNNNNNNNNNNNNNNNNNNNNNNNNNNNNNNNNNNNNNNNNNNNNNNNNNNNNNNNNNNNGGCGUUGUGGUCGAAGCGCUGCUAGAGAUCAGGGUCUUUUGUGGUGUUUGUGGGAAAAGUGCCGCUAAAGGCCUAAAAAAGCGCCGCUAAAAGCCUGUUUUGGUGUAGUGUUUAAGUACCGAAAUAAUAAUUGAGUACAAUUUAGGGGUAAAUAGUAUAUUAACCAUUUAUUAUUUUAAAAAUUUGUUUUAUGUUUCCAUAUUUAAUGAUACCAAUUAACAUGAUAUUUUAUUAAAAAAAUAUACAACUAACCGAAUUAUUUUGAAUUUAAUAAAAACAAUUUCUUAAAUAAUAAUGAAAUAAUUUUUAAUCAAUACUUAUAAAAACAGUCAACACAUUUCAUUAUCCUGUAUCCAUUCUAAAUAUUUAAGUAAGCAUUAUUGAAAACAAUAAAUUAAGCAAAUAAAUAAAUAAGUAGAAGACAAACUGAUACAAUAUUUGAAGUCACCAAUUUGCGAUUUAAUAAGAAAGUUCUGGCUGCCUCUUUUGACUAGUACCAAUUCAAUGAAUAUUAAGAAAUUAACAUAAAUCCAACUAAAAAAAUUGAGAGUAGUAAAAUUCUUACGCUUCAAGUUCAGUCUAUAAAUAGCAUCUUAGUUCUCUAUCAUCUCACACCUCAACUCAAUCAUCCACUUCUUCUCUUCUUUGAACUCAAAGUCCCAGCUAAUAUUAGAAUCAUGGGUGUUGUCACUUAUGACUAUGAGAAUACCUCCCCAGUCGCCCCUGCCAGGCUUUUCAAGGCCUUUACUGUUGAAGCUCCGAAAGUUUGGCCCACGGCUGCACCUAAUGCAGUCAAGAGCCUUGAGGUUGAAGCUAAUCCUAGCUCUGGAAGUAUCGUAAAAAUCAACUUUGUUGAAGGUUAGUUCUUUCAUUUUCACUUUCAUUGGCCUUUUUGUUGUCUGUUUUACACGAGUAUGUUGGAUAACAAGUAUUUAUUUCUUUAGGCCUUCCAUUCCAAUAUAUGAAGCACCAGAUCGGAGGACAUGAUGAAAGUAGUUUUUCAUACAGUUACGAUUUAAUCGAAGGUGGGCCUUUGGGGGAUAAGC
RNAcentral lists this long non-coding RNA (121231 nucleotides) under Gossypium raimondii (Peruvian cotton). RNAcentral's name for it is "long non-coding RNA (GRAI_LNC009481)". Lineage: Eukaryota; Viridiplantae; Streptophyta; Magnoliopsida; Malvales; Malvaceae. The record is from RNAcentral.